AAAAUGUUCCCUAUACUUGAAUACGUAGCUUUGCUUUCUGUGAUAUUGUUUCAAUUGGAGCCUAGAAUUGCUGAUUCUAACAACACAGUAAUGAGGUGCAUUGAUGAGGAGAGAGAAGCACUUCUCACUUUUAAACAGAGCCUGGUGGAUGAAUAUGGUGUUCUGUCUUCCUGGGGAAAAGAUAAUGACAAAAGAGAUUGCUGUAAAUGGAGAGGAGUCCGUUGUAGCAAUAAAACUGGCCAUGUCAAGGUGCUCAAUCUUCGAAGAUCCGACGAUGAAAAUUCUCGAGGGACAGUCUUGAAAGGUACAAUUAGCCCUGCUUUGCUUAAAUUGCAUGAUUUAAGACAUUUGGACCUUAGUAACAAUCACUUCGGUGGAAGCCCACUUCCUGAGUUCAUUGGUUCCCUCAGUAGAUUGAGGUACCUCAAUCUCUCUUGUGGUACAUCUUUAUUAAAAGUACCUCGUCCAUUCCAGUACCUUUCAGGAUUGGUAUAUCUUCACCUAGAAAACUCUAAUUUAUUUAGUUUGGGAAGCCUACAGUGGCUUUCUCAUCUUUCUUCUUUAAGGCACCUAGACCUGAGUUACAUUAAUCUCACUAAAUCUAGUGAUUGGUUUCAAGUAGUUGCCAAGCUCCAUUCCCUAAAAACAUUAGUCCUACACUCAUGUGCUCUUCCACCUAUCAAUCCUUCAUCUAUUUGGCACUUCAAUUUGAGUACGUCUAUUGAGACCCUUGAUCUCUUCGACAACAGUCUCCCUUCUUCAUCAGUAUACCCUUGGCUUUUCAAUCUUAGUCGGAAUAUUCAAUAUCUUAACCUUGGCUUUAACUCAUUACAAGGUUCAAUUCCAGAGGCUUUUCAACUAAUGGUUUCUCUUAGAUUUCUCUAUCUCACCUCUAACGAACUUGAAGGUGGGAUUCCAAAAUUCUUCGGAAAAAUGUGUAGCUUAAAUAGAUUAUGCUUGCCUUACAAUAAACUCAGUGGAGAUCUCUCGGAGAUGAUUCAAAAUCUGUCUGGUGGAUGCACGAUGAAUUCACUGGAGGGUGUAUGUUUAGAAGGCAAUGAUAUCACAGGGCCAUUACCUGAUCUUGGAGGUUUUUCAUCCCUAAAAAUAUUAGUACUUGGAGAAAAUCGAUUAAAUGGAACAAUAGACAAAAGCCUCAGCCAGUUGUUGAAGCUCGAGUCUCUGUCACUUGGUAGGAAUUCAUUCACAGGUGUUAUCUCUGAAACCUUUUUUUCCAAUAUGUCCCACUUGCAGAUGUUGUACUUGAAUGAUAACUCUUUGACUUUGAAAUUGAGCCAUGAUUGGGUUCCUCCUUUUCAACUGAAAUCGUUAAGUCUUGCCUCUUGCAAGAUGGGACCUCAUUUUCCAAAAUGGCUUCAAACUCAAAAUCAACUUAUUUCCCUUGAUGUCUCCAAUAAUGGAAUCUCGGAUGCUGUCCCUGAUUGGUUUUGGGAUCUGUCUAUUGAACUCGUUUUUUUAAAUCUCUCUAACAACCAGAUCAGGGGUAAACUUCCUGAUUUGUCUUUUUUAAGAUAUGAUGAUAUUGUUAUAGACGUCAGUUCAAACCACUUUUGUGGCCCAAUUCCACCACUUCCGUCAAAUUCUACAUUCUUGAAUCUCUCAAAAAAUAAGUUCUCAAGAUCAAUUACUUUCUUAUGUUCUAUUGUAAAAAACACAUGGAACUUUUUUGAUCUCUCGAGUAACUUAUUAUCUGGAGGGCUUCCCGAUUGUUGGUUGAACUUUGAUAGCCUAUCCAUUCUUAAUUUGGCAAACAAUAGCUUCUCCGGGAAAAUUCCAGACUCGAUGGGCUUCCUCCAUAAUAUCCAAACACUGAGUUUACACUCCAAUAGGUUAACCGGGGAGUUGCCUUCAUCUUUAAAAAAUUGCUCACAACUGAGAGUUUUGGAUCUUAGGAAGAAUGCAUUGUACGGUGAGAUACCAACCUGGAUAGGGGGAAGUCUUCAAAAUUUGAUUGUUCUUAGCUUGAAAUCUAAUAAUUUUCAUGGAAAUAUACCUUUUCAGUUAUGCCAUCUGGCGUUCAUUCGAGUUCUGGAUCUCUCUUUAAACAAUAUAUCGGGAAAGAUACCAAAAUGUUUCAAUAAUUUUUCAGCCAUGACCCGAGAAAAAAGUUCCAAUCCUAUCAUUGGGUUGGCUGACAAAAUCUGGAUUUUCCCUAGAUAUGUAUAUAGGUAUAGUUAUUUGGACAAUGUUCUGUUGACAUGGAAAGGAAGUGAACACGAGUACAAAAGUACUUUGGGACUUGUAAAAUGUCUUGACCUUUCGAGUAACAAACUACAUGGAGCAAUUCCUGAAGAGAUUAUGGAUCUUGUGGGGUUGAUUGCUUUAAACCUUUCAAGAAACCAUUUAACUGGACCAAUCACUCCAAAGAUUGGUCAGUUAAAUUCAUUGGAUUUCCUUGAUUUAUCUAGAAACCAGUUUUCCAGAAGCAUUCCGUCUAGCCUUUCUCAACUAAAUGGUCUUAGUGUCUUGGACUUGUCGUCCAACAACUUGUCAGGAAAAAUCCCAUUAGGUACUCAGCUUCAAAGCUUCAAUGCUUCGGUGUAUGCUGGAAAUCCUGAACUUUGUGGCCUUCCACUUCCAAACAAAUGUCCGGAUGAAGAAUCAACUCCAUUGCCAGGCAGAAAUGAUGGUGCAAACACUCUAGAAGAUGAGGAUGAUCAGUUUAUGACUCUCGGAUUUUACGUGGGCUUGAUUCUUGGUUUCUUUGUUGGAUUCUGGGGUGUCUGCGGAACUUUAAUGCUGAAUAGGUCGUGGAGACAUGGUUACUACAACUUCUUGACUGGUAUGAAAGAUUGGCUUUAUGUGACAGCAGCUUUGAAUAUUGCCAAACUGCAAAAGUUCAGGAACUAAUUAAACGGUAAUACUCCUAAGUGUAUAGUGUAUUUUAGUAAAGAUUAUUGGCUUUCACAUAUGCUUUUAAUUUCUUCAUCCUUAGACUUGACUCUUUCCUCUUACAAGAUUUUGUUUAUCAAAUCAAUUGUUACUAUUUUUUUGGCAGGGUCUCCCGGUGAUGGCAUCUUGUCAUUAAUUUUCAGAGUACUCAUUUCAUUUUUGGAAACUUUCUAAAAAUAAAGUUGUGCUCCCAUAUGAUGCUCAUUGUAUUAUUGAGUAUAUGCCUAAAGAAACUUGGAUGUGUUUCUCUUUAGUCCAUCAUCGAUUUAUGCGUUUAUUAAUUAUAUGCUCUUGUUCGGAGAAAUUCUAGAGUAAAUCAGAGGUAUUACACCCAAUUAGAGUUUAAUUAUACUACUAAUUGGAAUAAAGACGGUCAAAUUCUGCUCUGUUGUUGAUUAGUGUUAGAAUUUUUAUUUCUUGGAUUUUUGUGUGCCUUACACCUCUUUAUUAGUAUUGAAUAAACUUCUAACAAUAAAAGAGAGAUCUCGCUACAGGAUGUUCAGUGAACAUAAGCAUAAAGCUAAAACACGCUACAUAAAAAUUAAAAUAUCUAAGGUGCAUUUGUACUUUGUAGAGAAUACACGCUUAAUUUAAAAUUCUAGUUGUAUGAAACAUGUUAUAGAAUUUUCUAGACGACAUGGAUAUUUCUUAAUAGAAUAUAUAUUUUAUGAAUGAUUUUUAAAAAGGACCUUAUCUUUUGUUGGGUAAUUUUAAUUACUAUAUGUGUCAAUGUACAAGUAUACACAACAAGUAAUAUAUUGAUGAGUCUAAAUUAAAAUAAAAUAAUUAAUGAAAUUAAUGAACUAACUAAAUUAAAAUUGCAAAUAAACAAAAUGCAAAAAAGAAAAUUCUCAAGUCAAACAUAAGGACAAAGUCAAUGGGAAUAGAGUAGUUGGGUGAUUAAACUCACUUAAUUGUAUUGAUUGUUUUUCCAAUUAAGAUUAUGUUGCUUUAGCAUCUCCUACAACACUAAGCAGAAUCUCUCACGUAUUCUCAGCUGUCGCUUGUUGAAUAUCUUAUAUCUAAAUACAACCUAAUAAUGACUAGUUGUUACGCUAACAUUAAAUAUAGCAUCAUGUGUUCUAAGUUCUAAUUGCCCUACAAGGUAAAUCGGUAUGUCUAGUUCUUUAUUAAUUUUAGAUUAAGCAUGUCCCUAUUUAAAUCAAUAUUAACUCAACUUGGGAAACCCAAUCUAAAGCCAUUUAUUGUCUUAAUUUGUUCCACUAAGUUAGACAUUUUUUAGGUUGUUUCUUAGCUAGUAUUCACUAAAUGGGUGGUCAGCCGAAAUAGGGAAUUGCAAUAAGUAAAAUCAAGACAAAAUGCUAUAGUAAAUACAGAGCAGCACACAUAUAUCAUUCAAAUAACCAUUAAGCUUAUUUAUCACUCAAUCACAACAAAGUUUAGUUUAGGAUUUGCGAUAAAACAGUAACAAAAAUAAGUUUAGCCAUGAAAUACUGAACUUAUUUAAGUUUAUAAUCUAUAAUAUAUUUAUAUAUAUAUUAUUAUUAUUAUUAUUAGGCUUUAAUUAUGUUACAUGAUCAUAUAACAUACAUAAUUCUUCCACAGCCGUUAGAUGAAAAUUCAACGACUAUGGAAGAAUCAUAUAUCUUACAUGAUUAUGUAAGAUAAUAAUCACUUUAUUAUUAAGCUAACAGAAGGAUGAUGUAAUACAUAUGUACAUGCUUCUAGACAACAAAUUCAGAGAAGCAUUACGCAAAGUCAACAGUUAACUAAUCAAAGUCAGCGGACAAUUACGUUUGGUCCUUGCUUGGGAAUUUCUAAUUUCAAUGGCAGCAAAGUCUGUGGAAAAUUACUUUAAAUGAAGUAUGUACACAAAUGCACACCAAUUAAGAAUAUUACAAAAAUCAUUUAGAUGGUACACAUCAUACAAAAACACAGCUUCAGUUUCGGAAGGGGACCAUUAAUUGUUCAAAAUCGAUAUACAAACAUGGUGGCCCUAGCUAAGAAGAUAACAUGCAUGAUAAGGAUAAACAAUUACCCCAAUCUUUCUUUUGUGGACAUGUGAAUAAAACAAAGACAGAUUCUGAAAGAAGGCGUAUCUAUAGAUGGCCAAUUCAGAACUUAUUUAAGAUCAUACGUUAAUUUUAUUUUUAAUUGAGAUAGAGCCUCUCAUGUUGGCGUUAAUAUGUAGACAAAUAUGAAUCUGAUGCAUAAUAGUACUUUUGAAAUUUUGUUUAAUUAAUUCUUAAGUUGAAAUAUAAAACAAGUAUUCCCCAAUCAACCACGAAGAAUUAAUACCCAUUUAGUUUUUUAAUCUGAAAUUUAAAAUCAGUCUGAAUUUGGUUGAAGUCUUAGCUGAUAGUUUGAUGUGUUUUUUUUUUUUUUUUUUUAAUAUCUAAAUAUAAUUGACAUUAUAUUUGUUCUUAUAAAUAAAAAAAAGUUAAAUACAGUUAUUUAACAUUUAUAUCCUUGUAAGUUAAAAUGCAUAAAGGGCUUAAGUUUUAUAGUUUAGCAAAUAAGUAUAUUUAAUAGAGAUGUUUUAGGAUAUAAUAUUUACUUCUUCGUGCCUUUUCCUAUUUAUAUAAAAGUCACAAAAAUUUACUCUUUAUUUUUAAUUCAAAUGUAAAUGUAUGAAAAAUCAUAUAUAAGUUAAAAAAACAAACGAACAAUUUUAAAAAAGUUUGAAAUAAAAAAAAUUCAAAUUUUAGACAUUUAACCAAUAAGCAUCAAUUUCAUCUUGGUCAAGAGAGUAGUUGGCUACCAUGAAAUUUCUGAUCCCUGUCUAGUAUGGGCAUGUCAUGAAUUAAGCUACGUAUUUUAAUUUUUGCCUUAAAAAAAUUUCCAUUCUUUGUUCUAGAAAAUUGAAAAAAAAAAGAAUAAAAAAUAGUUCACGUUGGUAUUAUCAUUAUAUUAGUAUUAUAAACAUCUCAACCGUUACUAAGUACUCUAUGGCUCGGGUCUUUAGCAGGGUUAUUGAUAGGAAUCAACCGUUUAUUCGCUGACGCAGUAUCAAUUACCAUUGGUUGUUCUUCCACUGUUUAAGAUACAGAUUUAAGAGCAAAGCAAUUUGAAUGCUUGUAAUUGUUACUCUUGCAUCCAAUUUUCCCCAGGAAUUACAGGAUCAACAAUCCCAUCAAACAUAUUACUUUUAACGUGGCUUAACAGGAUCAACAAUCCCACUGCAGUAGUCAGGUGAUUUUGUCCAUGAUUUAUUCAAUUCAGUCUACAGUUCACUAAAUAUGAAAGGAAAGCAUUAAUAAAUUAUCAGGACAAGCUUUUUAUAAGUGAAUUUCUGCCCAAACAAAGCAUCAAGUGACGAUAUAUACCAAAACUGUAAACAUCAUAGUUCUCUUAUUUUCAAUAAAAUGUGUUUUAUUUUUUUGGGUAAACGUAAACCAACGCCAGUUUUAUUUUGUUUCUACGAGGCUUUGUCAUCAUUUUGUGUGUUUACCAUUUUUCCACGGCAAGAUUACAUGGAUGUUGAUUGUACGACUUUCUUUAUCCAUGCUCUGCAUUGUUGUGUGUUUGGGAUUCGCCGGCGACUUUUCUUGGCUUUAUUCAUCUCUCAAAUUUUCAUAUCCUAACACAUAAUCAACGCGCAGACUGAAGACUUUUCUUGGAUUCGAUAAUUGAUGCAGAUUAUACACAGUAGUAUAAAUUGGCAUGGAGUCCAGGAGUUUCGAUAUAACAGCAUAUCCUCAAAGCUAAUGAUAAUUAUAAUGUCAUCCAAGUUGUUCCUUCUAUUUGAAAAUAUAGCUUUGUUUUCUGUGAUAUUUUUUCAAUUGAAGCCCACGACUGCUGAUUCUAACAACAUAAUAAUAAGGUGCAUUGAUGAAGAGAGAGAAGCGCUUCUCACUUUUAAACGGAGCUUGGUGGAUGAACAUGGCGUUCUGUCUUCCUGGGGAAGAGAAGAUGACAAAAGAGAUUGCUGUAAAUGGAGAGGAGUCCACUGUAGCAACACAACUGGCCAAGUCAAGGUGCUCAAUCUUCGAACAUCCGAUUAUGAAUUUGCUCGGAGGAAGUUCCUGAAAGGUACAAUUAGUCCUGCUCUGCUUAAAUUGCAUGAUUUAAGACAUCUGGACCUUAGUAACAAUGACUUUGGUGGAAGCCCAGUUCCUGAGUUCAUUGGUUCCCUCAGCAAAUUGAGGUACCUCAGUCUCUCUUGCGGCGGACCUUUAGAACUCCCUCGAAAAUUCCGGAACCAUUCAAGAUUGGAAUAAAUGCAAUUCAGGUAUAAACUUCGUUUCCAGAAUCUACUGGGGUUCUUCUUAUCAGGUAUGGAUUUAAAUGUAAAAAUGAAAGAGGGUCGUCCAUUAGCAUUUCCAGAAAUGGUGGUGUAAAAGGAUUGUAGAAAAUUAUUUUUCCUUAAGGUUUAGAGUUCGAAGUUCGAACGGUAGAGAAAAAUGGCAGAGGCUUUGAAGAAAAUCUAUUUUGGUUGGGUGCAGAACUGCAGAUAAUUGAAGAUCUAAGGAAGAUAGAAAAUGGGAGGAGCUUAGGGAGAAAUACAGUAGAAGGACAAAACCUGAAUCCUACUCUCAUUGUGUUGAGUUUGGGAAAUCGAAUGGAGCUGUAGUUUGUAGAGGGUAUAUUAUCUACGAUGAAUGGAAAGUAAUCCAACAAGGGCUUGUAGAUAGAUUUGGGCACUCUUUCGAUCUGAAACUAUUCCACAAUGAAAAAGUAACUUUUUUCUGUCAAAACACAAAUGGAAGUAACCGGUUGGGUAAUAUAUGCAUUUGCAGAUUGCAGGGCAAUGUCAUCAUGGUGUUACGAGGAUGGGUACAACAUUAUUGAUAGAUCAUUGAAUGAUUGAUAUUGAAAGAUUAAAAAUUACUUUUAAGGUUUUGGCUCAUUGUUCGUAGUUAUUAUUAUUGACACGACUGAACAACUAGCUAUAUUACCAUUACGAUUAUUAUGGGGUACAAUACCUUGAUUGAUUAAUUGGCUGGAUCAUCGGGAUUAUAGGUGAUAUAUUAAUUGUUGGGCCACAAGAUUAUAGGUGAUAUAUUGAUUAGCCGAGUCAUCGAGAGCGCAUGUGACACUAUGUGACAUGAGCAAUUGAAUAACAUAAAUAUUUUAUUGAUAAAUGAUUUCUUAGAUGAUUAAAUAUUUGAAAAUGAUUAUUACAUGAUGACUUAACUUAAAAUGAAUUUUAUCAUACUCAUGCAAUAGAUUGUAAAAUGAAUAUUGUUUUCCAAUUUAUGGUUCCUUAUAAUGAUUAUUAUGUAUUUUAUUGUUAUUGGUAAUCUCAUGCAUGAAUUUACUUACCAAGUUGAUGGCUCACCCCUCGUCUCCAACAUUUUGCAAGUUAAUUUUAGAGAUGUGGGGUUUUUGGGUUAGAGAAGAGGAUUUUUUAGCUAACACAUUUUCUUUGAUGAAUAAAUUGUCAUUAUUUUGGUUAUUGUUCACAGUUGAAUUUGUUUUGGAUGAUUAUUGUUAUAUUUAUUAUUUUAGAGAUUUUAUUUUGAUAGUGGACAAUAUUGAUUUUUAUAUUAAUAAGAUUAAUAUCACAAGGUUUCAUUCAUUCCCAAUUCCUCUUGUAAAUUAUAGGGUGAAUUUGGGUUAUUACAUUAUUAAUUAAAUUUCUACAUAGAUGACAUUACAAAGAUGUUGAUCAAAGACUAAAAUAUUUCGGAGAAGAUGGUAAUGUUGUUAGGGUGCACCAAAUUUAAAACCUUACUACUAAUAUAAAUAAUUAGUACAGAGCGAGUAAGGAUCGAUCCCACAGAGACUAUGCUAGUUGUAUUUAUUAUCAACUAUGCUAGUUGUAUUUAUUAUCAACUCUAAAGCAGAACUUAAAAUAAAAUAAUAAUAGAAAUAAUAAUAUAAAUUAAUCUAACUAAAGAAAAUGCCAACUAAAAAUAGAGAAAAGGGGGGUUUUUGAAUUUUUAACUAAAUAGCAAGAAAUAAAGAAAUUAAAACUGCGAAAAUAAUAAUUUAAUAAAAACUCUAAUUAAAGGAGAAAGAAAUAAUAAUGAGAAAAACUUUGGUUAAAUGAUCGCCACCACCAAACCUGCACAUAAUAUAUCAAUUCUAUCAUUAAUUUAUAUUGAAACUAUCAACUGUAGACAACAAUAAUCUCUGUUAGUCUCAAUCUUUUCUUAGUAUGUCGUUAGGCAAAACAAGCUCUUCAUCUAAUCUCUAACUAUUAAAUAAUUUAAAACAAACUCUUUAAAUUUAAGAUAAUAGAAGCAUUAAGUAGAGAAAGAUAUUAGGUUGAUUUAGGCAAUAAACACACAAGCUUGGAUUAUUUAACUUAGGUUAUGUUCUCCAAUCGAAAUCACUGAUUCCAACCUACUACUAAUUAUUAAAAUAUCAAGACAAUUAUGGAUCAAGAAUUUUAAUCUAGCAAUAGAAUUUAUUCAAGUUCUAUCUAAUUGGCCACUCAAAUAAGACAAGAAUAAAAUCAUAAACAUUAAUUAUAGAAGAACAUAAACAAUCUCAAUUAAAUAAAUUGAAUGAUAGAAAUUAAAAAAUUCAAUUGCAUAGCAUAUUUAGGGUUUUGAAUUCACCCUCAACCAAAUAAAAAAUCUAUUCUAACAUAAUUAAAUUGAGAAUAAAAGAGUUAAUAAAACUAGACAUAGAGACUAAUUCAAACGGCUGUCUCCUCUAUUUUUUCUCUUCUCCUUUGCGGCUGCAAAUUAUUUUUGUAUGUGUGGCUGCCGAUCCUCCAAUUCUCCUCUAAUUCUGCCGCAAGUCUAGCUUUUAUAGUAGCUUUUAUUGUGCGCCUUAAAUCCUCACAUGGAAAGGAUUAAAAACAAAAGCCAAGCCGCCACUUUUUGUUCAUGCAUGCACAUUACUUGUACAAUUAAUUGGCCAAUGAAUAUUGUUAAAGCCAAAGCCCAUCACGUGCUUGCCAUUUAAAGCCAUGCCAAAAUAUUUGCUUCCUCAAUUAAUCACAAUAUAUGUUUCCCACGUGAUUGCAUGCAUGUUGAUUAAUCAAAUUAAAUCUUUCUUUCCUAAUCUCUUGUGCACUUUUGUCUCCCAAUCUUUAAUUCUUUUCCUAUUUUUAUUCUUUCAAUGAAAUUUCUUUCCUAAAUGCUCUGAUUUAAUUUCUCUUUAAUCCCAAAAUAUGUCUAAAAUAAUAAAAUAAAAAACUAAGAUAAAAAUUAACACAAUAAAAUAUAAUUUUAACAAAAUAACUAAAUUAAAAAUUAACUGAAAUAACUAGAAUAUUUAAGAUCAAAAUAAGAAAAAGAUGGAGAAAUUAAUAGCAAAAUAUAUGAAAAAUAUGCACUUAUCAGAAGACUAAGAGUGCGUUUGGGAGUGAGGUACUGAAACUUUUAAACUGCAGCUACUGUGAAGUAAAAGCUAUAGAUGUUGAGUAGAAGCUGAUGAUAUUUGAUAAAGAUGCUGUAACUUUUAAGCUGCAGAAGCUGAUAGUGUUUGGUAAAUAUAUGUGUCUAGUAUUUUCAAUUUUAAUUUCACAAUUUUUAUAUAUAUAUAAUUUUAUAAAAAUCUCGGGACCCAUAUUAUUCAGUUAAGACACUGUGAGACAAUUUUGAAUUUAAUAAGAAACAAAUAGUUUUGAAAAUGUUUUUGGUAUUGGAUCCUCCUAAAAAUUUUAUUGGAGAUACCCAUGGAUGUCGAGAAUAGAUCUAUGUAAUUUUGUGUCAUUUUGAUUAUUAGAUUAAGAGUUAAAAUUCAGAGAAUCAGACUUCUACGGGUAUGAAUUAGAAAAUUAAGUUCUUGGAAUAAGUUGUUAAUAGUUAUUUCUUGUAUUUGUUUAAAGUAUUGGAGGUGUUUGAGACUGUUAGAGGCUUAGAGGUGUGUUUAAAUCAUUGCUUUUAUCAAGAUAAGUAACUCUAUUCCUAAUGUACUUGAUAUCUAAUGUACUAGAUAUAUAUGAUAAUUUUGAUAUUUCAAUAUUAUUACAAGUACGUGUGUUUUCUUAGUUCUUCAUAACAAAAAUAAUUGAUGUGAGUGUUUUUAAAUUUGAAAAUUAUGCCAUUUUUAUGGUUUUAACAAAAUAUUAUAAAUGCCUUUAAAUGUGCAAUUUAUUUUGCUAGAUAAUUAUAUUUUUGAAAUUAUCUAUAAAAUGUUAGAAUGGAAAUUGUUCUGCAAGCCUAAAUCAUUGUUAUGAUCAUUUAUGAAUCUAAUAUGAAUAUUAUGUUCACGUAUUCUAUUUAAAUUAUCUAUGAAAAUUUAUGCGGGAGCCACCUUUUGAGACUGUAUGGGGGCCAUAUCUCGAGGACUAAAGUGCCACGUACAUUAUAAAGUACCACGUGUAAUUUGCUACAAAGGAAAAAUAAAUUUAAAUAAUUUGGUUCAUUGUCCAUAGUCAUUUUGAUUCCGUUAUAUACUUACACACACACACAAACACAGAGUAUUGAGUUUCUAUUCAGAUUGUGUCUAUGAUAUUCUGAUUCUCAUUCUAUUCCAGCCUGGUCAUCGAGAGUAUAAGUGACACUAUGUGACAUGAGCUAAUCUUUUGUGUCCUGUAUUUAUAUAUUAUAUGAUUUGUUUCUAUGAUUAAUUAUGAUUUCGAUAUUCUGGAUCAUUUAUGAAUUUGUCCUUAUGUUAUUAUAUCUCAUUGUAAAAUUUAUGUUUUUUUAUUGUGAUAUAUAUAUUGGUAAACAAGGCUUGCAAUACUUUUGGUAUCGGAUAUCCUUGGGGUGUUGGGAAUGGUUUUACUUGCCGAAUUGAUAGCUCACUUCUCUUCAUUACUUUUUGCAGAUUGAGUGACUUGUUGAGAGAUGUGCUUAUCUUUGGAGUUAGAGAUUAAUUUACUUUUGCUAGUUGAAUAAAAGAAGGACGAAUUUCUAUUUCUUUUAAGCUUGUUAGUCUUCUCAACUUGUAAUUGGAGAAUUUUGAAACUUUUGUUACAUUUAUGAUUUGGGAGAGAAAUGUCAAGUAUUUGACUUGUGGAUUUGUUGAUUUGUUUAAUAAAAAUUGAGAUAUUUCAGGUUGAGAUUUUGUGUAAGGAUUUCAAUAUGUAAGUAAUCUCCUACUAUCACAUGCUCCACACGUGUUAAAUUUGGAGUGUUACAACUGUUAAGCUUUGCAUAUCCAAAUUGAUUAAGUUGAAAAUUAGGGUAAGAUGAUAGGAUUCUAGGGUUUUACUUAGAGAAUUCAAGAGAGAAAAGAUGAGGAAUUUAAGAAUUUAGAGGGGAGAGAGAAGAAUUAACAGGGGUUAGAAUUAAUUUUAUUAUUGCUUGCUUAAAAACAUAAUGAGAACCACUUACUUAUAGUGGCUCAACACAUUCCUAAUUCUAAUCUAAUUAGAACCUUAAAUUAUAAUUAUAGUAAGAAAACCUAAUCCUAAUAGGAAAGAAAAAAUAAACCACUUGGGUUCUGUAGAGAUUUGAUUGAACUGCUAAUCUUAUAAAACCAAAACUCUGCCCAUGAUCUUUGACUAAGAUCAACAGAAGUUGCACACAAGCAAUAAAAUUGAACCAGAAUCUAUUCAAUAUCCUCUCAACAGACUUAGCCACUCAAGAACAGAAAUUAAACAACAGAAAAGAAUGAAUCAGAAACAAAAUCACAGAGAGAGCAAGAGAUAACGUGGUCCAAUCUUUUUCAAGACUUGCAUUCCCGAGUGAAAACAUCAGAGAUUGUUUUUUUGAUCGAUUCAACGAAGAAACUACAAGUACUCAGAAUUAAGGAUACAGAGCUUAAGAAUUAGUUUUCUCUCUCCAAGAUUCUCUCUCGAAUACUCUCGAAUCACUCCCGCAAGUGAGGUGCAAAACCAGCUUUAUAUUACAGGGGGAUAACAGAACAAUGAACCCAGAUAGCACAGCCCUCUUCCACGUGCCCAAGACCGUUAAAAGAACAGGGAUGCACUUAAGUGACCACGUGACUUAGCACGCGCAAUUUCUUGAAUCUGUUAUGAGUAAAACGCAAGCUUUAACGUCGUUUACAGUUAGUAAUCACGAGCUCCCUGACGUGACUUCAUAACGGAUUUAACCGAUGGCCCAAUACGCUGCCGUUUGCUCUGGUUUGUGUUUGAAUUCAUUGACUCUACAGGUUCUAAUAGAUUCUUUUGUUUCAAAAUGAAGAUUGAAGAUCAUCCACGGCAGUAGGAGAUUUAAGUUGGAAGAUCAUCCAGAAUUUAUUUCCUUCUUUGCAAGUUGUGUUCUCUCAAGACUCGCAGCUAGAGAUGGCAAAUAUCCAAUUAUGGAUGGAUAAUAUCCAUCCAAAUACAAAUCCAUAAUUAUUCAUGAUGGAUAUAUCUAUAUCCAUAUCCAGUAUUUAAUAUUGGACAUGGAUAUGGAUUUUAUCCAUAAAGAUAUGGAUAUCCAUGAAUAUUUUAUUUUUAUUAUAUAAAAAAUAAUAAUAAAAUAAAAUAAAAAAUAAUAUAAAAUAGUUAAAAACAGUAUUAAAUUCUAAUAUCAAAUAAAAAAUAAUAAACAUAACAAAUAUCAAAACUAUGAAAUAAAAAAAUUAUAAUAUGAAAUUACAAAUUAAUUUCAAAUUAAAUACAAAAAGUUCAUUCUUCUAACGCAUCAUUAAUCUCCAAUCUUCUAACACAUCAUUAAUCUCCAACUAGAUCAUCAUCAUUAAUCUGCAAAUUCAAUCAAAACACAGAUAAUAUUAAAUGCACAAUGAGCCAAAUGAAAAAUGAAAGAAGCUUAAUAGUGUAAGUUCAGCCAGUUGUGACAGUUACCUGCGGAUAUGAUGAGUGCUUGACCAGUAUAAUUCAGGUUUGCCUUUGUCCAAGGAAUUUUUCAAACUGCAACCAACUGAUAACAAAAAGUAAAUGAGAAAAUGACAGAAAAAAGCCAGACCUGCCAUUUGAUGCAUGAAUAGAGCAGAUAUGAACUAAACAGGAAAUUCUGAAACCAUAUAAUUUGCCACCAUGGCCAUAACAAAUGAAAUAUCUUUGGCAGCCGGAUAGAUUUUCAAAUCAAGUGAAACUUAAGAUGAAUAACACAGGACAGAAGAUUAGGUAAUAGAAGACAGGGCCACAGAACAGAACACCAGGGAUCUGUAACAUUGAGGUCCUUUCCUAAAAAUAUACUCUUCAAUUAGGCACAACAAUAAGCAUCAAGCACAUACCAAAAAAAGAAAAAUAAACACUAUUCAGAACAUGGUUGGGUCUCCUCUUCAUCAUCAUUAUCAGUCACUUCUCCAUUUAUUUCUUCCCCAUUCAUCACUUUAUCUUUAGGAAUCUCACCUAAUUUAAAAAAAAAAAAACUUGUAAAAUAUAAAAAAAAAAACAAAUACUAUCAAAAUCAAAUAAGUGCAUAAGUGAGCUGAAUUUGAUACCUUUUAAUUGAGCCCAUAUCCAAUUCUGAGUACACAUUAAGGCCUCUACUGUACUCGGAUGAAGUCUACUACGAUGUGGGCUUUAUCAAAUGCAUCUUUUUUCUUGUAGACCUUAGAUGCUUGACUAGGGCUAGAAGCUGGAGCUGGAGCUGAUUCUUGUAUCUGUUUGGGACACCUAUCAAUAUGGUUUAACAAAUGUGAAGUUCCACUUGAUUGCUGUCCAGCAAAACCUUUGCCACAAUGAUUACACACUGCCUUCAUUUCUCCAUUAAUUGUUCUCCUUGUGAAAUGGUCCCAAGCUCUAGAUGCUUGUCUCAAUGAGCUUCUAGGUUGUCCUUCCGAGUCUCGUUUUGUACCUCCACUAAUUGAAUGAGUUUGUGGAUUUUCAGCAUUAACAUUACUUGAGGCUUGAGGGUUUAAUUGAACAGCAGGAUCAGAAUCAAAAUCAGACAUAAUUAACCUGAAAAAAGACAUUACAGAGCAAUUAUUAACAAUCCCUAAACUUCCAGAACUAGCUAGCUCGUUUGUUUGGAAGUAGUAGUAGUGCUUAACAUGAACCAUAUAGAGAUCAAUUAGAUGAUAAUCUAACUUCCAGCAUCCGUCAAUAUUUUAUUUCACAAUGGGAGGGCCACAUUUCCACAAAUGGCAACACCCAAUAGCAAAUGGAGCCUCAACUGAUUUCGGCCUCUAGAAGCUGAAAAAGUUUUGUUGGAAAAUUCGACUAUCAGAUUUCAAAUGAUUAUGUGAAAGGCCAUAUAUUAUAUAUACUAGCAGAUUCUUUGAAGAAAGUAACCACUGCAUAUUGAAACUCUUCCAAUUCCUCUCUCUCUCUCUCUCUCUCUGUACACACACACACACACACACACACAGAGCCAUGUAAACAAAAAUAAGAAAAAUAAUGGAAGCCAUAAAGGCAUAAGAUUUUAGGCUUGUAAAAGCUUAUUUCAUGUUUAAUCAUGGAGCCAAAUUCAUAAACUAAAUUAAACCCCAUCCAGCAAUUAAUCAAAAUCUAGAUUUGUGACUGACAAAAGGUGAAGAAAAUAUUUGCAUAAUUUUAGUAAAAUCACCAGAAAUACGGUGAAAAUGCUGGGUACUGUGAAGAUCAAUCAAAGCCAAAUAUAUAUUAAACGGCUUAUAAGCUUCAGCAAUCAAAACUUACCUUGCGCGGGAGACAACGAACAGGCGGACGGACGACGGUGGUGGCAGCGACGACAGAGACGAUGGUAGCUGGAACGAGGCAGAAAAACGCUCAAGAACAGCUGGAAGCUGCAGUUACGGCUGAUCAACCAUUGGUACAGCGCCGGCACACCUAAACGGAACCCCCGGAAAGCGGCGUCGGAGUCGGGGAAGAGCGUCGGUAAGCAAAGACCGGCCGGCGAGCGAUGUGAUAAUCUUAGGUUUUGCUAUCCAGACAUUUGUUUUUGCUUAUUUCAUUUUAGUUUUACGAUUUUAAUUUUUUAAUUUCAAAUAAGAUAUUAAUUGGAUAUUGGGUAUCCAUUGGAUAUCCAUACCCAUCCAAUUUUUAUUUGGAUAUUUUUUUAAAAUAUCCAUAUUCAUAUCCAAAAAAUUUUGGAUGGAUAUUAUCCAAUCCAAUUGGAUUGGAUGUAUGGAUAUCCAAUUUAAAUGGACCAAAUUGCCAUCCCUACUCGCAGCUCCGCCAAAUUCUGGCGUGAAGGCUUAUCACCUUCCUCUUUAAUGCAGCUUUGCAGCCCACAUCAGUCGCCAGUUGGAGUCAAAUUAAUGAAAAAUUUAGGGUCGUGUAAUUGGUCUCAUGCAUCCACAAAUUUGAUAAAUUUUAACUCACAAUGGGUAUAAACUUAUGGUGAUUUAAUAAGAAUGCAGUGAAGAAUUAAGAGAUAUUCAAGUGCCUGCAAUUGUGUUGGUUUCCCAAAUCCCAACCAAUCCAACAUUUCAGGAUAAGGCUUUUUGUUUAAAUUAAUAGCACAACGUUCCAGAGGGAUAAUCCAAAUUCUUGUUGCGUUCUCUCAACUCUCAAUUCUCAUGAUAUUAGUUAAAGCUUCGUAAAGAACAUUUCGCAGCCUUAGAUGGAGGAAUCUGAAGCAGAGAUGGCGUCAUUGCCCAAAGAUUAAGGCUUUGAAUUAACUCUUUCCUGGCAUGUUUCUUUGAUUCAUGAGGAUUUACAUUUUCUUUUCUUUUUUUCACAAUACAUUAAUUAAAAAUUAUACAAGUGGAAGAAGGAAGCAAGUAAAGUAAAUCAAACAUUGAACAUGACAAGGCACAAGAAGCAAGCGAGUCUCAGGUAUCAAGCUUUCCUAGGCGACAACCAAGUUCAACAAAGCAAAGGUGAAGCAAGGCAAACAAGAAUUCAAGCCGCACGUCAUAGAUCACGAAAGUGAAGACUCACCAAGCUUCAACACAGUGAACAAAUCAAGGCUGCUUAUUCUGUAUUUGAUGGCUCUCUCUGUGAUUUUUUUAUUCUGCUUUCAUUUAAUUAUUUUGUUAAUUCCUUUGUUUCUUGAUUAAAUAUCAAACAGUUAAGUGAGGUCCUGGAGGAUCAUGAUCGGUCAUCUAACACUCUCAAACACGAGUUCUUGAUCUAACUUCCACAAACCUGCGAAGUAUUUUGACUUUAGUUGGCAAAUGAAAACAAGGGUUUUAACAUCAAAGGAAAUGGUACCAAGGAAGAUGGCCAAUUCGGGAAUUAAGAUCACAAAGGAAGCAGAGGAGCUCUGUCGUUGGUCCCUGCAGUAUGCAAGUGAUUUUGAUCCUAAUCUCUCAACUUCACAUCUAUUAUUGCUGGCCUAUCUUCUUCCGACACAGAGAGACAUUUCAAGGCAAGUUCUACAAGAAUUUGCAAUUGCUUCGAUUUUCCUUGACCCGGUUGAAUUCCAACGACAAUGGGGUCUAUUAUCUCAACAAACCUAUUAUUAUCAAUAUGUUUCUUGACCCAAUCCUUAAAUAAAGUUUCAUCAAGACAACAUUGAAAAUCAUAUAUCUUCUUGCCAGUCAAAAGCUCAAGCAGCAAGGCAGCAAAGCUAUUAUUUUUCUCUGAAUGCUCCAUGAGAAUGGUAUUUAUGUUAUGAUUCAACCUAAACCUGAUAAGAUAUUGUCUGUUUUAAGCCUUAACAAGGCCACAUGGUUUUGUUUCAAGGACACCAAUACAUCCCGAAACUCAUCUUAUCAAUAAAAGUGUGGAUUACCUCUUAUAAACUCAACAUCUCUCUUGUACUUCGUCAAUGUGAGAUUUGCCUAGGCUGUUACAAUUUAAGUGCCAUAAAUCCAAAUUUGGCGAUUGUGUGAAGUACUCUUAUGCGUAUUUUAACAUCAGAAACAAAAAUUGGUGACAAGGAGGUAUUACAUGCGUUAUCAUUAAAUUAAUAUACGCACUAAUCUCAAAGUAUGUGUUAUAUACAUGUUCUUAAUGUGGCUCACAUUCAUGAGUUUGAGAUGAAUUAAGACUCAUGAGUUUGAGAUGAAUUAAGACUACUCACAUUUUUUUGAUUAGAUAAUGAUAAAGAGUAGUUGCUCCAUAUUUCUAAAAAAUUAAGAUGAGGAUAAUUUCUCAUUUUCUUGAUGGAGGGUGUUGAUGCGAGAUUCCGGUUCUCCUCGUUCUACGACCAGGAUCUCUGCUCGAUCAACUUCACCACGACCAGAAGGUCUCCCAGUAAUGCUUCCUCUCCAGAUGUCCCUGCACAAACAGACAAGUCAGAGUACGCCGGUUGUUCUCCCGGCGCAAACCCUCCGACGCUCAAGUCAGAUAUCAAGGUUCAGGGAACGCUUGCCACAGGUCUUAUGGCUUUUUCGUGGUUUUUCUCUUUAAUCUAAAAAAUGCCAACCUUUUUACCUUCGUUGGCUACCUUUUUAUAGGCUUCCUCUGAAUCUCAGUCUUCCGCUCUUUUCGAGACGGUAUGGGACUCUAACUGCUGCGUUAUGGGCAAACGUGGGGUCUAGCGUGUUACGCCACGGUUCAGGGGAAAGCGUGGCUGUCAUGGCUCUGUGGGACCUUGCGUGUUACGCCACGGUUCUGGGGAAAGCGUGGCUGUCAUGGUUCUGUGAGAUCUUGCGUGUUACGCCACGGUUCUGGGGAAAGCGUGGCUGUUGUGCCUAGAUUUUCGUGCUGGAGAGCAUGUCUUGCCAACUGCCGUCGACCGGGUCUCCUCGCCUCUCGACCUCUAGCCGGAAUGGCCUUAUGCCUCUUAUAGGAAAUUAGCCUCACGGAUGACAACAUCGUGGACGAGCAGGAUAUUUCUGCUCCUGUUCUUCCGCGCACCAGGCUUUUACGGAACACACCGGUUCGCAGAACUCCGCCAUCAGAUAUCUGCUCGUCAUUCCUGGUCUCGUCAACGUAUUUAUCCCAAACAGUAUCUCUCCCAAACACCGGUCCCCCAGUUUCUGGUGUUGGGUAAUAUAGUGGACCAGCAGUAGAAACUCGAUAGUACUCGCUCGCGUGGGAUUGGAAAAGGCUGCCAAGAGUCAUGUCGCAUUUAAUUGCGGACGAGGUGACGUGGCAGAAAUCCCCCCCUCCAUUUGAAUUUCAAACCGACGGUCAUGAGAUCCUCGGGAUUCGGCGCAGUUAUAUGCUGGCGACCCAAGAGUCCGUCCUCAUUUGGAAAGCCAAAUUCUCUCGAACGGCAUAUUCACCACUCACUCCGUCUCCGUCUCUGUUUCUCCGGCAAAGAAGUUCCGGCACAAAGCCCCCCAUCCUUGCCUUUCUCCGAUUGGAGCAGUACUUCAGGUAUUACUUCUCUCUCCUCGGUCUCGGAUAGUUUGUAGAUAACUUCUUUUUCUUUCGUUUGGGUAGUAGUUAGUGGCGUUGUGGUUAGAGUUUAGGGAAUGUCGAAAGGCAAAGAGAAGGUUAUUGUGGUUGAUGACGACGAGUUGGACUUCUUGCCUAGUCUGCUCACCGAUCCUGCCUUUGACCCCGAGGUCCCCUUAGAGCCUAUUAGGUCUAGUGUCAGGACUAGUGCUAGGAGGAUGUCUCCCCAAACGACCUCUACGAGCGGAAGUAAUGGCGAGGAGAGAUCUUCUGACUCCGAGGACACUUUGAGUGAGGGUCGAGGAGAUGAUUCUGGUGAGGCGUCCCCAUCAGGAGCGCCGCGACCGGAAGGGAGGAGUAGAAUAGGAGGUAGAGCCCUAUCGCGGGAUUACGCUAUUGAUUACAUGACGUGCACGACCACGUUUGAUGAGCUCGAGGACCUCCGGCUGAGGUAUAGCAUUCCUGGUGAAAUACUUCUCAAGGUCCCAGGAAAGAAGGAUGCUCCCAGCCGCCCUCCUAGGGGAUAUGUUACCCUGUAUCUGGACAGCUUUAAGUACGGGCUGAGGUGUCCCUUGCAACCUUACUUUGCCCGGAUACUUAACGGGCUAAAUCUAGCUCCUGGUCAGCUGAAUCCCAAUGGGUGGAAAGUGCUCUCUGGUCUGUUCAUUUUGUGGGACAGAUGUUGCCAAAGCGAGCCCACGGUUGAUGAGGUGAAGCACCUGUACCAGCUAAAGAGCAGCCCCAAAGAUGCCGGCUGGUACUACUUCCAAUCUAGCACCAAGAGCAGGAAACCUAUAACCGACCUCCCUACUGGUGGUGGCGGGAAUUGGAAGAGAAAGUUCUUUUUUGCUGGGGGUCCUUGGGGUCAGGUCGCACAAGUGGACGGGAAGGAUUAUCGGGUCCCACCCCGUUUCACGGUCCCAGGUUGCCUGCUCGCUUCAGAUGCCUUGUAUCCAUACUUGUUCUUGUUUUAUUGGCUUGUUUCUAACCAAGUGUCUUGUUUGUGUUGUAGUUUCUUGGGGUGUUCACUUCCCGCUCGAACCUGACCAGCUCAAACGGGUCGAGGCGGUACUGGCCAAUUCCUGCUCGAGCCGAGAACUGUUAAGUACAUACAACUUGCUCGAGUCUCGCUUGAUACUUCCUGGCCAUAGGAUGGAGGACGCUGUGAUUGGGGCUUUGACCCGAAAACGUUCUCGACCUCCAACCACGAAGAGGGACGAGAGUAAGGAUGCCCCUACUGCAAAGCGGGCCAACAUCGUGCAGCAGGCCCCACCCUUGAAGAUUUUACCUCCUGCUCCUGUAAAAGUUGGGGAACCUAGUGGAGCAGCCACAGAUCCCGCUACCUCUUCUCCUCCUGUCGGGCCUCGGUCUCGCUUACCUGACAGCCGAGCAGAACAUCUGGUCCCUUACCUCAAUGAGUUAGUUAAACUGGUGAGCAAGGAGGAGCUGGAGGACUUUGAUGGCCGCACCUUGGGUGAGCUGGUGGGGGCCAUUCAGCAUAGCGCCUUCCACCUCAGCUGCAUGACCACCUACUACAAGGCUAAGGUGGGCCGCUACGACCGGAAGAUGAAGGGGGAUAUUCAGUCGGCGACGACCAGAGCUGACGUUGCCGAGAAGAAAGCAGGGGAGCUGAAUCUCGAGAACCUGAAGCUGAUAGAGCAAGAAUCACUUGCUCAGGCAAAAGCCAUUACCCUCGAGGAGGAGCUUACCAAGGUCAAGGAGGAUCUGCAAAGGCAGAAGGCAAUGUAUGAGGCUCAGCUCGAAUCUCUCCGCGACUCCCACCGAGCUCAGGUCGAGAACUUGGAGAGGGAGGCCGACAACCAGUACGACCAGGGACUUCGGCAUUCCUAUCGUUGCAUCAUGGCCGUCCUCGGGAAGCAACACCCUGACCUGAAGAUGGAUGACCUUGCAGCUGGUGUUGCUCAGCAUAUGGAUGAGGAGGCGGCCAAGGAAGAUGCCGAGGGGGUAGAGCCGAUCGCGAUCGAGGAGGAAAGUUCUCCUCGUGCAGUCCCUGCUGAUGUUGGCGAGGCGAGCACCCCCCCGGACGCAACUGGUGAUACCCCCCCUGCACCCGAGGAGGUCCAGCCAACCGAUGCUGCUCGGCUCACUGAUCCACCAUCUUUUUGAUGUAUUUCUUUUUGUGUUGUAAUGAACAACGUUUAUGAAAUUUAUCCCCUCUGUUAGCCAUUAACACAUUAAUAAAAAUGUUGUUGUUGAUUACUUUCUUGUGUUGUAAUUACGAAUUAUUUUUCGUCUGAAACCCUGCUCGCUUUUGUCUGAUUGAGCAGGAUCUGGCUUGGCGUAUGGUUUUGCCUAUUCUUAAAAUUUUUUUUUUUUUUUUUUUGCUUGGGGGGAUCUGCUCGUCUUCGCGUGGUCGAGCGGGUCCUGGCACGCUUGGCUUCAGUCUUGCCAUAAACAGGCUUUGACUUGGUGAGGCCUUUGCGGGCCUUAGAAAACUUUUCCGAAUACUUUGGAGUCUGCUCGUCUUCUCAUGAUCGAGCUGAUCCUGGCAUGUUUGGCUUUUGUCUCGCCAUAAAACAGGCUUUGAGACUUGACGAGCCUUUGCGUGCCUUUGGAAUUUCUUCAAACGAUUUGGAUUCUGCUGCCUUCUCGUGGCCGAGCAGAUCCUGGCAUGCUUGGCUCCUGUCUCGCCAUAAGACAGGCUCUGAGACUUGGCGAGCCUUUGCAUGCCUUAGGAAUUUCUUCAAACGAUUUGGAUUCUGCUGCCUUCUCGUGGCCGAGCAGAUCCUGGCAUGCUUGGCUUCUGUCUCGCCAUAAGACAGGCUCUGAGACUUGACGAGCCUUUGCAUGCCUUAGGAAUUUCUUCAAACGAUUUGGAUUCUGCUGCCUUCUCGUGGCCGAGCAGAUCCUGGCAUGCUUGGCUUCUGUCUCGCCAUAAGACAGGCUCUGAGACUUGGCGAGCCUUUGCAUGCCUUAGGAAUUUCUUCAAACGAUUUGGAUUCUGCUGCCUUCUCGUGGCCGAGCAGAUCCUGGCAUGCUUGGCUUCUGUCUCGCCAUAAGACAGGCUCUGAGACUUGACGAGCCUUUGCAUGCCUUUGGAAUUUCUUCAAACGAUUUGGAUUCUGCUGCCUUCUCGUAGCCGAGCAGAUCCUGGCAUGCUUGGCUUCUGUCUCGCCAUAAGACAGGCUCUGAGACUUGACGAGCCUUUGCAUGCCUUUGGAAUUUCUUCAAACGAUUUGGAUUCUGCUGCCUUCUCGUGGCCGAGCAGAUCCUGGCAUGCUUGGCUUCUGUCUCGCCAUAAGACAGGCUCUGAGACUUGACGAGCCUUUGCAUGCCUUUGGAAUUUCUUCAAACGAUUUGGAUUCUGUUGCCUUCUCGUGGCCGAGUAGAUCCUGGCAUGCUUGGCUUCUGUCUCGCCAUAAGACAGGCUCUGAGACUUGACGAGCCUUUGCAUGCCUUAGGAAUUUCUUCAAACGAUUUGGAUUUUGCUGCCUUCUCGUGGCCGAGCAGAUCCUGGCAUGCUUGGCUUCUGUCUCGCCAUAAGACAGGCUCUGAGACUUGACGAGCCUUUGCAUGCCUUAGGAAUUUUUUCGGUUUCAAGCGAAUGAAAUUCGUUGACGUUCCAUUAAUGGCAGGAUCUGACUUACAUGAAAUUGUUCGGACAUAAAGCGUGAAAAAUAAACGAUAAUAAACAUGAGCAAAAAUAGCUUUCAAAUGUGAACAAGUCUUACUGGAAGUAUUUCCGGAGGUGUGCUGCGUUCCAUGGGCGUUUCACUUCGUGGCCAUCCGCGCGAACCAGCUUGUAAGCUCCGGACCCCGCUAUCUGCUUGACUCUAUACGGCCCUUCCCAAUUCGGUCCCAGCACUCCUUGAGUCGAGUCUUUGGUGCUCUGAUUCACUCUUCUCAGUACCCAGUCUCCGACCUUGAAUUGCCGUAUGUUCACCUUCUGGUUAUAAUACCGAGCAACCCUCUGUUGGUAAGUGACUGAUUGCUCGGCUGCUUGCUCCCUCCUUUCCGUUAGCAGGUCAAGAUUCAAACAUAUCUGCUCGUCGUUAUCGCGCUCGUUGAAAUGAUCUGUCCGGUGUGUGGUCGUUCCUAUCUCAGCCGGCACGACCGCUUCAUGUCCGAAAGCCAAAGCGAACGGUGUCUCCCCAGUUGCGGUUUUGUGGGUCGUUCUGUAUGCCCAUAACACACCUGACAGCUCGUCAACCCAAGCACCCUUUUUUGCUCCGAGUCUGGUUUUCAGAAGCCUCUUGAUGGUCUUGUUGGCUGCUUCUACUUGUCCAUUCGAUUGAGGGUGAGCAGGCGAGCAAUACUUCAGCUCUAUCCCGAGGUUCUGGCAGAAAUCCCUGAAGCUGUGAUUAUCGAACUGCCUGCCAUUAUCCGUUACCAAGGCAUAUGGGAUCCCGUACCGACAGACCAGGUUUCUCCACACGAAGUCUGUUGUUUUCUUCUCUGUGAUCCUGCUAAGGGCUUCUACCUCUAUCCACUUUGUGAAGUAAUCUAUAGCAACUAUUGCAUGUGUUGCUGCUCCUCGUCCCUUUGGCAAUGGGCCGAUCAAAUCAAUUCCCCAUUGAGCGAAUGGCCAAGGGGAGGCCAUGGAGGUAAGCUUCUCUGGUGGUUGGUUAGAGAAAUUUGCAAAACUCUGGCAGCUUGCACAGCUCCUGGUCUUCCUCUGCGCAUCCUGGUGCAUCGUCGGCCAGAAAUAUCCCUGCCUUAGAACCUUGUGGGCCAGGGACCUCCCGCCAGAAUGAUUUCCGCAAAUUCCUUCAUGUACUUCCCUCAGCACGUAAUCCGCGUCGUCAUCGUCCAAACACCGAAGGAACGGUAAUGUAUAUCCUCGCCGAUACAGUACCCCAUCGAUCAUCGUGUAUCUCGAGGCCUGAGCUCUAAUCUUCCGAGCUCGCAGCUUAUCUGGUGGUAAGACCCCGUCUCUAAGGUAUGAAACUAUCGGGUCCCUCCACGAGCCUUUUUGUUCUAUCCGCAACACCCCCAAAUUCUGCUCGAUACUUGGGCUGGACUUCACCUCCAGAGGGACAGACUUUGGCAUUUUCGGGUCGGCUACUGCUGCCAUCCUAGCCAAAAUGUCUGCUCGACUAUUCUGCUCCCUGGGGAUUUGUAUCACCUCAACUGCUUCGAACUUCCCCAUCAUCUGUCUGACUAUCUUCAGGUACUGCUCCAUCUUCUCCUCUCUUGGUUGGAAUCUUUCACUGACAUGAUUCGCAACCAGCUGGGAAUCCGUUCGGAUCCUAACUCUGUCUGCUUUUACGGCCUUAGCCAAUUCCAGACCUGCUAUCAAGGCUUCAUACUCUGCUUGGUUAUUGGUGGCUGCAAAUUCCAAUUUUAUAGCAUAAGAGAUCUCCUCCCCCUCUAGGCCUUCCAAGACAAUCCCUGCUCCUGAACCCCGCUCCCCUGAUGACCCAUCCACGGAUAUCUGCCAUACUUGAGUUUCGUCGUUGCCUAUAACUGCAUCUUGUUGAUCUAAGCAUACUUCGGGCUCUGCGAACUCAGCUACGAAAUCGGCCAUUGCCUGGGCCUUUAUCGCUGCGCGGGGUUUAUAGUCUAUAUCGAACUCGCUCAGCUCUACAGCCCACUUGACGAGCCGACCAGAGGCAUCUGGCUUGUGCAGAAUUUGACGCAAUGGCUGGUUGGUUAUUACCGAGACCGGGAAUGCUUGAAAGUAUGGCCUCAACUUCCGAGCAGCAACCACAAGGGCGAGUGCCCAUUUCUCCAACGGUGGGUAUCUGGUCUCAGUGUCGAGCAGGGCCUUGCUGGUGUAGUAUAUCGGAUACUGAACUCCUUCUUCCUCUCUCACCAGAACGGAACUGGCGGCCCGAUCCGAUACCGCCAAAUACAGAUUCAACUUGUCCCCUUCCCUCGGUGUGGACAGUAGCGGAGCCUGCUGCAAGUAUUGCUUCAAGUUCCGGAAGGCUUCCUCGCAUUCUGGGGUCCAUUCCGUUUUCUUUCCCCUCCUUAUCACUUGGAAGAAUGGCUGACACUUAUCUGUAGCCUUGGAUAUGAAUCUGCUCAACGCCGCCAACCUCCCCGUGAGGCUCUGCAUCUCCUUCAGGUUUCGAGGAGACGUCAUUUGCACAAUCGCCUGGAUCUUCUCGGGAUUUGCUUCAAUCCCCCUAUGGCUCACCAUGAAUCCCAGGAAUUUCCCUGACUCGACCCCAAAAGCAUACUUCUCCGGGUUGAGCUUCAUCUUAUACUUCCUCAAAAGCUCGAACGUCUCCUCGAGAUGUCUGACAUGUUCCUUCGGGAUUUUGGACUUGGUGAUCAUGUCGUCCACGUACACCUCCAUGGUUUUCCCGAUCAAGGGCUUAAAGACUUUAUUCACCAGCCUUUGAUAAGUGGCCCCAGCAUUCUUGAGACCGAAUGGCAUCACCCUGUAACAGAACAAACCUUGGUUAGUGAUGAAAGCCGUGCUCUCCUCAUCCGGCUCGUACAUGGGGAUCUGGUUGUAUCCCGAGAAUGCGUCCAUGAAGCUAAGCAGACCAUGUCCAGCCGUUGAAUCUACUAGCUGAUCGAUCUUUGGUAAAGGGAAGCUGUCUUUUAGGCACGCCUUAUUGAGGUCCGUGAAAUCCACACACAUCCUCCACUUGCCGUUUGCCUUCUUUACCAACACCACAUUUGAUAUCCACUCUGGGUAAUUGACUUCCCGAAUGGACCCUACUCUCAGAAGCUUCUCCACCUCAUCAUUUACAGCCUCAUACCUCUCCUGGUUGAAGCACCUCCUCUUCUGCCUUACUGCCCGAGCACCUUUCUUUAUUGCCAGCUUAUGACAUGCUACCUCUAGGUCAAUCCCUGGCAUGUCUUCAUGUGUCCAGACAAACACGUCAGCAUGAGCCUGUAAGCAUUUCACCAACUCCUGCUUUUGCUCUCCCUUAAGUCUCGACCCGAUUCUGAUCGUCUUUCCCGGGUUCUCUGGUCCCAUGCUUACUGUUUCCAGAUCCUCUACGGGUUCUUGUCUGCCAGUCUUGUUUUCUACUCGGGUAUCGAGGGAUGUUAUCUGCAUUGCCUCCCUUGCUGCCGAGGAGUAGCAGCUUCUUGCGAUCCUCUGGUCUCCUCGUACCACUCCGACUACCCCAUUCACCCGAUAGUUCAGAGCCAGAUAGUGGUUGGACAACACCGCUUUGCUCAUCCUUAAAAAUGGCCGACCUAGGAUCAUUUGGUAAGGACCUUCCUCAUCCACUACGACGAAGUCCAGUAUCAUUGUUCUUUCUGUCGGGGGGCUCCCAAUUGUGAUAGGCAGUUCGACCACGCCCAGAGGGACCAGCUUCCCUCCUCCGAACCCCUUCAAGGAGGUGUUGGUGUAUUCCAGCUUCCGGUCGGCUAUUCCCAUCUCUUCCAGGGUUGACUUAAAUAACACAUCAACUGAGCUCCCUGUAUCAAUCAGUAUCCGGUCAAACUUCUUGCUAGCGAUAGUAGCCUUGAUGACUAAGGCAUCCUCGUGGGGGUAUAGAAUCCCUUCCUCAUCCUGCUCCGUCCACAUGAUUGGCACUUGCCUGACCCUUGCUCGUUUAGCUGCUGGGGUGUUGAGGAGUACCUCUUUGCUGGUCAUGGCGUACCUAGCAUAAUUCUUCCUCGAUCUGUUCGAAUCUCCGGCCAACGUUGGGCCCCCAGCUAUCACCCUUACUGCGGGCUGCUCGCGUCUCAUGGUUCUAUCACUCUGCUCCCCUUCAUCUGUUGUGGCCACCAUCGGAAAAGUCCCAUCCAUAAACUCGUCCAGGUACCGAUUUCUCACCAGAUCUUCGACCUGGGUCUUGAGAUCUCUACACUCUGCUGUGGUAUGGCCAUGGGUGCCAUGGAACUUACAAUAACGUCCUCUAUCCCUUCUGUUGGGCAGCUUUGUUAUUGGUGUAGGGAGGUGCAGCAGCCCUCGAUCCUUUAUGGCCUCGUACACCUCAUCCAGGGGCAUCCUCAGGGGAGUGUACCGCCCAUAGUCCUGGUUCUGGUCGACCAGAUGCACUGCUCUUUCUCUGUUUGCCCCACUGUGAGUUGGGGGCGGUGGAAGUGCUUCUGGUCUGCUCGCCCUGUUACCGUGGGAAUGUUGAUGAAGACCACCGGAUGCCGAAUCAUGCCUUCUCCAAGGCUCCCUAGCUGGGGAACGAGGAGGUGGCGCCUUGCUGCGCUGAUACUGUGGCGGCCUCUGAUGAGGCUGGUAAGCAAUCACCCUACCUCCUGAUCCAUUACCGGAGACUUGGUGGUCCCUCCUCCUGACCGGCCCAUUCCCUAGUAAUGCUUUCUUCUCUUUCCUCCCUAAUCCUUCCAACUGGUCUGUCUUGAUCCGUGCAGCCUUCUCCUCCUCAAUCUCGAUGUCUCUUUUAGCCUGUUCGUAUGCGGCUGCAUACGUUUGAAUAGCUGGGCUUCUCAAAUUGUACCACAGCCUUCCUAUCUUCACCCCUUCUUUCAAUCCCCUUAACGCCUGAGGGUGGUUGAAGGCUCCCAAGUCGAGGACAGCCCGAUGAAACCUCUUGAUGAAUUCCCAAAGGGUUUCUUGCUCCCCCUGUUUCAUGCUUUUCAGCUCCAUCAUGUCAUCUUCCGGUGACAUUGCCCCACUAAACUGCUCUGCGAAUUCCUGGCACAUCUGCUCGAAGGUUUUAAUGCUGCCCCGAGGAAGUUUCCUGUACCAUUCUCGUGCACGUCCCUCAAGGGAUAGUGGGAACACCCUGCACCUUUGGGAUGGAGAUAAUCCCUGUACCCCCGUCAUGUCGUUGAAGCGCUCUAUGUGCAUCAGCGGGUCAGUUCUUCCCGAGUAUCUGAGGUCGGGGAGGCGAAAAUCUCUCGGAAUAACUGCCCUCAUGAUCUCUGCUGCGAGCGGUGAUUCUCCGUCCAGCAUUAUCCUCCAACCAGGGGCUCUGUUCCUCCCUUGCAUGUCGUCAAUUAUUUGCGCUAGCCUUCGCACUUCCUCCUCCAGCUGCCCUGCACGACCAGGGUCACGUGCUGCAACUUGAUCCCGCUCUCGCUCUACAUCAUGCAAGUGUUGCCUUAGCUCUGUUUCCUCUGCAUUCACCACCCCGUCGCCCUCGUCACAAGUCUGUCUUGCCGGGGACUGCUCUCUUUCUCUAUGAAAUUCACCCCGCAGGGGUACGUUACCUCUCUCACCACCAAAUCUCCCUGCGGUUUGACUUCUCCCCGCACUAUCGGGACCUGGUGCCGCUCCACCGCCUCUAACCCUUCCCUUUUGGGUUACCCUUCGCUCGUUCCGCAGCUCAUGCAGGAUGGUUGUGAAGGUCUCCAUCUGCUUUUCCAUUCGUUCCAUCCGGUCGAACAUGACUUUUUCCCGUGCUUCGCUGAUUACCUCCCUCAGCGUCACGGAAUCGUUAAGCCUCAUGUCACCCCCUUGUGCGCUACUUCCUCCUAUCUCCAUUGCUUUUCGCUUACUCCACCCCUCUUCUUGCUAUCGACAGAAGCUUUUUGCUCUGAUUUCCCACAGACGGCGCCAAAAUGUUGAUGCGAGAUUCCGGUUCUCCUCGUUCUACGACCAGGAUCUCUGCUCGAUCAACUUCACCACGACCAGAAGGUCUCCCAGUAAUGCUUCCUCUCCAGAUGUCCCUGCACAAACAGACAAGUCAGAGUACGCCGGUUGUUCUCCCGGCGCAAACCCUCCGACGCUCAAGUCAGAUAUCAAGGUUCAGGGAACGCUUGCCACAGGUCUUAUGGCUUUUUCGUGGUUUUUCUCUUUAAUCUCAAAAAUGCCAACCUUUUUACCUUCGUUGGCUACCUUUUUAUAGGCUUCCUCUGAAUCUCAGUCUUCCGCUCUUUUCGAGACGGUAUGGGACUCUAACUGCUGCGUUAUGGGCAAACGUGGGGUCUAGCGUGUUACGCCACGGUUCAGGGGAAAGCGUGGCUGUCAUGGCUCUGUGGGACCUUGCGUGUUACGCCACGGUUCUGGGGAAAGCGUGGCUGUCAUGGUUCUGUGAGAUCUUGCGUGUUACGCCACGGUUCUGGGGAAAGCGUGGCUGUUGUGCCUAGAUUUUCGUGCUGGAGAGCAUGUCUUGCCAACUGCCGUCGACCGGGUCUCCUCGCCUCUCGACCUCUAGCCGGAAUGGCCUUAUGCCUCUUAUAGGAAAUUAGCCUCACGGAUGACAACAUCGUGGACGAGCAGGAUAUUUCUGCUCCUGUUCUUCCGCGCACCAGGCUUUUACGGAACACACCGGUUCGCAGAACUCCGCCAUCAGAUAUCUGCUCGUCAUUCCUGGUCUCGUCAACGUAUUUAUCCCAAACAGUAUCUCUCCCAAACAGAGGGAAGUGAAUGAAGUCCAUUAAAUAGACUAAGGGUCCUUAGCCUAACCUAGAUACGACUUUCCAUGAGAAUUACCAAUUGAAUUAAAGGCUAUAUAGAGGAAUAGACUAGAAAAUUCUAACCAUUUUUUAAAUUAACUUAAAUAAUAAUGACUGGAGGUAGAGGUACGUAAUUUAUUUAAGUUUAUAAUCUAAACUAUAUUUGGAAAAAUACUCUUUUCAUCUCUAAGGUUUGAUGCAAUAGCCUGUUUCAUCCUUACUAUUUAAAUAAUAUCCUAUUUCAUUCCUAUUUUUUAAGCAAUAGCCUGAAACACCCUUUCAUUAGCUUAUUCUUAACUUAACUUCAACAUGGUCGAAAUAAAUAAAUAAAUGAUCAAUUAGUAUUGUUAUUCUACCAAACGUAAUUACAGACUCCUUUGUUUACUUAAAAAAAAUACACACUAAAUACAUAACAAAAUACAUUUAAAAAUAUUGCAGAAUAAAAUAUAUAAUGCAUUGGAAUUUUUUUUUUAUCUUUUAGCUUAUUCUUGACCUUAAUAAAAACAAUGAUUCUUGAUGAAAAUUAUUAUUAUUAUUAUUAUUAUUAUUUUGUUGACUUUUAUUAAAAAAAAGAAUUUAAUGAACACACAUAUAUGUGUGUGUGUGUGUGUGUGUUGCAUAUUCUUUAGUUUCAUUAAGUUAUACUUAAAUUUUAAAUUUUAAAUUUAUGCAAAAAAAAGUCAAAUGUUAUUCAAUUAUUCUUGAGAUAUUUAUUUUAAAAAGCUUUAUAUAUUUAUUUAACUAAAAAUCCUAUUUUGCUCUCAAUGAAUUAUAGAGUAAACUAUUAUAAAUUCACGGAAGGGUAUUUUGAGCUAUUAUUUGAAAAAUAAGGAUGAAACGAGUUAUUUUUUAAAAAAUAAGGAUGAAAUGGGCUAUUGUACUAAACCCUAUAAAUGAAAAGAGCCUUUUCCCAAUAUAUUUCUAUAUAUAUUAUUAAUAUUAUUAUUAAGCUAACACAAGGAUGAUGUAAAGCAUAUGUACGUGCCUCUAGACAGCAAAUUCAGAGAAGCAUUAUUGCAAAGUCAACAGUUAACCGUUCAAAGUCAGCGGGACAAUUACGUUUGGCCCUUGCUUGGAAAUUUCUAAUUUCAAUGGCAACAAAGUCAGGGGAAAAUUAAUUGUUCAAAAUCAAUAUACAAACAUGGUGGCCCUUGCUAAGAAGAUAACAUGCACGAUAAGGAUAAACAAUUACCCUAAUCUUUCUUUUGUGGACGUGUUAAUAAAAUAAAGACAGAUUGUGAAAGAGGACGUAUCUACAGAUGGCCGAUUCAGAACUUAAUUAAGAUCAUUCGUUAUAUUUAUUUUUAAUUGAGACAGAGCCUCUCAUGUUGGCGUUAAUAUGUUAGAUAAGUAUGAAUCUGAUGCAUAAUAGUACUUUUGCAAUUUUGUUUAAUUAAUUCUUAAGUUGAAAUAUAAAACAAGUCUUCCCCAAUCAACCACGAAGAAUUAAUACGCAUUUACUUUUUUAAUCGGAAAUUUAAAAUUAGUCCGAAUUUGGUUGAAGUGUUAAUUGAUGGUUUGAAUACAAAUGUCUAUAUAUGAUUUGUUUUUUUUAAUAUCUAAAUAUAAUUGACAUUACAUUUGUUUUUAUAAAUAAAAAAAAUCUUAAAUACAGUUAUUUAACAUUUAUAUCCUUGUAAGUUAAAAUGAAUAAAGGGCUUAAGUUUUAUAGUUUAGCAAAUAAGUAUAUUUAAUAGAGAUGUUUUGAGAUAUAAUAUUUACUUCUUCGUGCCUUUUCUUAUUUAUAUAAAAGUCAUAAAAGUUUACUCUUUUUUUUAAAUUCAAAUGUAAAUGUUUAAAAAUCAUAUAUAAAUUAAAAAAACAAACGAGCAAUUUUAAAAAAAUUUGAAAUAAAAAAAAUUCAAAUUUUAGACUUUUAACCAAUAAGCCUCCAUUUCACCUUGGUAAAGAGAGUAGUUGGCUACCAUGAAAUUUCUGAUCCCUGUCCAGUAUGGGCGUGUCAUGAAUUAAGCCAAGCAUUUUAAUUUUUGCCUUAAAAAAAUUUCCAUUCUCUGCUCUAGAAAAUUGAAAAAAAAAAAAAGUAAAACAUAGUUCACGUUGGUAUUAUUAUUAUAGUAGCAUCAUAAACAUCUCAAUCGUAAACCAACACCAGUUUUAUUUUGUGUGUUUACCAUUUUUCCACGGCAAUGUUACAUGGAUGUUGAUUGUACGACUUUCUUUAUCCAUGCCUUGCAUUGUUGUGUGUUUGGGAUUCGUCGGAGACUUUUCUUGGCAUUAAUCAUCUCUCAAAUUUUCAUAUCCUAACACAUAAUCAACGCGCGGACUGAAGACUUUUCUUGGCUUCAAUAAUUGAUGCAGAUUAUACACAACAGUAUAAAUUGGCAUGGAGUCCAGGAGUUUCGAUAUAACAAUAUAUCCUCAAAGCUAAUGAUAAUUAUAAUGUCAUCCAAAUUGUUCCUUCUAUUUGAAAAUAUAGCUCUGUUUUCUGUGUUGUUUUUUCAAUUGAAGCCCACAAUUGCUGAUUCUAACAAAAAAACGAUAAAGUGCAUUGAUGAGGAGAGAGAAGCGCUUCGCACUUUUAAACAGAGCUUGGUGGAUGAACAUGGCGUUCUGUCUUCCUGGGGAAGACAAGAUGACAAAAUUGACUGCUGUAAAUGGAGAGGAGUCCGCUGUAGCAACACAACAGGCCAUAUCAAGGUGCUUAAUCUUCGAACAUCCGACAAGGAAAACGCUCAGAGGAAGGUCUUGAAAGGUACAAUUAGUCCUGCUUUGCUUGAAUUGCAUGAUAUAAGACAUUUGGACCUUAGUAACAAUCACUUCAGUGCAAGCCCAGUUCCUAAGUUCCUUGGUUCGCUCAGCAAAUUGAGGUACCUCAAUCUCUCUUGUGGCACACCUUCAGAAUUCCCUCGUAAAUUGCGGGACCUUUCAGGAUUGGAAUAUCUCAACCUAGAAAACUCUAGUUUAUUUAGUGUGGGAAGCUUAGAGUGGCUUUCUCGUCUUUAUUCUUUAAGACACCUUGACCUGAGUUACAUUAAUCUCACUAAAUCUAGUGAUUGGUUUCAAGUAGUUGCCAAGCUCCAUUCCCUAAAAACAUUAGUCCUACGCUCGUGUGCUCUUCCACCUAUCAAUCCAUCGUUUAUUUGGCACUUCAAUUUGAGUACGUCUAUUGAGAACCUUGAUCUUUCUGACAACAAUCUCCCUUCUUCUUCAGUAUACCCUUGGCUUUUCAAUCUUAGUAGGAAUAUUCUUUAUCUUGACCUUGGCUCUAAUUCAUUACGAGGUUCAAUUCCAGAGGCUUUUCAACACAUGGUUUCUCUUAAAAGUCUUGAUCUCUCUGAUAGUGAACUUGAAGGUGGGAUUCCAAAAUUCUUUGGAAACAUGUGUAGCUUACAAAAGUUAGACUUGCCUCAAAACAAACUCAGUGGACAAUUCUCGCAGGUAAUUCAACAUCUGUCUGGUGGAUGCGUGGUGAAUUCACUAGAGCGGCUAUAUUUAAGUUAUAAUGACUUCACGGGGCCAGUACCUCAUCUUGGAGGAUUUUCAUCACUGGAAGCACUGAUGCUUGGCGUUAAUCGUUUAAAUGGAACAAUAGACAAAAGCCUCAGCCAGUUGUCGAAGCUCGAGUCUCUGUCACUACGUAUGAAUUCUUUCACAGGUGUUAUCUCUGAAACUUUUUUUUCCAAUAUGUCCAACUUGCAGAUGUUUGACUUGAAAGAGAACUCUUUGACUUUGAAAUUGAGCCAUGAUUGGGUUCCUCCUUUUCAACUGAAAUGGUUAAGUCUUGCCUCUUGCAAGAUGGGACCUCAUUUUCCAAAAUGGCUUCAAACUCAGAAUCAGCUUGUACUUCUUGACAUCUCCAAUGUUGGAAUCUCAGACAGUAUUCCUGAUUGGUUCUGGGAUUUGUCCAGUGAACUCUCUUACUUAAAUCUCUCUAACAAUCAUAUCAAGGGUAAACUUCCUGAUUUGUCUUUAAGGUUUGAUGGUACUCGUAGUGGUGGUACUAGUAUAGACAUCAAUUCAAACCACUUUGAGGGCCCAAUUCCACCACUUCCUUCAAAUUCGCUGUUCUUAAAUCUCUCUAAAAAUAAGUUCUCAGGAUCAGUUUCUUUCUUAUGUUCUAUUAGUGAAAACACUUGGAACUUUUUAGAUCUCUCGAGUAACUUAUUGUCUGGAGGGCUUCCCGAUUGUUGGUUGCACUUUGAUAGCCUAUUCGUUCUUAACUUGGCAAAUAAUAGAUUCUCAGGACAAAUACCGGAUUCGAUGGGUUUCCUAAAUAACAUUCGGACACUGAAUUUACACAACAAUAGGUUAGCCGGGGAAUUGCCUUCAUCUUUAAGGAAUUGCUCCCAACUGAGAGUUUUGGAUCUCGGGAAGAACGCAUUUUUUGGUGAGAUACCAACGUGGAUAGGGGAAAGUCUACAAAAUUUGAUUGUUCUUAGCCUAAAAUCUAAUAACUUUCAUGGAAAUAUAGCUUAUCAAUUGUGCCAUCUGGGAUUUAUUCAAAUCUUGGAUCUUUCUUUAAACAUUAUAUCGGGAAAUAUACCAAAGUGUUUCAAUAAUUUUUCAGCCAUGACCUAUGAAAGAUGUUCCAAUCCUACCAUUGGGUUCGCCAAAUCUUUCUUAGUUCUCCCUGGAAUUGGAUAUUACUAUAAAUAUUUGGUCAAUUUACUGUUGACUUGGAAAGGAAGUGAAAAUGAGUACAAAAGUACUUUGGGACUUGUAAGGUGCCUUGACCUUUCGAGUAACAAAUUAGAUGGAGCAAUUCCUGAAGAGAUUAUGGAUCUUGUGGGGUUGAUUGCCUUAAACCUUUCAAGAAACAAUUUAACCGGACCAAUCACUCCGAAGAUUGGUGAGUUAACAUCAUUGGAUUUCCUGGAUUUGUCUAGAAAUCUGUUUUCUGGAAGUAUUCCAUCUAGCCUCUCUCAGUUAAGUGGUCUUGGCGUCUUGGACUUGUCGUACAACAACUUGUCAGGAAAAAUCCCAUUAGGCACUCAGCUCCAGAGCUUCAAUGCUUCAGUGUACGCUGGAAAUCUUGAACUUUGUGGCCUUCCACUUGCAAAUAUGUGUCCGGAUGAAGAAUCAACUCCAAGUCCAGGCACAGACGAUGAUUCAGACACUCUAGAAGAUGAGGACGAUCAGUUUCUAACUCUCGAAUUUUACGUGAGCUCGAUUCUUGGUUUCUUUGUUGGAUUCUGGGGAGUCUGCGGAACUUUAAUGCUGAAUAGGUCGUGGAGACAUGGUUACUUCAACUUCCUGACUGGUAUGAAAGAUUGGGUCUAUGUGACAGCAGCUGUGAAUAUUGCCAAACUGCAAAGAAAGUUUAAGAACUAACUAAACGGUAAUACUCCUUAACAUUGGGUUUCAGUCAUUGUUGUCAGCUCACGUGCUUUUAAUUUCUUCAUCCUUAAAUUUUACUUUUUCUCUUAGCUUUUGUUCUGCCAACUAAUUGUUCAUCUUCCUUUUUUUUUUUUUUCAUUCACCAUCUUUUUGGCAGGGUAUCUCUGGGAUGACAUCUUGCCAUUAUUAUUCAGAGUGGUCAUUUGAUAUUUGGAAUCUUUCUGAAAAUUAACUCAUAUGAUGCACAUUGUAUUAUUGAGUAUAUGCUUAAAGAAACUUGUAUGUGGUUCUCCUUAGACCAUCGUCGAUCUAUGCGUUUAUAUACUCUGGUUAGAGUUCAAUUAUGCUAUUAAUCCAUUACAGCAAUAAAGGCAGUCAAAUUCUGCUCUGCUAUUGAUCAAUGUUUGCUCUUUUUUCCUUUUCAUUGGGUGAAUAAAUAAUAAAAGACAAAUCGAAUCUUUCUAUUUAAAGAGUUGUUGACUAAUAAAACUACUAAAUGGAUGAUAAAAUUAAUUAAUUAAUUAAUUAAACUAGAAUAAUCUUAUUGACAAAGUAGGUGGUAGGUUCGUACGAUUCCGGAUCAUUGGUACUAAAAUGUGAAGGAAGAGAUCGAACUUUACAAGAAUUUGUUCUUACUGUAUUCGAACUGGUAAUUGAUUAAAUUUGAUUAAAUUUCUAUGAUGGUGACAUAUAAUGACUUAAAUAUUAUUUUCAGAGAAUAUCACACACGACUUUUCUAUCCUAAUUUUUAUCAAUUUUCCGAACGUAUCAUCACAUACCAUCACGUUCAAGACCCGGCCAACUCUAUAACUAAGGUGUUACUAACGCACAUUAAUAUUACAUCGCAUUUUCACUGCCAUGGCCAAUUUCAGCGUUUCUCAUCAUUACUCUCUAUUUUGGCAAGUAUGGUAGGAAUCUUUAAAACAACGUACAAGAAUCAAGGGGAAGAAAUAAGAAACUGUAAAGAAACAUAAGUGGGAUAUAUAGUUUGUGAGAGCAUUCAAUUCAGUUCGUGGGGGCAUAAGCUUAAAUAAUUGAUGCAAUUUUAAGAGGUUUUUUUCCCCCCCUUGUACAAGGCUAGCUCUGUGUGUGACACUAUGAGCACACAACAGUGGUGAAUAAUAUUGCCAAAUUGCAACAAAGCUGUAGGGGCUAAAAGUUAAGUGUUUGAAUAUAUAAUAUUACCAAAUUGUUAAUGCUUAUAGGCUAUGUUUGGGAGCUAGGAUUAAUUGUAGGAUUGGACUAAUUAUUGGGACGAAAUAUUAAUACCAUGUUUGGCAUGCUUACUGGGAUUGGACUAAUGGAAUAAAUUCAAAUUUUAAUCCUAAAUUCAUGGGAUCAAUAAUCAUAAUUUUUAUGUGGGUUUAGUUGGGACUAGAUACUGUCAAGAAAAAUAUUUGUCCAUUUAUAAUAUCUUCCAUAAUUUAUUACACCAUUUUAUUUAUAACUUAAAAAUUAUUUAUUUAUGUUUUUAAUUAAGUAAUUUAUUUUUAUUCAUGAUUUACUCAAAAGUUAUUAAUUAAUUUAUUAUUUGAAUAAUUUUAUUUAUUUUAUUUAAUUAAAUGAUAUAUCUCAUUUGAAAUAACUAAAUUUAAAUAAUUUAUACUUCUUUAUUUGUGUGUGUGUAUAUAUUUCUUUUAAGCUUGUUAGUCUUCUGAACUUGUAAUUGGAGAAUUUUGAAACUUUCGCUACAUUUAUGAUUUGAGAGAGAAAUGUCAAGUGUUCAAUUUGUGGAUUUAUUUAAUAAAAUUUGAGAUAUUUCAGUUUGAAAUUUUGUAUAAGGAUUUCGAUAUGUAAACAACCUCCUACUACCACGUGCUCCACACGUGAUAAAUUUGGAGUGUUACAGUUGUUAUGCUUUACAUAUCCAAAUUGAUUAAGUUGAAAAUUAGGGUAAGAUGAUUAAGUUCUAGGGUUUUACUCAAGAGAAUUCAAGAGAGAAAAGAUGAGGAAUUUAAGAAUUCAGAGGAGAGAGAGAAGAAUUAAUAAGGGUUGGAAUUAAUUUUAUUAUUGCUUGCUUAAAAAAAUAAUGAGAAUCACUUAUUUAUAGUAGCUCAACACACUCCUAAUUCUAAUCUAAUUAGAAUCUUAAACUAUAAUUGCAACAAAAAAACCUAAUCCUAAUAGGAAAGAAGUUAAAAUAAACUACUACGGUUAUGUAGAGAUUUGAUUGAAUUGCUAAUCUUAUAAAACCAAAACUCUGCCCAUGAUCUUUGACUAGGACCAACAUAAGUUGCACACAAGCAAUAAAAUUGAACCAGAAUCUAUUCAAUAUCCUCUCCAGUCUCAAAAGACAUAACCACUCAAUAACAUAAAUUAAACAGCAUAAAAGAAUGAAUCAGAAACAAAAUCAGAGAGAGAGCAAGACAUAACGUGGUUCAAUCUUUUUUUGAGUCCGCACUCUGUUAUGAGUAAAACGCAAGCUUUCAUGUCGUUUUACAUUAAGUAAUCACGAGCUCCCUCACGUGACUUCAUAACGGAAUUAACCGAUAGCCAAUACGCUGCCGUUUGCUCUGGUUUAUAUUUGAAUUCAUUAACUCUACAGGUUCUAAUAGAUUCUAAUAUGAUUUUGUUUCAAAAUCAAGAUUGAAGAUCAUCCACGGCAGUAGGAGAUUUAAGUUGGAUGACUUAUGGUGUUGACAGUCUUUUUUUUCUUUUAUUUCCAGAAUUUAUUUCCUCCUUUGCAAGUUGUGUUCUCUCAAGACUCACAGCUCUGCCAAAUUCUGGCGUGAAGGCUUAUCACCUUCCUCUUUAAUGCAGGUUUGCAGCCCACAUCAGUCGCCAGUUGGAGUCAAAUGAAAAAUUUAGGGUCGUGUAAUUAGUCUUGUGGUGAUUUAAUAAGAAUGCAGUGAAGAAUUAAGAGAUAUUCAAGUGCCUGCAAUUGUGUUGGUUUCCCAUCUCUGCAAUUGUGCCAGAGGGAUAGUCCAAAUUCUUGUUGCGUUCUCUCAACUCUCAAUUCUCAUGAUAUUAGUUAUAGCUUCGUAAAGAACAUUUGGCAACAUCAGAUGGAGGAAUCUGAAACAGAGAUGGCGUCAUUGCCCUAUGAUUGAGGCUUUGAAUUAACUCUUUCCCAGCAUGUUUCUUUGAUUCAUGAGGAUAUACAUUCUCUUUUUUUUUCAUAAUACAUUAAUUAAAAAUUAUACAAAUGGAAGAAGGAAGCAAGUAAAGUAAAUCAAACAUUGAACAUGACAAGGUACAAAAGGCAAGCGAGUCUCAGGUAUCAAGCUUUCCUAGGCGACAAUCAAGUUCAACAAAGCAAAGGUGAAGCAAGGCAAACAAGAAUUCAAGCCGCACGUCAUAGACUCACCAAGCUUCAACACAGUGAACAAAUCAAGGCUGCUUACCAGUAUUUGUUGUACAAGCAAACUUCUCAGUUUUAUGUCACAACAGAUGGUAUCUCGUGUUCUUGAGCAGAGAAGAUACAAUAAUAUUUACCAUUAGAAUCUGCUAUCAACUCUGUUAAAUGUUGUUGCUCCAUGACCUGUGUCUUCAUUUUCGCUAUGCUUUAAAUUUUCUUAAAAUCUAACUCAUUUUGAAAAAAAAAGAAACCCAUUUCAAUAAGACCAGUUUAUAUAAAUGCAUAAAGAAGCCAAGCCAGAUUUGGCUGGCGAGUGGUGAAUUGUGUGAUCUAAUUGUGAUCGUAUAUAAAGCCAUUAAGUUUACGGUUUGGUUAAUUAUGUACCGUAUAACAAGGUCUUUAUAAUUUCAACUUGUUCGUGAAUAAUCAACAAAGCUAUUGCUCUGUUCUUCAAGAGGACUUGGGCCAUAUCUUAGGCUGAACCUCAACUACUCUGUAUUUGAUUACUCUCUGUGAUUUGUUGAUUCUGUUUUCAUUUGAUUACUCUGUUAAUUCCUUUGAUUCUUGAUCAAAUAUCAAAAAGUUAAGUGAGGUCCUGGAGGAUCAUGAUCGGUCAUCUAACACUCUCAAACACGAGUUCUUGAUCUAACUUCCACAAACCUACGAAGUAUUUUGACUUUAGUUGGCAAAUGAAAACAAGGGUUUUAACAUCAAAGGAAAUGGUACCAAGGAAGAUGGCCAAUUCGGGAAUUAAGAUCACAAAGGAAGCAGAGGAGCUCUGUCGUUGGUCCCUGCAGUAUGCAAGUGAUUUUGAUCCUAAUCUCUCAACUUCGCAUCUAUUAUUGCUGGCCUAUCUUCUUCCGACACAGAGGGACAUUUCAAGGCAAGUACUACAAGAAUUUGCAAUUGCUUCACUUUUCCUUGACCCGGUUGAAUUCCAAUGACAAUGGGGUCCAUUAUCUCAACAAACCUAUUAUUUUCAAUAUGUUUCUUGACCCAAUCCUUAAAUAAAGUUUCAUCAAGGCAACAUUGAAAAUCAUAUGUCUUCUUGCCAAUCAAAAGCUCAAGCAGCAAGGCAGCAAAGCUAUUAACAUCGCAAUUUUCUCUGAAUGCUCCAUGAGAAUGGUAUUUAUGUUACCAUCCAACUCAAACCUGGAAAGAUAUUGUCUAUUUUAAGUCUUAACAAGGCCGCAUGGUUUUGUUUCUAGGACACCCAUACAUCCCAAAACGCAUAUUAUCAAUAAAGGUGUGGAUCAGCUCUUAUAAACCCAGCAUCUCUUUUGUACUUUGUCGAUGUGAGAUUGUCUUGGGUGUUACAAUUCAGGUGCCAUUAAUCCAAAUUUGGCCAUUGUGUGAAGUACUCUUAUGUGUAUUUUAACCUCUGAAACAAAAACUGGUGACAUGGAGGUAUUACAUGCAUUAUCAUUAAAUUAAUAUACGAGCUACUCUCAAAGUAUGUGUUGUAUGCAUGUUCUUAAUGUGGCUCACAUUCAUGAGUUUGAGAUUAAUUAAGGCUACUCACAUUUUUAUGAUUAGAUAAUGAUAAGAAUAGUUGUUCCAUAUUUCUAAAAAAUUAAGAUAAGGAUAAUUUCUCAUUUUCUUGAUGGAGGGAAGUGAAGGAAGUCCAUAAAAUAGACUAAGGGUCCUUAGCCUAGCCUACAUACGACUUUCCGUGAGAAUUACCCAUCGAAUUAAAGGCUAUAUAGAGGAAUAGACUAGAAAAUUCUAACCAUUUUUUCAAUUAACUUAAAUAAUAAUGACUGGAGGUAGAGGUACGUAACUUAUUUAAGUUUAUAAUCUAAAAUAUAUUUGGAAAAAUGUUUUUUUCAUCCCUAAGGUUUGAAAUAGCCUAUUUUAUCCUCACUACUUAAAUAAUAGUCUGUUUCAUUCCUAUUUUUUAAGUAAUAGCCUGAAACAUCCUUUCAUUAAUUUAUUGUUAUUAUACCGUAUAAUUCAUUGAGGGCAAAAUAAGAUUUCUAAAUAAUGAUCAAUUAUUUUAAAAUAAACUCUCAAAUACAAAUAAAAAAUAUCUGUCUUUCUACAUAAAUUUAAAAUUUAAGGAUUACUUAAGAAAGAAAAAAAUAACAUUAAAUAAUAUGUAAAAUAUACAUUUAGGACAAAAAAAACCCAUAGAUUUCACAAGCACUAGAUUAUUAUUUUUAUCCUUUAGCUUAUUCUUAACUUUAAUAUGGUCGAAAUAAAUAAAUAAAUGAUCAAUCAGUACUGUUAUUCUACCAAAAGUAAUUAUGGACUCCUUUAUUUACUUAAAAAAAAUACACACUAAAUACAUAACAAAAUACAUUUAAAAUACUGCAGAAUAAAAUAUAAUGCAUUGGAUUUUAUUUUUUUUAAUCUUUUAGCUUAUUCUUGACCUUAAUAUAAACAAUGAUUCUUGAUGAAAAGAAUUAUUAUUAUUAUUAUUAUUAUUAUUAUUAUUAUUAUUAUUAUUAUUAUUAUUAUUAUUAUUAUUAUUAUUAUUAUUAUUAACUUUGUUAAAAAAAGAAUUUAAUGAACACACACAUAUGUGUGUGUGUGUGUGUUGCAUAUUCUUUAGUAUUAUUUUUGUUUCAUUAAGUUAUACUUAAAUUUUAAAUUUAUGCAAAAAAGUCAAAUGUUAUUUAAUUAUUUUUGAGAUUUUUAUUUUAAAAAGCUUUAUAUAUUUAUUUAACUAAAAUUUUUUUAUUUUACCCUCAAUGAAUUUCAGAGUAAACUAAUUAUAAUUUUAUUUUACCCUCAAUGGGCGUGUCAUGAAUUAAGCCAAGCGUUUUAUUAUUAUAUUAGCAUUAUAAACAUCUCAACCGUUACUAAGUACUCUAUGGUUCGGGUAAUCAAUGUUUGUGUGUGUGAACUCCUGAUUAUUUUCAUUUGUCUCUGUUUCUAUCAGUGUUUGGCCUGGGCACAAAGUUUUUUAUGUUCUAAUUUAUUUUCGAAAUCAAUUGACUUUGUAUCAUUAUGUUAUGAUUUAUUUUUUAAAUGAAUUGAAGCAGAGCAAAGCUCACAACGUGCCGCCCAGCCGAAAUGAAUUGAAGUAGAGAAUUUCAGGUUUUAUUAUCAGUAAAACUUUAAUGUCUGAAGUCAAGUACUUAAUUAUAAGGUUUUAAUAAAUUAAACAAUUCAAAUUUAUUCUUCUUUUUAAAUUAUAAAAAUAUUAUUAGUAAAAAUUUUUAAUAAUAAACUAAACUCAACCCAACAAAAAUGUAUUUUGGGUGUCAUCGUUUCUUUACCAGGCGCUCUGACUCUCUUUAAAGAACCAGUUGAUAAUUUUUCUAUCAAAUUAAAGCUCCUCAAAAUAUUCAAAUUUUAUCUUAGUUAAUGUAACUAAUAAAUAAAAUCUCAAAAUUCACAUAAAAAAUUUAUGAAAAUGUUGAUAAUUGUUACUAUAUGUUAUUUUUUUAAGUAGUUUCAUACUAGUGACAAUUUUAUAUUAGAUUGAUAUAUUUUUUUUAAUUAGAAGGUUUUUUAAAUAAAUUAAAGUAAUAACAUUUUACCCCUAAUGUUUUUAAUCUAUAUAAUAAAUAUAUAAUUUAAUCAUUUUAUAAAAUAAGUCACUAAUUUCAAUUGAAAAAAAAAUUGAAUUAAGGACAUAUUUGAAUAUAUAUGGCUUAAUAUCAUAUGGUUUAUAUAUAUAUAUAUAUAUAUAUAUGGACGUCGUUACUAAAAUAAAAAAAAAAUACAGUUUUUAGAACACUAACAGCCAAAGUCCCCAACGUAUAUUUAUUUAGAUUCUCAAGAAACCUUUGAGGUUGUAUGAUAUCAAAGUUGGAUUCAUUACACAUGACUAGUAGGCAUUAACAGGGAUCUAUUUACAAUUCUCCAGAUAACAAAAAAGCGGUAAAUCUAUUAAAUUUAUUGCGCCCAAUUCUCAAAAUCAUUUGCUAGUAACAGAAAGAGGACUUCACAACCCCAGUAAUAAGAACUCUUAACUAAAGAUGGUCGAACAGGGCAAAUUCUGUGCAGCUCAUCUCUCGCAUUCAGAUUCAAAACCACAACCACAAGAAGCUGCUGUCUAUGGCAAUUGAAUUGCUCCAUUUUUCCCUAUAAAUUUUCGUGGAAAAUCAUCAGUAUGAAUAGGACCACAUCAAUGUAAAUGUACAUGUAUAUAUAGCAGCCAUUCAUCACAAAUAUAAUUACAUGUUUACAAAAAUGAAACAUUUUUUAUUUAUCCUAAAGCACCUUUUCCUUCCUCAUUUUUUUUUCCCUCUUCUAUGGUUUGUGAGUGUGUGCAUUAUGCAUGAGAAAUAUUUACCUUAUGAUACUAAGGUGUCCAACGAUGAAGCCAUUCAAUUUCCGUAAGGUAAAUGAACCAAGCCCAACAGAAUAUUUACAGACCAUGGACAAAAGGGAGGAAGACAACAAAAGGGAGAACCAUUUUUGUAAGCCCACUUGUACUUUCAGCGACAACCUAAGUGGUUGGCUGUGUGUUCAAUCAGAUCAUCUUUCCAAAGCUUAGAGUAUGGCUUUAUAUUUAGUUUCUUCGCAAAGUUCCUCAGAUCACCUAAUUUCAUAUUUCUCAAGUGACUAGAAGUAAAGGGGGAAGAUGCCACAGCCUCAGUGCAGGACUCAAUUGAAUGGGAGUCUGUGAUUGAGAGGUCAUCCUUACCUGCACUAUCAUUUGGGUCUCUGUGUGAUUUUGAUAAGUCCAUUUCAAGGAUUGGCAAACUUGUCUUCUUUUUUAUUUUCUUUUUUGGCAGUGAAACUGAAAUUUGCCUGUCAUCCAGAGCACCAUUGGGCUCAUUUGCUUCAAUUGGAUGAUGGUAAACUAUUUUCUUGACUAUCUUUCUGUCCAUAAACUGAUUUGAACUGGGAAUGUCAGAGCCAAGUCCAGAUUUCAAUUGUCUCUUAGCUUUUGAAAUUAUAGAUGAAUUUGAAACAAGUUCAAAAGAAAGAAAACCUUCUCUUUCUUGAACACCUGGUGGAUUUGACUCAAUUUUUCUCUUAGCCUUCUGCUUUUGUGGCUGCACUGAGUACAAAUCAAACCUCUCAUCAUUAGUGGCAGUUUCAACCACUUGAGCUUCUCCUGAUUGCAUUGAUCCCUUAUCAGGCUCUGCCUUGGUUAUAUCUCUUCCUUCCUCAUCCUGCAGCAGUGAAUGUUGGUUAUCAGUAGGACUAGCUCUUUCAACUUUGACAAUGUUCUCAAAAGGUACCUUGGUUGUAUCCCUCUCUUCCUUGUCUUGACACUCUAAAAAUGACGGCAGGGCCGAAUGUUCAUUACCACUAGGACUAGCUCUUUUAAACUCGACAAUUUUUUCAAAAGGUGCCUUCAUUUUAUCUCUUCCUCCCUCAUCUUGCAGCUCUAAAAGUGAAGGCAGGGCAAAAUUUUCAUUAUCAGUAGGACUAACUCUUUCAACCUUGACAAUUUUUUCAAAAGGUGCCUUGGUUGCCUCUCUUCUUUCCUUGUCUUGCAGCCCUAAAAGUGAAGGCAGGGCAGAAUGUUCAUUAUAAGUAGGACUAACUCUUUCAACCUUGACAAUUUUUUCAAAAGGUUUUCUAUUCCCUUCUGCUCCUGAAGAUGAAGAUGAAGAUAAAGAGUCUAUCUUGCCAGUCAGAGUCAAUUUUGAUUCUUUGAUGCACCAUUUACGUGCAGCUUUCUGAGCAAAAUCACACAGUUUUUGAUUAACAUCACAGAAUCCACCUUUUGCCUGUCUGACAGCAUUUAAAUUAGAGUCAGAAUGAUUUCGCCUCUGAUUGAGACCAGCAGUAUGUCUCAAACUAGCAGGACUAGCAUCACAAUUCCCAACUUCUAAAUCAUAAAGAGUAGCCAACACAGAAUCAGAAUUACAGAGAAGUGAGCAAAUUACCUGAACCUUAAUCAUGUCUAGAUUGUGUCUCCUCUUACCAGCAGUCUUCAAAGACAAAUUUUGGAUAACAUUUUUUUCUUUGGUAGUAAAGCCAGGUUCUUCGGUUUCCCCCUUACUGUCACUUUUCAAGUCAAAGCUGCUCAUUAUUUUCUUAUAAGCAGCAUGGCCAGCUUCCAGUGUCAAAUAGUCUGGACUGGAGUUGGAAUCUUCAGCAUUACCAUUUGUAAGCUGUUCAUAAUUAGAGCAGGGACUUAAAUGCAAAAGAAGACUAACUAUGAAUAGCUAUGAAGAAGUACUUGGAUCCUUGUAUAGAAAUAAGAAAAAAGAUAUACAAAAUAAAAAACUUAUUCAUCCAUGCACUCAAACACCAACAUGAAGUUUCAAUAGUUCCAUUAGCCCUUUCAGAACAUGUGCUAACAGAAGUUGAAGCAUAAAAAGAUAAAGCUAGUCAUACCUUAAUUGUUUCUGAAUGGUUUGAUUUAUUCUCUUGAAGCAUCAAAGAUGCAUUUAAGGUCGCACAAUUUUCUGUGGGAGUUAUAGAGCAUUCUUGAAUUUCCUCUUUUAUGGGGACAAAAGAAUCAGACUGACUCAAUUUUAUGCUCUCAUCCAAAGGUUCAGCUGCAUGCUCCGGAGAGGCAACUACACCCAGAGUCUGCUCAUUUGAAGGUUAAACAUACAGUAUCACAUGUCAGCUCCUGGAAGAAAAGGAAAAACAUGCAGGUCUUGAAGAAUAACAUAUGAGAGUUACAUCAAAUGGAAAUGAAGGGAGGGAAAAUCAAUACGCUGAGAAAACAUAAUGAGGUUAGACAUUACAAAAUUAGAGUAAUCCUACUCAUGGAAUGAUAUAAUUAUCAGCAAUCUACUAUUGAUUCAAUCCAUUAGACCAUAGGUAUUAAAAUUCUAUUCUCGUUUCUUCUUAGAGGUACAAAAAAAUGGAAAGGAAAAAAAUGGGGGAAAAGUUCUAGCUUGAUAUUAUGGAACUUUUACACGACGCAGAAACAAUACUUUGCUUAAGAACAGAGUAGAAAAAAGUGAGAAUCUGCAAAAUAUAUCAUGGUCGGUGCUUGUUAAUUUAAAGUUGGAAUCACUCACACACAAAGAGCAUAAAAAUGGUAGAUAACUUGAAUGAGCCUGUAAAGGCUUCCAAUAUCCCCAUUCACAGUUGUCACACACUAGAAAAUUAAGAAAUGACUAAUAAAGAGUUUUCGAGGAUGAACCUGCUUGUCUUUCUCUUGGAAGUAAUCAUUGAGUAGAUCCUUUACUAUUUCAUGUAUUUUCUUUAACUUGUAAAUUAAAGCGCAAUUGAUCAUAAUACAAAUUAAAAUUAAAAUUAACAUUAAAAUUCAGCUCACAUUAGAUUUCAACGAAGGAAAAAAAAAUUGCAAGUGAUAACCAGGAAGAAUGUGCAUAAAACAGAGAUAAAAUGCCGGAAAAUUGGGGGAAUGUGGCUUUCUAGGAAGCCAAACAGUACGAAAUGAGAGUACCUGAAGUUAUUGCUCCCCUCAGAUUGAGCUAAAACGAUAUUAUGAUACACAUUUCUAGGGUUUCGAGAUCUUGAAUCAGAUUGGGAAAGUGCAAUUAGUGAGUGAAAUUUUGUUUUCUGAAAGCAGGCUAAAGAUUGAGGUAAUUUAUGAUUUUGUUGAGGGUAAUAUUGGAAAUGAGUGACACGUAAUUGGACAAAGGGAUCCUUGUGUCCUCGCGCGUUGAAGCCAGCUACUGUCAUUGUGGGGCCCUUCUUUGACUCAUUGGACUUUUUUUCGUUUUGUUUUGCAUGCAAAAUUGGCGCGGCCGAAACCGUUGAUUCGUUGACUUGCCAAAUCGCCAAAUCCUAUUGGUAAAAGAAGAAACGUUUCGUAUAUGUGUGGGGUCCACUACGAGUGGGAAAUUUCUUCUGUUGUUUGGUUCAUCGUACAGCCGCCGUUUCUACUUUUAGAAUAAUUCUUCAGGAACAUAUUUUAUGAAGCAUUCACUAUUAAAUGUAUAUUUUACUUCCAAAGGACUAAACAAAAAUUAUAAGUUUAUGUAUAUGUCAUAUAAGACUAUAUAUGAAUGUUCUCCAUAUCUCCCAGAAGAAGUUAGAAAAUGAUUAUAUAAAUAAGGCAUAAUUGUUUCUUUGAAAAAUUUUAAAGGAAAUAUAACAUAAUUCCAAUUGACCCAUUUGAAUUUUUAAUGAUCGGAACCGAACUGUGGGGGUUAAAGAUCAGUUCUUUUGCGGCUUCGUUUUAAUGUUUGGAUCUGGAUAGGAGGGGUUUCAACGAUUGGGCCAUGACCGACGCGGUGUGACCACUGGUGAGUUGAGAGGUGGCGAAGGGGCCGAUGAAGAGGGAAAGAGAGCCACAUGAGAAGGGAUUGGAAGGGCUCGCUGCUUUCGAAGAAGAAGAAAGCGAAAAAAAAAAAUGAGAAACGAAGAGACUGAAGGUGAAUAAGCGAGAAAGUUUUGUGAGUUUUUGAUGGAUGUUGAUGCCUGACUGGAGUUUGGAGAUCCUGCUCCAGCACUUCUCUAGAGUUGCCGGUGAAGAAAACUCUUUUCUAAUUAGCUUUCGAAUGUAUUGAGCAAAGAUCACCUGAUUGAUUUACUAAAAUCAGAUGGAUCAUGAACUCAUUGCUUUUUAUGCUCUCAAUAUUAAUAAAAUUACAAAGUUUGUGAUGAACAAAAAAAAAAAAAAAAAAAAUUUCGGCAACAUCGGCAAGAAAUGGUGACAAAAUAGAAAUCAGUGUGAAUGUGUAAUCAUCUGCUUGUUUUAUUCCUUUUUUCCCCUUGAUUUAAGUUAUACUAAAAUGGAUGAUGGAAAAGUGGAAAUCCCAAAUGCUGAUUUGUGAAUAUUAGUUCCUUUUUGCUUGAAUCAAAUGAUGAAGAAUCCGGAGAGGGAAAGAUUAGUUCUCUGUUUAAAAGCAGCUUUACAUUUUAAUAUUAAAAAUUGUAAAAGUAUAAGUUGCCGUUGGAUUCGAUCCAAUGGCUACAGAUUGUCUCUCGGAUUAUAACUCCAAUCCAGGAUACUGGAUUGGAAAACUACUCUUACGUUGACAUUUAAAAUUUGUAAACACAAAUGUAAAAGUAUAUGUUUUCUGACUUUUUACGUUAAGAAAAACAAAAUAUAUAUUAAAUAGCCCUACAUUUAGUAAAUCAAAUUUAAUUUUGUUGGUACAUGAUUCAAAAUUUACUUCAUGACAUCAAAUUACACUCAGCAUUACAUCAGUAAAACACAUAAUCUACCUAUAUUCCACUAGAAAUUUAUUUUUCCGAAAGCCUAUUGACCUGAACGAAGACUUGUUGAGAAGGACAUUUUAGCUACUUCUGUGAAGAAUAUAACUCAAGAGGCAAUUGGCAGCCGCUUGGACUGCGCGGUUGUUCCGUUAAAAAUUGGGUCCCUGAAAUUUUCUGUCAGCGCUUUCUCAUCAGCAUAAGAAGCUGAAAUAAGUGAGUGAUAAUGAAACUUUUUAAGGGCUGAACAAGAAGCACUUUUGGUUCAAGAAAAGCAGUUAUCAAGAGCAAAAAACAACAUUCCGAAAAUUAAUCUGACACUGGUCUAUAAAAACAGUUGGUUUCAUUUGCAGUUACAAUAUAAUAUAUUUUCUUUCCUAUUGCAAGUACAAAUACAGGGGCGGACCCAGGAAUUUGUAUUACCCCGGGCUAAAUUAAAAAUAUUUAUAUUUUAAAGUGAGCAUAAAAAUUCAUAAGUAGAAAAAAGUGCAUCAAAUAAGGGGGACACGAAAAAUCUUAUCCAUAUAAGUACGUACUUUAAACAAAAAUGGUUAUAUAAAAAGAGUAGAAAACAAAGGUAAUUAAAAAAUAAAAACAUUAUUUUACAAUUAUGGAAUCUGACUCUAAUAAAAUGUAAUUAUACAAGGAUUAAUAUAUUAAUUGAGGAUUUUAAGUUGAAAUAAAUGAAUACAUGUAAUCACAAUCAAUUAAAAAUUGCUAGUAAAACUUUAAUGUCUGAAGUCAAGUACUUAAUUAGGAGGUUUUAAUAAAUUAAAAAAUUCAAAUUUAUUCCUCUUUUUAAAUUAUAAAAAUAUUAUUAGUCAAAAGUUUCAAUAAUAAACUAAACUCAACCCAACAAAAAUGUAUUUUGGGUGUCAUCGUUUCUUUGCUAGGCGCUCUGACUCUCUUUGAAGAACGAGUUGAUGAUUUUUCUAUCAAAUUAAAGCUCCUCAAAAUAUUCAAAUUUUAUCUUAGUUAAUGUAACUAAUAAAUAAAAUCUCAAAAUUCACAUAAAAAGUUUAUGAAAAUGUUGACAAUUGUUACUAUAUGUUGUUUUUUUUUAAGUAGUUUAAUACUAGUGACAGUUUUAUAUUAGAUUGAUAUACUUUUUUUUAAUUAGAAGGUUUUUUAAAUAAAUUAAAGUAAUAACAUUUUACCCCCUAAUGUUUUUAAUCUAUAUAAUAAAUAUAUAAUUAACUCAUUUUAUAAAAUAAGUCAUUAAUUUCAAUUGGAAAAAAAAAUUGAAUUAAGGACAUAUUUCAAAUAAUUGAUCCACGGCUGUAAAUAAUUACCGAGAAAAGCAUCAAAUAAAGUUUCGUAGUUCACUGGAUAUCUACUCUACAGCCAGCAACAACAAAAAUAUUAGCAAUUAAAUUAAAAUAAAUAAAUAAGUGGAAGAAAAAAGAACAAAGAAAAAUGAUAUCCAGCCAAUUGCCUCUUGAGUUAUAUUCUUCACUUAAAACCAUGCAAUAAUACGUAAGAGACUAAAAGAGUGGUGUUAAGUAAGCAUACUCUGGGGAAUGAAAAACUUAACACCAUGCAGAAUCUGCAAGAGACUAAAAGAGUGGUGUUAAAAAGAGUGUUACUAGCAAUAAACACAUGUGAUAAAUAAAUACAAUCUCACGUGCAUUUUCAACAAAUGUUCGAACUACGAAACUUUAUUUGAUGCUUUUCUCGGUAAUUAUUUACAGCCGUGGAUCACAUGCUUGCUGUUAUGGCGAGCAUUUUUGAAUGGUAAUGACUUGUGGUUUAAUUUGGGGUUUUGCUAAAUUAUACUAACUCGGAAUUAAUUUUUUUGUAUGGAUAAUUAUUGUUGCUGUGUUAAAUAAUUAAAGAGCUAUGGGAGAUUAAUUUUAGAUUAACUGUCAGUUACAGUGAAUUUUGUUGUGCUUUCCCUUGUAAAGUGGCGCAUAAUUGCAUACGUGUUAAAUUAUUUAUUAACUAAGAGCAUGACAAUAUUGGAAAAGAAGGAGGGAAAAUAAAUAGAAGACAUGAUAUUUAGAGAUGACUUUUAUUCACUCUCAAACAUAUACAAAUAAGGAGAUGAGCUCUUAUUUUGUAAUCACAUAACCGUGUAAAUGAAGUAAAUAAUUCGUAAAUAAAUAUAUCAUUAGACAUAAGUUCUUUUAAGAUAGUGAAAAUUAUAAGAAAUGAAGAGUUGUUUGAUGUGAAGAUAAAAGAUUCUUUGAUGAACAUCUACAUAAAUUAUGAUUAUUUGAUAACAUUUCUCCUUGGAUGUUCAUCCUAAAAAGAAUAUGGCUCAUUGAAACCUUUGCUGGUAAAAACCUUAUGAGAAAUAGACUAACGAAGGAAAAGGAAUACACUAUUCAUUUAUACCUUAUAGAGGUAGGGGUACAAUCUGCCUUGUUAAAACUUUAAUAAGAAAAUCCAAUGUGACAAAAACUUAAUGAAGGAAAAAGAAUAUAGUGCAUGGAGCCUUCUAUAUCCGUAACUCCCUUCUCUUCAAUAAGGGCACUUUCCCUCAAAGUGACAUGGGUGCUUCAAUGAUCAAUCAUAUUUUAUUGUAAUACCUUGGUUAAAUAAUCUACAAGAUCAACACAUCUUUCAAGAUUUUUCAUCUGGAAUCUUAUUCAUUCUUAAAAGAAUAAAAUCAUAAGCUCUUCAAGAGUAUUUUCCAUUUUUAGAUCAUCAACAUAUUUUGCAAAGAUUGCAAAUCUAAUUUUUAAUUUUUAAUAAAAUCACAUAGCUAAGUGGAUAACAACAUAUCAAGCUUUUAACAAAUUUCACUAAAGUGAUUAUACUUUAUAACUCUAGAUAGCUAUAACAUACACAAUCAUGAUUAUAGCCCUAUCAAGAAUAUAGAAAGUGCAAGUUUUUUGAUUUAAUACUUCAUGUACUUAUUUCUAGCAUUUUAUCCUUCAAAUAUAAGUACAUAGAUUCUUUAAUUUGACUUUGACAUAGCAUAGUUUAGAUACAAGUUUUAUUAGAAAUUUUAUGGCUUCAGGUGUGUGGACUAUAUGUUAAAAUUUUUAUAUUUUGUUAAUUAAUUUUAUGUCUUCUAACAGAUGGACCACAUGUCAAAACUUUGGCUAAUCACAUAAAUCGAUAUUGUUUUAUAUUUUUGUGAUUUAGGAUCUUGAAUAUUUUAUCAUAACAACUAAAUUUUUAUUAACAACAAUCUUAUGCCAAUUUCAAUUUUUCUCUUGCACCAAGUACCAACAUACUAGUGAUUAAAUAUUUUUUAUUUGUCAAUAUAUGUGCCCAAUGAGAUAUUUUGAAGCUUCUAAUAAAUAUGUCUAUGCAAGGGUUAAAACUCUCUUUUAAUUUCCAAGCAUGUCUUUUAUAGGACAAUUUGGAUCUCUUUAUUCCUCACCAUUUACCUAUUCAAGAGUAUUUAAGAUUCCUUUUCUAGUUAGUAGGAGCUAUAUAUUCAAUCACUUAAUAAAGAUCAAAUAUUUUGCUAUACAUGCGAACAUGGUCUCUGUAGAGCAUUGAAUUAUUUUGUUUUAACUUCCCGAGAAUUAAAUUCUUGCAUCAAUUGAUUUAUCACAUGCUUCAAGCGUUUAUAUAUUUAAUUAUUUGUCUCAUCAUUUCGUUCUUCAAGGACAUCAUAUAUAUCAACCCACAAUCAUAUUUUAUUUGUGAUUUUUCACUUUCAUAUAUCAACAAAUUCAUUCAAUAAUCGAUCAACAAUUCACAUUGUAUAAUAUCCCUUUUGAACUUCAAGUUCAAAUUACAUAAAUAUGAAGACGAGGUAAAGUGAUAUAUAGUAUUAUCAUAAAAUCAAAUCAUCCAUCAUGUAUAGCUUUUCUAUCCCUUGUGAUGGGAAGACCUUUUCAUAAAAUAUUUAUGCAUAAAUAUUGGUGAAUCAUAACAAAUAAUAAAUUGCUUCUAUAAAUUCAUCUUCACUUGAUUUAAACAAAAAUAAAAAAUCAAGACAAUCUGUUACCUCUUGAUUAAAAUUCUUCUGAAUUUUAUAUAAUUUGAUACAUAAUCAUUAGCCUGAUUUACAAAUUUACCAUUUGAGCUUCAUCAUUUCAAACUAUGUAAGAAACUCUAGAAUUAUUGAAGUUUCAUCACAAAUUUUUUCAAUUUCUAAUUUGUUCUACUUCGUGUGGUGCUAUAUAUAUAUUGCAAUCAUAAAUACUUAAAUGUUGAUCUCUGCAAUGUCAAUAAAUUUAAUCAUGGCAUGUCUUCCACUAAUCCCACAAUUAUCAAAUAAACAUUCGCUUCAAGGAAUGUUACUGCUGGAGCAUAAAUGAGCUAUAAAAUAUUUGCUCAUACCACAUGUUCUCUUUAAAUAUAUUCUUGAUGAUUUUCUCCUCAUAUACAUAUAAAAACAAGAAAAUCAAAUCAUGAACUUUUGUUUGAUCUUUCAGUGAUCGCAUGUUUUCUUUUACUUGUUUCAAAGAAACAAAUUAUCCAUUUGGAUAUUCAAUUUUCGCUCCUUCAAGGAGAUAAAAUAAAUCACCAUUUUAAUUCAAUCCUUGAACAUCUUCCAUAUAUUAUGUUAUUUUUCCUUCAAAUUUUUUUUGAAACAACCAAUUAUGCCUUAUUUAUAUAAUCAUUUUGUAACUCGUUCUGGAGAUAUGGAGAAAGAAAUUCAUAUAUAAUCUUAUACGACAUAUACAUAAACUUAUAAUAAAGAAGCGAUUUCAUAGAUUCAUUCUCUUAAAUCAUAGAAAAACAUAUAAAUAUAAUUUUAGACAAAAUCUAAAUAGUUCAAUUCAUACCUUUAUGAUUAAGAUCAAAAGAGAGAAAUUUACCGUACUACCUUUUUCGCUAAGAAUCGUAUUGAUGCAUGUUAAAUUAUUUAUCAAUUAAGAGUUCAACAAUAUAGCAAGAGAAAGAGAGAAGCAAAUAAGAGACAUGAUGUCUAGCGACGAAGUUUAUUCAAUCUCACGUAUAUACAAACAAGGAGAUGAGUCAUCCUUUUAUAGUCACAUAACCAUAUAAAUGAAGUAAACGAUUAGUAAAUGGAUAUAUCAUUAGUUAUAAGUUCUUAUAAGAUAGUAGAAGUUAUAAGAAAUAAAAAGUUGUUUGUUGGGGAGAUAAAAGGUUGCUUUGAUGAACAUUUACAUAAAUUAUAAUUAUUCUCUCUCUCUUUCUCUCUCUCUCUCUCUCUAUAUAUAUAUAUAUAGAGACAAAGAGAGAAAAUUUUCAAUUCAGGAUUUUAAAGUGCGGGAACUACUAUAUAUAUAUAUAUGUAUGUAUGUAUGUGUGUGUGUGUGUAUGUAUGUAUGUGUGUGUAUGUAUGUAUGUAUGUAUGUGUGUGUGUGUAUGUAUGGAUGUAUGUAUAUUGGCAAGACAAAUGACGUUUAUAAUUAGAAAAUAUUGCUCUCUCAAUAUCCUGCAUAACAAUUGUAGCAAUCCAAAGUUAUCUGUUUAAUUACACAAUAGUUCAAAGAUGAAAAUGCUUAUAUCUCAAAAAGAAAAUUAAUGAGAAGAAAAGAGACAAGUUUAAUAUGUGGCCUUUUUUUUUUUAAAUUGUGAACUUAAUUAAUUUAAUUUCAAUCAGUUAAGUCAUUAAAGUCUGUUCAUUUUUUCAACUUAUUAAAAGUUUUCAAUUAUUAAACCAAUUUUUUCCUUUUCGCUUUUUACUUAAUCUAAAAAAUCUGAAGAUAUUGUCUGAAAUAUCUCAAUUUAAUAAAUCUAUUUCAUCUAAAUAAAAUUUAAUCAGGGGCAAAGCCAAAAAAAAAUUGGGUGGGCUAAAUGUUUUCCAAAGUCCAAAUAUUAUCACAAUUAAGAGUGUAAAACUUAAUAAAAAGUUCAUUAAUAUAUAAGAAAAUAAAUCGAAUCCCAAAAGUAAUUCAAUUACAAUUAAAAAUUCCUUAGGUUGUACCUUACGAUACUUUCGAGCAUUAAAUUUAUCUAUUAUUGAAUUUGAAUCGAUAGUGUCUACAAUUCUCUUUUAUUGUAGAUAAACCAUACAAUUUGAUAUAAACUCCUUCUCCAUCUUAUUUUGAAGUGCUGUCUUGAUUACCCACUAAACCAGGCCAUUUGAUUCAGCUCUUAGAUUUCUUCUUUUCUUUCAUAGAAACAACUAUCUCUAAUAUAUGAUCUAUCAAUAAUCAAUUUAAAAAUUUAAUUGCUAGAAUUCAAUGAUUUGACCUAACAAUAAUUUAAUCUUAUGCAAUAAAAUUAGAAUAAGAACUAACUAAAGUCUUUACUACCAUACAAUUAAUAAAUAUAUUGUAAAUAAUUAAAUAAAAAAUAAUUUUAUUAUAUGUUUUUACCAACAAAAGAUAAAUAACUGAAGAAGAAGCAGAGCACGUCAACACCAAGAACCCAAGAAACAAAGAGAGCAUGUUUUGAAAGAACAAAGUAAAUGCUCACUUUUACUAAUUUAUUUAUAUGAAGGACAAAGUUGCAAAUUAAUGGAAUGAUAAAGUUGUAAAUAAAAGAAAGGGUAAUGAGAAUUUUGUAAACUUUGCACAAUGGUAUUUUUGGAAAUUUAUCAAAAUUUUGGACAGGCUGCAACCCACAAGUAGCUCCGCCCAUGAAUUUAAUAAUUAGCAUUAUUAUUCAUUUCUAUAAACUAUGAUAAUAGAGUAGUAGAUUAUUACUAUUUGUAUCUUUUUAUUUUCUUCAAAGAAUUAUUUAUCUCCAUAAUUUUUAUAAAAAUUUUCAUAUAACCCAUCGUAAACUGUAAUAAAAUUGAUUUACAUGUUUUAAUUCAUAAUUUUAAAGGAUUAUUUUCACUUCAACAUCAUUUAUGUAAUGAUGAAAAUAUAAAUAUUAUUUUCUUCAUCAAGAUAUUUAUUACUUCUUUAGCAUUUAAAAUUUGUAAGAACACAAAUGUAAAUGUACAUGUUUUCUAACUUUUAUGUUGAGGAGAAAAAAAAAAGCCUUACAUUUAGUAAAUCAAAUUUAAUUUUGUCGGUGCAUACAUGAUUCAAAAUUUACUUUCAUGACAUCGAAUUACACUCCCCAUUACAUCAUUAAAACACAUAAUCUACCUCUAUUCCACUAGAAAUUUAUUUUUUCGAAGGCCUAUUGACCUGGACGAAGACCUGUUGAGAAGAACAUUUUAGCUACUUCAGAGGAGAGUCUAAAUCAAGAGGCAAUUGGCUUCUGCUUAGACCACACGGUGGACAACCAUACAGGCAACAUGAUUAGAUAAAAGGACUAAUGAAUGGUGUUGAAGUUGUUCCCUCAAAAAUUGGGUAACUGCAAUCUUCUGUCAGCACUUUCUGAUCAUUUUCUUUGUUUAAAACGACUAAUGAAUGGUGAUGAAGUUGUUCCCUUAAAAAAUGGGUACCUGCAAUUUUCUGUCAGCACUUUCUGAUCAUUUUCUUUGUUUAAAAGGACUAAUGAAUGGUGUUGAAGUUGUUCCCUUAAAAAAUGGGUACUUGCAAUUUUCUGUCAGCACUUUCUGAUCAUUUUCUUUGUUUACCGUUUUUCCCCGGCAAAGAUCACAUGCAUGUUGAUUGUAUGACUUUCUUUAUCCACACUAUGUAUUGUUGUUGUCUGUUUGGGAUUCGCCAGAGGAUUUUCUUGGCUUAUGUCAUCUCAGACCGUCAUAUGCUAACCAUAAUCAAUGCUCACAAUGAAGACUUUUCUAAGCUUCAAUAAUUGAUGCUUAUUAUACAGAUUAGCAUAAAUUGGCAUGGAUUCGAGGAUUUGCGAUAUAACAACAUAUCCUGAAAGCUUACGAUAAUUACAAUGUUAUCCAAAAUGUUCCCUAUACUUGAAUACGUAGCUUUGCUUUCUGUGAUAUUGUUUCAAUUGGAGCCUAGAAUUGCUGAUUCUAACAACACAGUAAUGAGGUGCAUUGAUGAGGAGAGAGAAGCACUUCUCACUUUUAAACAGAGCCUGGUGGAUGAAUAUGGUGUUCUGUCUUCCUGGGGAAAAGAUAAUGACAAAAGAGAUUGCUGUAAAUGGAGAGGAGUCCGUUGUAGCAAUAAAACUGGCCAUGUCAAGGUGCUCAAUCUUCGAAGAUCCGACGAUGAAAAUUCUCGAGGGACAGUCUUGAAAGGUACAAUUAGCCCUGCUUUGCUUAAAUUGCAUGAUUUAAGACAUUUGGACCUUAGUAACAAUCACUUCGGUGGAAGCCCACUUCCUGAGUUCAUUGGUUCCCUCAGUAGAUUGAGGUACCUCAAUCUCUCUUGUGGUACAUCUUUAUUAAAAGUACCUCGUCCAUUCCAGUACCUUUCAGGAUUGGUAUAUCUUCACCUAGAAAACUCUAAUUUAUUUAGUUUGGGAAGCCUACAGUGGCUUUCUCAUCUUUCUUCUUUAAGGCACCUAGACCUGAGUUACAUUAAUCUCACUAAAUCUAGUGAUUGGUUUCAAGUAGUUGCCAAGCUCCGUUCCCUAAAAACAUUAGUCCUACACUCAUGUGCUCUUCCACCUAUCAAUCCUUCAUCUAUUUGGCACUUCAAUUUGAGUACGUCUAUUGAGACCCUUGAUCUCUCCGACAACAAUCUCCCUUCUUCAUCAGUAUACCCUUGGCUUUUCAAUCUUAGUCGGAAUAUUCAAUAUCUUAACCUUGGCUUUAACUCAUUACAAGGUUCAAUUCCAGAGGCUUUUCAACUAAUGGUUUCUCUUAGAUUUCUCUAUCUCACCUCUAAUGAACUUGAAGGUGGGAUUCCAAAAUUCUUCGGAAAAAUGUGUAGCUUAAAUAGAUUAUGCUUGCCUUACAAUAAACUCAGUGGAGAUCUCUCGGAGAUGAUUCAAAAUCUGUCUGGUGGAUGCACGAUGAAUUCACUGGAGGGUGUAUGUUUAGAAGGCAAUGAUAUCACAGGACCAUUACCUGAUCUUGGAGGUUUUUCAUCCCUAAAAAUAUUAGUACUUGGAGAAAAUCGAUUAAAUGGAACAAUAGACAAAAGCCUCAGCCAGUUGUUGAAGCUCGAGUCUCUGUCACUUGGUAGGAAUUCAUUCACAGGUGUUAUCUCUGAAACCUUUUUUUCCAAUAUGUCCCACUUGCAGAUGUUGUACUUGAAUGAUAACUCUUUGACUUUGAAAUUGAGCCAUGAUUGGGUUCCUCCUUUUCAACUGAAAUCGUUAAGUCUUGCCUCUUGCAAGAUGGGACCUCAUUUUCCAAAAUGGCUUCAAACUCAAAAUCAACUUAUUUCCCUUGAUGUCUCCAAUAAUGGAAUCUCGGAUGCUGUCCCUGAUUGGUUUUGGGAUCUGUCUAUUGAACUCGUUUUUUUAAAUCUCUCUAACAACCAGAUCAGGGGUAAACUUCCUGAUUUGUCUUUUUUAAGAUAUGAUGAUAUUGUUAUAGACGUCAGUUCAAACCACUUUUGUGGCCCAAUUCCACCACUUCCGUCAAAUUCUACAUUCUUGAAUCUCUCAAAAAAUAAGUUCUCAAGAUCAAUUACUUUCUUAUGUUCUAUUAUAAAAAACACAUGGAACUUUUUUGAUCUCUCGAGUAACUUAUUAUCUGGAGGGCUUCCCGAUUGUUGGUUGAACUUUGAUAGCCUAUCCAUUCUUAAUUUGGCAAACAAUAGCUUCUCCGGGAAAAUUCCAGACUCGAUGGGCUUCCUCCAUAAUAUCCAAACACUGAGUUUACACUCCAAUAGGUUAACCGGGGAGUUGCCUUCAUCUUUAAAAAAUUGCUCACAACUGAGAGUUUUGGAUCUUAGAAAGAAUGCAUUGUACGGUGAGAUACCAACCUGGAUAGGGGGAAGUCUUCAAAAUUUGAUUGUUCUUAGCUUGAAAUCUAAUAAUUUUCAUGGAAAUAUACCUUUUCAGUUAUGCCAUCUGGCGUUCAUUCGAGUUCUGGAUCUCUCUUUAAACAAUAUAUCGGGAAAGAUACCAAAAUGUUUCAAUAAUUUUUCAGCCAUGACCCGAGAAAAAAGUUCCAAUCCUAUCAUUGGGUUGGCUGAUAAAAUCUGGAUUUUCCCUAGAUAUGUAUAUAGGUAUAGUUAUUUGGACAAUGUUCUGUUGACAUGGAAAGGAAGUGAACACGAGUACAAAAGUACUUUGGGACUUGUAAAAUGUCUUGACCUUUCGAGUAACAAACUACAUGGAGCAAUUCCUGAAGAGAUUAUGGAUCUUGUGGGGUUGAUUGCUUUAAACCUUUCAAGAAACCAUUUAACUGGACCAAUCACUCCAAAGAUUGGUCAAUUAAAUUCAUUGGAUUUCCUUGAUUUAUCUAGAAACCAGUUUUCCAGAAGCAUUCCGUCUAGCCUUUCUCAACUAAAUGGUCUUAGUGUCUUGGACUUGUCGUCCAACAACUUGUCAGGAAAAAUCCCAUUAGGUACUCAGCUUCAAAGCUUCAAUGCUUCGGUGUAUGCUGGAAAUCCUGAACUUUGUGGCCUUCCACUUCCAAACAAAUGUCCGGAUGAAGAAUCAACUCCAUUGCCAGGCAGAAAUGAUGGUGCAAACACUCUAGCAGAUGAGGAUGAUCAGUUUAUGACUCUCGGAUUUUACGUGGGCUUGAUUCUUGGUUUCUUUGUUGGAUUCUGGGGUGUCUGCGGAACUUUAAUGCUGAAUAGGUCGUGGAGACAUGGUUACUACAACUUCUUGACUGGUAUGAAAGAUUGGCUUUAUGUGACAGCAGCUUUGAAUAUUGCCAAACUGCAAAAGUUCAGGAACUAAUUAAACGGUAAUACUCCUAAGUGUAUAGUGCAUUUUAGUAAAGAUUAUUGGCUUUCACAUAUGCUUUUAAUUUCUUCAUCCUUAGACUUGACUCUUUCCUCUUACAAGAUUUUGUUUAUCAAAUCAAUUGUUACUAUUUUUUUGGCAGGGUCUCCCGGUGAUGGCAUCUUGUCAUUAAUUUUCAGAGUACUCAUUUCAUUUUUGGAAACUUUCUAAAAAUAAAGUUGUGCUCCCAUAUGAUGCUCAUUGUAUUAUUGAGUAUAUGCCUAAAGAAACUUGGAUGUGUUUCUCUUUAGUCCAUCAUCGAUUUAUGCGUUUAUUAAUUAUAUGCUCUUGUUCGGAGAAAUUCUAGAGUAAAUCAGAGGUAUUACACCCAAUUAGAGUUUAAUUAUACUACUAAUUGGAAUAAAGACGGUCAAAUUCUGCUCUGUUGUUGAUUAGUGUUAGAAUUUUUAUUUCUUGGAUUUUUGUGUGCCUUACACCUCUUUAUUAGUAUUGAAUAAACUUCUAACAAUAAAAGAGAGAUCUCGCUACAGGAUGUUCAGUGAACAUAAGCAUAAAGCUAAAACACGCUACAUAAAAAUUAAAAUAUCUAAGGUGCAUUUGUACUUUGUAGAGAAUACACGCUUAAUUUAAAAUUCUAGUUGUAUGAAACAUGUUAUAGAAUUUUCUAGACGACAUGGAUAUUUCUUAAUAGAAUAUAUAUUUUAUGAAUGAUUUUUAAAAAGGACCUUAUCUUUUGUUGGGUAAUUUUAAUUACUAUAUGUGUCAAUGUACAAAUAUACACAACAAGUAAUAUACUGAUGAGUCUAAAUUAAAAUAAAAUAAUUAAUGAAAUUAAUGAACUAACUAAAUUAAAAUUGCAAAUAAACAAAAUGCAAAAAAGAAAAUUCUCAAGUCAAACAUAAGGACAAAGUCAAUGGGAAUAGAGUAGUUGGGUGAUUAAACUCACUUAAUUGUAUUGAUUGUUUUUCCAAUUAAGAUUAUGUUGCUUUAGCAUCUCCUACAACACUGAGCAGAAUCUCUCACGUAUUCUCAGCUGUCGCUUGUUGAAUAUCUUAUAUCUAAAUACAACCUAAUAAUGACUAGUUGUUACGCUAACAUUAAAUAUAGCAUCAUGUGUUCUAAGUUCUAAUUGCCCUACAAGGUAAAUCCGUAUGUCUAGUUCUUUAUUAAUUUUAGAUUAAGCAUGUCCCUAUUUAAAUCAAUAUUAACUCAACUUGGGAAACCCAAUCUAAAGCCAUUUAUUGUCUUAAUUUGUUCCACUAAGUUAGAUAUUUUUUAGGUUGUUUCUUAGCUAGUAUUCACUAAAUGGGUGGUCAGCCGAAAUAGGGAAUUGCAAUAAGUAAAAUCAAGACAAAAUGCUAUAGUAAAUACAGAGCAGCACACAUAUAUCAUUCAAAUAACCAUUAAGCUUAUUUAUCACUCAAUCACAACAAAGUUUAGUUUAGGAUUUGCGAUAAAACGGUAACAAAAAUAAGUUUAGCCAUGAAAUACUGAACUUAUUUAAGUUUAUAAUCUAUAAUAUAUUUCUAUAUAUAUAUUAUUAUUAUUAUUAGGCUUUAAUUAUGUUACAUGAUCAUGUAACAUACAUAAUUCUUCCAUAGCCGUUGGAUGAAAAUUCAACGACUAUGGAAGAAUCAUAUAUCUUACAUGAUUAUGUAAGAUAAUAAUCACUUUAUUAUUAAGCUAACAGAAGGAUGAUGUAAUACAUAUGUACAUGCUUCUAGACAACAAAUUCAGAGAAGCAUUACGCAAAGUCAACAGUUAACUAAUCAAAGUCAGCGGACAAUUACGUUUGGUCCUUGCUUGGGAAUUUCUAAUUUCAAUGGCAGCAAAGUCUGUGGAAAAUUACUUUAAAUGAAGUAUGUACACAAAUGCACACCAAUUAAGAAUAUUACAAAAAUCAUUUAGAUGGUACACAUCAUACAUAAACACAGCUUCAGUUUCGGAAGGGGACCAUUAAUUGUUCAAAAUCGAUAUACAAACAUGGUGGCCCUAGCUAAGAAGAUAACAUGCAUGAUAAGGAUAAACAAUUACCCCAAUCUUUCUUUUGUGGACAUGUGGAUAAAACAAAGACAGAUUCUGAAAGAAGGCGUAUCUAUAGAUGGCCAAUUCAGAACUUAUUUAAGAUCAUACGUUAAUUUUAUUUUUAAUUGAGAUAGAGCCUCUCAUGUUGGCGUUAAUAUGUAGACAAAUAUGAAUCUGAUGCAUAAUAGUACUUUUGAAAUUUUGUUUAAUUAAUUCUUAAGUUGAAAUAUAAAACAAGUAUUCCCCAAUCAACCACGAAGAAUUAAUACCCAUUUAGUUUUUUAAUCUGAAAUUUAAAAUCAGUCUGAAUUUGGUUGAAGUCUUAGCUGAUAGUUUGAUGUGUUUUCUUUUUUUUUUUUAAUAUCUAAAUAUAAUUGACAUUAUAUUUGUUCUUAUAAAUAAAAAAAAGUUAAAUACAGUUAUUUAACAUUUAUAUCCUUGUAAGUUAAAAUGCAUAAAGGGCUUAAGCUUUAUAGUUUAGCAAAUAAGUAUAUUUAAUAGAGAUGUUUUAGGAUAUAAUAUUUACUUCUUCGUGCCUUUUCCUAUUUAUAUAAAAGUCACAAAAGUUUACUCUUUAUUUUUAAUUCAAAUGUAAAUGUCUGAAAAAUCAUAUAUAAGUUAAAAAAACAAACGAACAAUUUUAAAAAAGUUUGAAAUAAAAAAAAUUCAAAUUUUAGACAUUUAACCAAUAAGCAUCAAUUUCAUCUUGGUCAAGAGAGUAGUUGGCUACCAUGAAAUUUCUGAUCCCUGUCUAGUAUGGGCAUGUCAUGAAUUAAGCUACGUAUUUUAAUUUUUGCCUUAAAAAAAUUUCCAUUCUUUGUUCUAGAAAAUUGAAAAAAAAAAGAAUAAAAAAUAGUUCACGUUGGUAUUAUCAUUAUAUUAGUCUUAUAAACAUCUCAACCGUUACUAAGUACUCUAUGGCUCGGGUCUUUAGCAGGGUUAUUGAUAGGAAUCAACCGUUUAUUCGCUGACGCAGUAUCAAUCACCAUUGGUUGUUCUUCCACUGUUUAAGAUACAGAUUUAAGAGCAAAGCAAUUUGAAUGCUUGUAAUUGUUACUCUUGCAUCCAAUUUUCCCCAGGAAUUACAGGAUCAACAAUCCCAUCAAACAUAUUACUUUUAACGUGGCUUAACAGGAUCAACAAUCCCACUGCAGUAGUCAGGUGAUUUUGUCCAUGAUUUAUUCAAUUCAGUCUACAGUUCACUAAUUAUGAAAGGAAAGCAUUAAUAAAUUAUCAGGACAAGCUUUUUAUAAGUGAAUUUCUGCCCAAACAAAGCAUCAAGUGACGAUAUAUACCAAAACUGUAAACAUCAUAGUUCUCUUAUUUUCAAUAAAAUGUGUUUUAUUUUUUUGGGUAAACGUAAACCAACGCCAGUUUUAUUUUGUUUCUACGAGGCUUUGUCAUCAUUUUGUGUGUUUACCAUUUUUCCACGGCAAGAUUACAUGGAUGUUGAUUGUACGACUUUCUUUAUCCAUGCUCUGCAUUGUUGUGUGUUUGGGAUUCGCCGGCGACUUUUCUUGGCUUUAUUCAUCUCUCAAAUUUUCAUAUCCUAACACAUAAUCAACGCGCAGACUGAAGACUUUUCUUGGCUUCGAUAAUUGAUGCAGAUUAUACACAGUAGUAUAAAUUGGCAUGGAGUCCAGGAGUUUCGAUAUAACAGCAUAUCCUCAAAGCUAAUGAUAAUUAUAAUGUCAUCCAAGUUGUUCCUUCUAUUUGAAAAUAUAGCUUUGUUUUCUGUGAUAUUUUUUCAAUUGAAGCCCACGACUGCUGAUUCUAACAACAUAAUAAUAAGGUGCAUUGAUGAAGAGAGAGAAGCGCUUCUCACUUUUAAACGGAGCUUGGUGGAUGAACAUGGCGUUCUGUCUUCCUGGGGAAGAGAAGAUGACAAAAGAGAUUGCUGUAAAUGGAGAGGAGUCCACUGUAGCAACACAACUGGCCAAGUCAAGGUGCUUAAUCUUCGAACAUCCGAUUAUGAAUUUGCUCGGAGGAAGUUCCUGAAAGGUACAAUUAGUCCUGCUCUGCUUAAAUUGCAUGAUUUAAGACAUCUGGACCUUAGUAACAAUGACUUUGGUGGAAGCCCAGUUCCUGAGUUCAUUGGUUCCCUCAGCAAAUUGAGGUACCUCAGUCUCUCUUGCGGCGGACCUUUAGAACUCCCUCGAAAAUUCCGGAACCAUUCAAGAUUGGAAUAAAUGCAAUUCAGGUAUAAACUUCUUUUCCAGAAUCUACUGGGGUUCUUCUUAUCAGGUAUGGAUUUAAAUGUAAAAAUGAAAGAGGGUCGUCCAUUAGCAUUUCCAGAAAUGGUGGUGUAAAAGGAUUGUAGAAAAUUAUUUUUCCUUAAGGUUUAGAGUUCGAAGUUCGAACGGUAGAGAAAAAUGGCCUUUGAAGAAAAUCUAUUUUGGUUGGGUGCAGAACUGCAGAUAAUUGAAGAUCUAAGGAAGAUAGAAAAUGGGAGGAGCUUAGGGAGAAAUACAGUAGAAGGACAAAACCUGAAUCCUACUCUCAUUGUGUUGAGUUUGGGAAAUCGAAUGGAGCUGUAGUUUGUAGAGGGUAUAUUAUCUACGAUGAAUGGAAAGUGAUCCAGCAAGGGCUUGUAGAUAGAUUUGGGCACUCUUUCGAUCUGAAACUAUUCCACAAUGAAAAAGUAACUUUUUUCUGUCAAAACACAAAUGGAAGUAACCGGUUGGGUAAUAUAUGCAUUUGCAGAUUGCAGGGCAACGUCAUCAUGGUGUUACGAGGAUGGGUACAACAUUAUUGAUAGAUCAUUGAAUGAUUGAUAUUGAAAGAUUAAAAAUUACUUUUAAGGUUUUGGCUCAUUGUUCGUAGUUAUUAUUAUUGACACGACUGAACAACUAGUUAUAUUACCAUUACGAUUAUUAUGGGGUACAAUACCUUGAUUGAUUAAUUGGCUGGAUCAUCGGGAUUAUAGGUGAUAUAUUAAUUGUUGGGCCACAAGAUUAUAGGUGAUAUAUUGAUUAGCCGAGUCAUCGAGAGCGCAGGUGACACUAUGUGACAUGAGCAAUUGAAUAACAGAAAUAUUUUAUUGUUAAAUGAUUUCUUAGAUGAUUAAAUAUUUGAAAAUGAUUAUUACAUGAUGACUUAACUUAAAAUGAAUUUUAUCAUACUCAUGCAAUAGAUUGUAAAAUGAAUAUUGUUUUCCAAUUUAUGGUUCCUUAUAAUGAUUAUUAUGUAUUUUAUUGUUAUUGGUAAUCUCAUGCAUGAAUUUACUUACCAAGUUGAUGGCUCACCCCUCGUCUCCAACAUUUUGCAAGUUUAUUUUAGAGAUGUGGGGUUUUUGGUUUAGAGAAGAGGAUUUUUUAGCUAACACAUUUUCUUUGAUGAAUAAAUUGUCAUUAUUUUGGUUAUUGUUCAUAGUUGAAUUUGUUUUGGAUGAUUAUUGUUAUAUUUAUUAUUUUAGAGAUUUUAUUUUGACAGUGGACAAUAUUGAUUUUUAUAUUAAUAAGAUUAAUAUCACAAGGUUUCAUUCAUUCCCAAUUCCUCUUGUAAAUUAUAGGGUGAAUUUGGGUUAUUACAUUAUUAAUUAAAUUUCUACAUAGAUGACAUUACAAAGAUGUUGAUCAAAGACUAAAAUAUUUCGGAGAAGAUGGUAAUGUUGUUAGGGUGCACCAAAUUUAAAACCUUACUACUAGUAUAAAUAAUUAGUAUAGAGCGAGUAAGGAUCGAUCCCACAGAGACUAUGCUAGUUGUAUUUAUUAUCAACUCUAAAGCAGAACUUUAAAUAAAAUAAUAAUAUAAAUUAAUCUAACUAAAGAAAAUGCCAACUAAAAAUAGAGAAAAUGGGGGUUUUUGAAUUUUUAACUAAAUAGUAAGAAAUAAAGAAAUUAAAACUACGAAAACAAUAAUUUAAUAAAAACUCUAAUUAAAGGAGAAAGAAAUAAUAAUGAGAAAAACUUUGGUUAAAUGAUCAUUCGCCACCACCAAACCUGCGCAUAAUAUAUCAAUUCUAUCAUUAAUUUAUAUUGAAACUAUCAACUAUAGACAACAAUAAUCUCUGUCAGUCUCAAUCUUUUCUUAGUAUGUCGUUAGGCAAAACAAGCUCUUCAUCUAAUCUCUAACUAUUAAAUAAUUUAAAAACAAGCUCUUUAAAUUUAAGAUAAUAGAAGCAUUAAGUAGAGAAAGAUAUUAGGUUGAUUUAGGCAAUAAACACACAAGCUCGGAUUAUUUAACUUAGGUUAUGUUCUCCAAUCGAAAUCACUGAUUCCAACCUACUACUAAUGAUUAAAAUAUCAAGACAAUUAUGGAUCAAGAAUUUUAAUCUAGCAAUAGAAUUUAUUCAAGUUCUAUCUAAUUGGCCACUCAAAUAAGACAAGAAUAAAAUCAUAAACAUUAAUUAUAGAAGAACAUAAACAAUCUCAAUUAAAUAAAUUGAAUGAUAGAAAUAAAAAAAUUUAAUUGCAUAGCAUAUUUAGGGUUUUGAAUUCACCCUCAACCAAAUAAAAAAUCUAUUCUAACAUAAUUAAAUUGAGAAUAAAAGAGUUAAUAAAACUAGACAUAGAGACUAAUUCAAACGGCUGUCUCCUCUAUUUUUUCUCUUCUCCUUUGCGGCUGCAAAUUGUUUUUGUAUGUGUGGCUGCCGAUCCUCCAAUUCUCCUCUAAUUCUGCCGCAAGUCUAGCUUUUAUGGUAGCUUUUAUUGUGCGCCUUAAAUCCUCACAUGGAAAGGAUUAAAAACAAAAGCCAAGCCGCCACUUUUUGUUCAUGCAUGCACAUAACUUGUACAAUUAAUUGGCCAAUGAAUAUUGUUAAAGCCAAAGCCCAUCACGUGCUUGCCAUUUAAAGCCAUGCCAAAAUAUUUGCUUCCUCAAUUAAUCACAAUAUAUGUUUCCCACGUGAUUGCAUGCAUGUUGAUUAAUCAAAUUAAAUCUUUCUUUCCUGAUCUCUUGUGCACUUUUGUCUCUCAAUCUUCAAUUCUUUUCCUAUUUUUAUUCUUUCAAUGAAAUUUCUUUCCUGAAUGCUCUGAUUUAAUUUCUCUUUAAUCCCAAAAUAUAUCUAAAAUAAUAAAAUAAAAAAACUAAGAUAAAAAUUAACACAAUAAAAUAUAAUUUUAACAAAAUAACUAAAUUAAAAAUUAACUGAAAUAACUAGAAUAUUUAAGAUCAAAACAAGAAAAAGAUGGAGAAAUUAAUAGCAAAAUAUAUGAAAAAUAUGCACUUAUCAGAAGACUAAGAGUGCGUUUGGGAGUGAGGUACUGAAACUUUUAAACUGCAGCUACUGUGAAGUAAAAGCUAUAGAUGUGGAGUAGAAGCUGAUGAUAUUUGAUAAAGAUGCUGUAACUUUUAAGCUGCAGAAGCUGAUAGUGUUUGGUAAAUAUAUGUGUCUAGUAUUUUCAAUUUUAAUUUCACAAUUUUUAUAUAUAUAUAAUUUUAUAAAAAUCUCGGGACCCAUAUUAUUCAGUUAAGACACUGUGAGACAAUUUUGAAUUUAAUAAGAAACAAAUAGUUUUGAAAAUGUUUUUGGUAUUGGAUCCUCCUAAAAAUUUUAUUGGAGAUACCCAUGGAUGUCGAGAAUAGAUCUAUGUAAUUUUGUGUCAUUUUGAUUAUUAGAUUAAGAGUUAAAAUUCAGAGAAUCAGACUUCUACGGGUAUGAAUUAGAAAAUUAAGUUCUUGGAAUAAGUUAUUAAUAGUUAUUUCUUGUAUUUGUUUAAAGUAUUGGAGGUGUUUGAGACUGUUAGAGGCUUAGAGGUGUGUUUAAAUCAUUGCUUUUAUCAAGAUAAGUAACUCUAUUCCUAAUGUACUUGAUAUCUAAUGUACUAGAUAUAUAUGAUAAUUUUGAUAUUUCAAUAUUAUUACAAGUACGUGUGUUUUCUUAGUUCUUCAUAACAAAAAUAAUUGAUGUGAGUGUUUUUAAAUUUGAAAAUUAUGCCAUUUUUAUGGUUUUAACAAAAUAUUAUAAAUGCCUUUAAAUGUGCAAUUUAUUUUGCUAGAUAAUUAUAUUUUUGAAAUUAUCUAUAAAAUGUUAGAAUGGAAAUUGUUCUGCAAGCCUAAAUCAUUGUUAUGAUCAUUUAUGAAUCUAAUAUGAAUAUUAUGUUCACGUAUUCGAUUUAAAUUAUCUAUGAAAAUUUAUGCGGGAGCCACCUUUUGAGACUGUAUGGGGGCCAUAUCUCGAGGACUAAAGUGCCACGUACAUUAUAAAGUACCACGUGUAAUUUGCUACAAAGGAAAAAUAAAUUUAAAUAAUUUGGUUCAUUGUCCGUAGUCAUUUUGAUUCCGUUAUAUACUUACACACACACACAAACACAGAGUAUUGAGUUUCUAUUCAGAUUGUGUCUAUGAUAUUCUGAUUCUCAUUCUAUUCCAGCCUGGUCAUCGAGAGUAUAAGUGACACUAUGUGACAUGAGCUAAUCUUUUGUGUCCUGUAUUUAUAUAUUAUAUGAUUUCUUUCUAUGAUUAAUUAUGAUUUCGAUAUUCUGGAUCAUUUAUGAAUUUGUCCUUAUGUUAUUAUAUCUCAUUGUAAAAUUUAUGUUUUUUUAUUGUGAUAUAUAUAUUGGUAAACAAGGCUUGCAAUACUUUUGGUAUCGGAUGUCCCUGGGGUGUUGGGAAUGGUUUUACUUGCCGAAUUGAUAGCUCACUUCUCGUCAUUACUUUUUGCAGAUUGAGUGACUUGUUGAGAGAUGUGCUUAUCUUUGGAGUUAGAGAUUAAUUUACUUUUGCUAGUUGAAUAAAAGAAGGACGAAUUUCUAUUUCUUUUAAGCUUGUUAGUCUUCUCAACUUGUAAUUGGAGAAUUUCUAUUUCCUUCUUGGCAAGUUGUGUUCUCUCAAGACUCGCAGCUCCGCCAAAUUCUGGCGUGAAGGCUUAUCACCUUCCUCUUUAAUGCAGGUUUGCAGCCCACAUCAGUCGCCAGUUGGAGUCAAAUUAAUGAAAAAUUUAGGGUCGUGUAAUUAGUCUUGUGGUGAUUUAAUAAGAAUGCAGUGAAGAAUUAAGAGAUAUUCAAGUGCCUGCAAUUGUGUUGGUUUCCCAAAUCCCAACCAAUCCAACAUUUCAGGAAGGCUUUUCGUUUAAAUUAAUAGCACAACGUGCCAGAGGGAUAGUCCAAAUUCUUGUUGCGUUCUCUCAACUCUCAAUUCUCAUGAUAUUAGUUAUAGCUUCGUAAAGAACAUUUGGCAACCUCAGAUGGAGGAAUCUGAAACAGAGAUGGCGUCAUUGCCCUAUGAUUGAGGCUUGAAUUAACUCUUUCCCAGCAUGUUUCUUUGAUUCAUGAGGAUAUACAUUCUCUUUUUUUUUCAUAAUACAUUAAUUAAAAGUAUACAAAUGGAAGAAGGAAGCAAGUAAAGUAAAUCAAACAUUGAACAUGACAAGGUACAAGAAGCAGGCGAGUCUCAGGUAUCAAGCUUUCCUAGGCGACAACCAAGUUCAACAAAGCAAAGGUGAAGCAAGGCAAACAAGAAUUCAAGCCGCACGUCAUAGAUCACGAAAGUGAAGACUCACCAAGCUUCAACACAGUGAACAAAUCAAGGCUGCUUAUUCUGUAUUUGAUGGCUCUCUCUGUGAUUUUUUUAUUCUGCUUUCAUUUAAUUAUUUUGUUAAUUCCUUUGUUUCUUGAUUAAAUAUCAAACAGUUAAGUGAGGUCCUGGAGGAUCAUGAUCGGUCAUCUAACACUCUCAAACACGAGUUCUUGAUCUAACUUCCACAAACCUGCGAAGUAUUUUGACUUUAGUUAGCAAAUGAAAACAAGGGUUUUAACAUCAAAGGAAAUGGUACCAAGGAAGAUGGCCAAUUCGGGAAUUAAGAUCACAAAGCAAGCAGAGGAGCUCUGUCGUUGGUCCCUGCAGUAUGCAAGUGAUUUUGAUCCUAAUCUCUCAACUUCACAUCUAUUAUUGCUGGCCUAUCUUCUUCCGACACAGAGAGACAUUUCAAGGCAAGUUCUACAAGAAUUUGCAAUUGCUUCGAUUUUCCUUGACCCGGUUGAAUUCCAACGACAAUGGGGUCUAUUAUCUCAACAAACCUAUUAUUAUCAAUAUGUUUCUUGACCCAAUCCUUAAAUAAAGUUUCAUCAAGACAACAUUGAAAAUCAUAUAUCUUCUUGCCAGUCAAAAGCUCAAGCAGCAAGGCAGCAAAGCUAUUAUUUUUCUCUGAAUGCUCCAUGAGAAUGGUAUUUAUGUUAUGAUUCAACCUAAACCUGAUAAGAUAUUGUCUGUUUUAAGCCUUAACAAGGCCACAUGGUUUUGUUUCAAGGACACCAAUACAUCCCGAAACUCAUCUUAUCAAUAAAAGUGUGGAUUACCUCUUAUAAACUCAACAUCUCUCUCGUACUUCGUCAAUGUGAGAUUUGCCUAGGCUGUUACAAUUUAAGUGCCAUAAAUCCAAAUUUGGCGAUUGUGUGAAGUACUCUUAUGCGUAUUUUAACAUCGGAAACAAAAAUUGGUGACAAGGAGGUAUUACAUGCAUUAUCAUUAAAUUAAUAUACGCACUAAUCUCAAAGUAUGUGUUAUAUACAUGUUCUUAAUGUGGCUCACAUUCAUGAGUUUGAGAUGAAUUAAGACUCAUGAGUUUGAGAUGAAUUAAGACUACUCACAUUUUUUUGAUUAGAUAAUGAUAAAGAGUAGUUGCUCCAUAUUUCUAAAAAAUUAAGAUGAGGAUAAUUUCUCAUUUUCUUGAUGGAGGGAAGUGAAUGAAGUCCAUUAAAUAGACUAAGGGUCCUUAGCCUAACCUAGAUACGACUUUCCAUGAGAAUUACCAAUUGAAUUAAAGGCUAUAUAGAGGAAUAGACUAGAAAAUUCUAACCAUUUUUUAAAUUAACUUAAAUAAUAAUGACUGGAGGUAGAGGUACGUAAUUUAUUUAAGUUUAUAAUCUAAACUAUAUUUGGAAAAAUACUCUUUUCAUCUCUAAGGUUUGAUGCAAUAGCCUGUUUCAUCCUUACUAUUUAAAUAAUAUCCUAUUUCAUUCCUAUUUUUUAAGCAAUAGCCUGAAACACCCUUUCAUUAGCUUAUUCUUAACUUAACUUCAACAUGGUCGAAAUAAAUAAAUAAAUGAUCAAUUAGUAUUGUUAUUCUACCAAACGUAAUUACAGACUCCUUUGUUUACUUAAAAAAAAUACACACUAAAUACAUAACAAAAUACAUUUAAAAAUAUUGCAGAAUAAAAUAUAUAAUGCAUUGGAAUUUUUUUUUUUAUCUUUUAGCUUAUUCUUGACCUUAAUAAAAACAAUGAUUCUUGAUGAAAAUUAUUAUUAUUAUUAUUAUUAUUAUUAUUUUGUUGACUUUUAUUAAAAAAAAGAAUUUAAUGAACACACAUAUAUGUGUGUGUGUGUGUGUGUGUGUGUGUGUGUGUGUUGCAUAUUCUUUAGUUUCAUUAAGUUAUACUUAAAUUUUAAAUUUUAAAUUUAUGCAAAAAAGUCAAAUGUUAUUCAAUUAUUCUUGAGAUAUUUAUUUUAAAAAGCUUUAUAUAUUUAUUUAACUAAAAAUCCUAUUUUGCUCUCAAUGAAUUAUAGAGUAAACUAUUAUAAAUUCACGGAAGGGUAUUUUGAGCUAUUAUUUGAAAAAUAAGGAUGAAACGAGUUAUUUUUUAAAAAAUAAGGAUGAAAUGGGCUAUUGUACUAAACCCUAUAAAUGAAAAGAGCCUUUUCCCAAUAUAUUUCUAUAUAUAUUAUUAAUAUUAUUAUUAAGCUAACACAAGGAUGAUGUAAAGCAUAUGUACGUGCCUCUAGACAGCAAAUUCAGAGAAGCAUUAUUGCAAAGUCAACAGUUAACCGUUCAAAGUCAGCGGGACAAUUACGUUUGGCCCUUGCUUGGAAAUUUCUAAUUUCAAUGGCAGCAAAGUCAGGGGAAAAUUAAUUGUUCAAAAUCAAUAUACAAACAUGGUGGCCCUUGCUAAGAAGAUAACAUGCACGAUAAGGAUAAACAAUUACCCUAAUCUUUCUUUUGUGGACGUGUUAAUAAAAUAAAGACAGAUUGUGAAAGAGGACGUAUCUACAGAUGGCCGAUUCAGAACUUAAUUAAGAUCAUUCGUUAUAUUUAUUUUUAAUUGAGACAGAGCCUCUCAUGUUGGCGUUAAUAUGUUAGAUAAGUAUGAAUCUGAUGCAUAAUAGUACUUUUGCAAUUUUGUUUAAUUAAUUCUUAAGUUGAAAUAUAAAACAAGUCUUCCCCAAUCAACCACGAAGAAUUAAUACGCAUUUACUUUUUUAAUCGGAAAUUUAAAAUUAGUCCGAAUUUGGUUGAAGUGUUAAUUGAUGGUUUGAAUACAAAUGUCUAUAUAUGAUUUGUUUUUUUUAAUAUCUAAAUAUAAUUGACAUUACAUUUGUUUUUAUAAAUAAAAAAAAUCUUAAAUACAGUUAUUUAACAUUUAUAUCCUUGUAAGUUAAAAUGAAUAAAGGGCUUAAGUUUUAUAGUUUAGCAAAUAAGUAUAUUUAAUAGAGAUGUUUUGAGAUAUAAUAUUUACUUCUUCGUGCCUUUUCUUAUUUAUAUAAAAGUCAUAAAAGUUUACUCUUUUUUUUAAAUUCAAAUGUAAAUGUUUAAAAAUCAUAUAUAAAUUAAAAAAACAAACGAGCAAUUUUAAAAAAAUUUGAAAUAAAAAAAAUUCAAAUUUUAGACUUUUAACCAAUAAGCCUCCAUUUCACCUUGGUAAAGAGAGUAGUUGGCUACCAUGAAAUUUCUGAUCCCUGUCCAGUAUGGGCGUGUCAUGAAUUAAGCCAAGCAUUUUAAUUUUUGCCUUAAAAAAAUUUCCAUUCUCUGCUCUAGAAAAUUGAAAAAAAAAAAAAAGUAAAACAUAGUUCACGUUGGUAUUAUUAUUAUAGUAGCAUCAUAAACAUCUCAAUCGUAAACCAACACCAGUUUUAUUUUGUGUGUUUACCAUUUUUCCACGGCAAUGUUACAUGGAUGUUGAUUGUACGACUUUCUUUAUCCAUGCCUUGCAUUGUUGUGUGUUUGGGAUUCGUCGGAGACUUUUCUUGGCAUUAAUCAUCUCUCAAAUUUUCAUAUCCUAACACAUAAUCAACGCCCGGACUGAAGACUUUUCUUGGCUUCAAUAAUUGAUGCAGAUUAUACACAACAGUAUAAAUUGGCAUGGAGUCCAGGAGUUUCGAUAUAACAAUAUAUCCUCAAAGCUAAUGAUAAUUAUAAUGUCAUCCAAAUUGUUCCUUCUAUUUGAAAAUAUAGCUCUGUUUUCUGUGUUGUUUUUUCAAUUGAAGCCCACAAUUGCUGAUUCUAACAAAAAAACGAUAAAGUGCAUUGAUGAGGAGAGAGAAGCGCUUCGCACUUUUAAACAGAGCUUGGUGGAUGAACAUGGCGUUCUGUCUUCCUGGGGAAGACAAGAUGACAAAAUUGACUGCUGUAAAUGGAGAGGAGUCCGCUGUAGCAACACAACAGGCCAUAUCAAGGUGCUUAAUCUUCGAACAUCCGACAAGGAAAACGCUCAGAGGAAGGUCUUGAAAGGUACAAUUAGUCCUGCUUUGCUUGAAUUGCAUGAUAUAAGACAUUUGGACCUUAGUAACAAUCACUUCAGUGCAAGCCCAGUUCCUAAGUUCCUUGGUUCGCUCAGCAAAUUGAGGUACCUCAAUCUCUCUUGUGGCACACCUUCAGAAUUCCCUCGUAAAUUGCGGGACCUUUCAGGAUUGGAAUAUCUCAACCUAGAAAACUCUAGUUUAUUUAGUGUGGGAAGCUUAGAGUGGCUUCUCGUCUUUAUUCUUUAAGACACCUUGACCUGAGUUACAUUAAUCUCACUAAAUCUAGUGAUUGGUUUCAAGUAGUUGCCAAGCUUCAUUCCCUAAAAACAUUAGUCCUACGCUCGUGUGCUCUUCCACCUAUCAAUCCAUCGUUUAUUUGGCACUUCAAUUUGAGUACGUCUAUUGAGAACCUUGAUCUUUCUGACAACAAUCUCCCUUCUUCUUCAGUAUACCCUUGGCUUUUCAAUCUUAGUAGGAAUAUUCUUUAUCUUGACCUUGGCUCUAAUUCAUUACGAGGUUCAAUUCCAGAGGCUUUUCAACACAUGGUUUCUCUUAAAAGUCUUGAUCUCUCUGAUAGUGAACUUGAAGGUGGGAUUCCAAAAUUCUUUGGAAACAUGUGUAGCUUACAAAAGUUAGACUUGCCUCAAAACAAACUCAGUGGACAAUUCUCGCAGGUAAUUCAAAAUCUGUCUGGUGGAUGCGUGGUGAAUUCACUAGAGCGGCUAUAUUUAAGUUAUAAUGACUUCACGGGGCCAGUACCUCAUCUUGGAGGAUUUUCAUCACUGGAAGCAUUGAUGCUUGGCGUUAAUCGUUUAAAUGGAACAAUAGACAAAAGCCUCAACCAGUUGUCGAAGCUCGAGUCUCUGUCACUACGUAUGAAUUCUUUCACAGGUGUUAUCUCUGAAACUUUUUUUUCCAAUAUGUCCAACUUGCAGAUGUUAGACUUGAAAGAGAACUCUUUGACUUUGAAAUUGAGCCAUGAUUGGGUUCCUCCUUUUCAACUGAAAUGGUUAAGUCUUGCCUCUUGCAAGAUGGGACCUCAUUUUCCAAAAUGGCUUCAAACUCAGAAUCAGCUUGUACUUCUUGACAUCUCCAAUGUUGGAAUCUCAGACAGUAUUCCUGAUUGGUUCUGGGAUUUGUCCAGUGAACUCUCUUACUUAAAUCUCUCUAACAAUCAUAUCAAGGGUAAACUUCCUGAUUUGUCUUUAAGGUUUGAUGGUACUCGUAGUGGUGGUACUAGUAUAGACAUCAAUUCAAACCACUUUGAGGGCCCAAUUCCACCACUUCCUUCAAAUUUGCUGUUCUUAAAUCUCUCUAAAAAUAAGUUCUCAGGAUCAGUUUCUUUCUUAUGUUCUAUUAGUGAAAACACUUGGAACUUUUUAGAUCUCUCGAGUAACUUAUUGUCUGGAGGGCUUCCCGAUUGUUGGUUGCACUUUGAUAGCCUAUUCGUUCUUAACUUGGCAAAUAAUAGAUUCUCAGGACAAAUACCGGAUUCGAUGGGUUUCCUAAAUAACAUUCGGACACUGAAUUUACACAACAAUAGGUUAGCCGGGGAAUUGCCUUCAUCUUUAAGGAAUUGCUCCCAACUGAGAGUUUUGGAUCUCGGGAAGAACGCAUUUUUUGGUGAGAUACCAACGUGGAUAGGGGAAAGUCUACAAAAUUUGAUUGUUCUUAGCCUAAAAUCUAAUAACUUUCAUGGAAAUAUAGCUUAUCAAUUGUGCCAUCUGGGAUUUAUUCAAGUCUUGGAUCUUUCUUUAAACAUUAUAUCGGGAAAUAUACCAAAGUGUUUCAAUAAUUUUUCAGCCAUGACCUAUGAAAGAUGUUCCAAUCCUACCAUUGGGUUCGCCAAAUCUUUCUUAGUUCUCCCUGGAAUUGGAUAUUACUAUAAAUAUUUGGUCAAUUUACUGUUGACUUGGAAAGGAAGUGAAAAUGAGUACAAAAGUACUUUGGGACUUGUAAGGUGCCUUGACCUUUCGAGUAACAAAUUAGAUGGAGCAAUUCCUGAAGAGAUUAUGGAUCUUGUGGGGUUGAUUGCCUUAAACCUUUCAAGAAACAAUUUAACCGGACCAAUCACUCCGAAGAUUGGUGAGUUAACAUCAUUGGAUUUCCUGGAUUUGUCUAGAAAUCUGUUUUCUGGAAGUAUUCCAUCUAGCCUCUCUCAGUUAAGUGGUCUUGGCGUCUUGGACUUGUCGUACAACAACUUGUCAGGAAAAAUCCCAUUAGGCACUCAGCUCCAGAGCUUCAAUGCUUCAGUGUACGCUGGAAAUCUUGAACUUUGUGGCCUUCCACUCGCAAAUAAGUGUCCGAAUGAAGAAUCCACUCCAUGUCCAGGCAGAAAUGAUGGUGCAAACACUCUUGAGGAUGAGGAUGAUCAGUUUAUGACUCUUGGAUUUUACGUGAGCUUGAUUCUUGGUUUCUUUGUUGGAUUCUGGGGAGUCUGCGGAACUUUAAUGCUGAAUAGGUCGUGGAGACAUGGUUACUUCAACUUCCUGACUAGUAUGAAAGAUUGGGUCUAUGUGACAGCAGCUGUGAAUAUUGCCAAACUGCAAAGAAAGUUUAGGAACUAACUAAACGGUAAUACUCCUUAACAUUGGGUUUCAGUCAUUGUUGUCAGCUCACGUGCUUUUAAUUUCUUCAUCCUUAAAUUUUACUUUUUUCUCUUACAAGCUUUUGUUCCGCUAACUAAUUGCUCAUCUUCUUUUUUUUUUUUGUCAUUCACCGUCUUUUUGGCAGGGUAUCUCUGGGAUGGCAUCUUGCCCUUAUUACCUCAUAUUAAUCCAUUACAGCAAUAAAGGCAGUCAAAUUCUGCUCUGCUAUUGAUCAAUGUUUGCUCUUUUUUCCUUUUCAUUGGGUGAAUAAAUAAUAAAAGACAAAUCGAAUCUUUCUAUUUAAAGAGUUGUUGACUACUAAAACUACUAAAUGGAUGAUAAAAUUAAUUAAACUAGAAUAAUCUUAUUGACAAAGUAGGUGGUAGGUUCGUACGAUUCCGGAUCAUUGGUACUAAAAUGUGAAGGAAGAGAUCGAACUUUACAAGAAUUUGUUCUUACUGUAUUCGAACUGGUAAUUGAUUAAAUUUGAUUAAAUUUCUAUGAUGGUGACAUAUAAUGACUUAAAUAUUAUUUUCAGAGAAUAUCACACACGACUUUUCUAUCCUAAUUUUUAUCAAUUUUCCGAACGUAUCAUCACAUACCAUCACGUUCAAGACCCAGCCGACUCUAUAACUAAGGUGUUACUAACGCACAUUAAUAUUACAUCGCAUUUUCACUGCCAUGGCCAAUUUCAGUGUUUCUCAUCAUUACUCUCUAUUUUGGCAAGUAUGGUAGGAAUCUUUAAAACAACGUACAAGAAUCAAGGGGAAGAAAUAAGAAACUGUAAAGAAACAUAUAGUUUGUGAGAGCAUUCAAUUCAGUUCGUGGGGGCAUAAGCUUAAAUAAUUGAUGCAAUUUUAAGCGGUUUUUUUUCCCCCUUGUACAAGGCUAGCUCUGUGUGUGACACGAAAACACGAAAACAUGUAGAGAAAUUGGAUUAUUAAUUUUCAACAGAGAGUAUUAGAAUUUUUUGCAGCGUCAAGAUCAGAACCAAACUAGAUGACAGAUACAAUAAGGCAAGUGGUGAAGAAAUAGCACGAAGACAAUCAGAAAAAGAAAAUUUAAAUUUGACGAGCUCUAGAUGCUUAACCUAAAAAUAACUGAGAUAUUGCAGGUUUCUAUAAUAGGAAAGAUGACACAGAAAAAGCAUGGAAAAGCUCACAGCUCUGUUGAAAACCGAAAAUCCAGCAUUGGCUUGCAGCCACGCUCUGUCUCGUCCUGAAAUCAGACUGAAUUCUGGGUAUGUGUAAAACAGGACAGCAGCCUCAUCCAAUUAUGUUCACCUAUAAACAUUAUGAAGUCAUGACGUUUUUGUCUAUAAAUGAGAAAAAUAAAGUACUAUUGAUCUUUUGAGGAACAUAAUGAUAAUUCGAAAUGAAAAAUAGAUACGAACAAAUGCAUGUGCUAUGCGUAUUUAAAAAGGAGAUUCCCAUUAUAGACAUGCUCUUUAAGAGUUAAGAGACAUAAAGUACAUGGCAAUUGUAUGGUUCCCUUGGGCAUCCCAGUCAACCCAAAAUGGGAUUUUGGCAGGAUCAGGCACUAGAUUCCACCACAUUCCUCCCUUUUUUGCAAAAUAUCCGAGAUAGAUUAUCCAUAUUCUUUUUUUUUUAGCCCUCCACUCUAUACUCUUCUACUAUAAGUUAUCUACAUUUAAAUUUCUUAGUUUUGAUUGCAGCUCAUCGAAUCUGUCUUUUGUCUGUCAUAUAGCAGAUACAGAGACAGCUCUUGAUGAGCUUAAUUUGUUUGCCCAGUGCACUCUUGAUUAACAUUGAACCAAAACUGAAUUGAAAGAAUUAAGAAAAAGGAAAGAAAUAAAUAGUUUGAAGAUAUGAAAAAUUGUUUCUUUUUCUUUGUCCUAUUUUGAUGACAUGAAGACUUAAAAACAUAGUUAGAGAUUUUUUUUUUUUAAUAAUGAUUGAUCCUGCAAACGGAAUAAACUUCAAUAAAAAUAAUAGAGAUGUCGCCAAACAAUAUUUAGAGCGACAUAGUAAACAGAAGCAUAAAGCUAAAACACACAACAUAACUACAAAAAAUUAAAAUAAAUAAGCUGCAUCUGUAUAGAAUUUGUAGCUUGGAAGUUCAUUAAUGUUUUCAUUACUCGAUAGAAGAAGUAAAGCCAAACUAGUCAUCGAAAAAUUUUGGGUACUCCUGGAACAUUACUCCUUUUCCAUUUAUUGCUUGUCAUGUGUAUGAUUCAACGAAUCGUGAUAAUAUAUAUACAUACAUGGCAAGCAUUAAAUUAUUAAGGAGCAAUACUCCAGAAGCACCAAAAACCCAUCAUGUUAUGAGCGCCAUUUGACUACGAAAAGGUACAUAGUAAUAAAUAAUAAAAGAAUAAAAUACCAUUUUCAGAGAAGACUAUUGACUUGAAUGAAGACUCUGUAAUAUCAUUGAAUAAUACACAAGACAUUUCUAUCCUAAUUUUUAUCAAUUUUACGAACGUAUCAUCACAUACCAUCACAUUGCAUUGCAUUGCAUUACAUUAAAGACCCAGCUGACUCUAGCUAACGUGUUACUAACGCACAUUGCAUUGCAUUUUCACUGCCAUGCCCAAUUUCAGCAUUUCUCACCAUUACUCUGUGUUUAGGUAAGUUUGGUAGGAAUCUUCAAUACAAUGUAAAAGAAUCAAGGGAAGAAAUAAGAAACUAUAAAGGAAUAUUAAGUGGAAAAUUUAGUUUGUGAGAGCAUUUCAAUUCAGUUUAUGGGGGCAUAAGCUUAAAUGAUGGGUGUAAUUUUAAGAGUCUUUUCUCUUAAUCAACCAGCGUGAAUAAUAUUGCCAAAUUGUUAAUACUUAUAGUUUACCAAACAUGUGCCUGACUACAAUUUUGUCUAAUUGAUUAUUUCAAAGGAUGGAGCUAGUAUUAGGCAAGCGGGGGCAGUUGCUCUGGCUUGAUUAAAACAGCCGAUAAAUUGCAUUCAUUAUUUAAGUCUCUAUCCACGUGAACCUAAAAAUUCUAUCAAAAAAACUUCUAUUUGUUUAACGAUAAUUUAAAAAGACUACCAAGAAAUUUCUUUUCCAAAGGCAUAUUUACCUGAACGAAGACUUGUUGAGAAGGACAAAGUUUAGCUACUCCAAUGCAGAAUAUAAACCACAAGAGGCUAGACUUAACAAUAUAUCCUCAAUACCAAUGAUAAUUACAACAUCAUUUUCAGAGACCUUGUUAACUUACAUUAUAAGGUAACUUAACACCACCUCAUUUUCUGAGAAGACUAUUGACUUGAAUGAAGAAUCUGUUGUUGACUCAUGACAAAUCUCAAUCUUUCUUGUGCAUGCAUUACCACCUUAGUAAUUCAAUUUCAACCCUCUGAUUGUUUUGCCUACUGACAAGUUGCAGUAUUUUGAAUUACAAGUCUCCCGUCAUCACUUCCCCAUUCAGACAUUUGAUCGAACACCAAGCUGAAUUCUUCAAACACACUGCUAAUCUUAACUCUUAAAAUUUUCUGAUUGAAUUUAAAUGACAGUAAAUUUUUCAUUGUAGUUAAUUACAAGUUACUAAUUAAGUAUUUCUAUAUUAGUUAAUUGUAUGAAAAUAAUCGAUGAACUUAUCCUCCUCUGGAAUUAUGAAUCUAGAUUGUACUCUUAUAGGUAUUGGAAAUAAUCAAAAGCCACAGAGCAAGAAGAAAGUCAUUGAAGCCCUUGGAUUGGAUGGCUGCUAUUGCAUAUUAAGCUCCUGCUGCAGCAGCUAGUGCUAUUUUUUAAAUCUACUCAAUUGGUCAAGAAAGUUUUUUGGAUGCUUCUAAAAAUAUUUAUAUGUAUAGUAUCUUUGACUUAAGAUUGUACUCCAAGCUGAGAACCAAGACACAGUUAAACAAAAAGGUUUUCUUUUUGUGUUAGUAUUUAUAAAUUCAAACCUUGACACACUAGACUAAAUCUCUAACUUUCAUACAAACUACAAAAGAUAAGUCCAUGCAAUUGCAUCACACAAUCCAAAAGUAUGUCAUCACUAAAACCUGUAGAGAAAUUGGGUUAUUAAUUUUCAACAGAGAGCGUCUGAAUUUUUGCAGUUUUUGUAGCAUCGAGAUCAGAACCAAACUAGAUAACAAAUAUGCAAUAGGCAAGUGGUGAAGAAAUAGAGCGAAGACACCAAGAAAAGGCAAGUUUAAGUUGCAGAUGCUCAACUGUAAAAUAACAGAGAUAUUGCAGGUUCAUAUAAUAGGAAAGAUGGCACAGAAGAAGCAUGGACAAACUCACAGCUCUUUUGAAAGCCAAAACUCCAGCAUUGGCUUACAGCCACACUCAGUCUCGUCCUGAAAUCAGACUCAAUUUUGAUGACAUGAAGCCUUAUAAACAUAGUUAGAGAACAUUAAACUUUGUUCAUAUUGAAAAAUGGUUAACUCUUCCAUUUCUUGUCCACAUAAACCUUAAAGGCAGACACAAGGUCGCUUCUAGAACCUUUGACAGCGGCCACUAAACUAAGAUGAUUCAAAACAAAAAUAUCAUAUUCACAAAAAUAAGAUAUACAGGAACAGGGAACUCUUACGUUCUAUUGAUCAAACACCAUCUAUUCUACCUGAUUACAUUCUCAAGAGGAAUUGAAAAAAUGCUUCGGAUAGGAAAGUUUGUUGGAUGCAUGCAAGUUUAUUUGCCACAGAGCUUCCAUUAUGGAGCAGUCUUCUUUCAAUAUCUUAGGCCAUGCAAAAGGGACAUAACAUGUUAAUACAAGUUGGACAAAAAGCAUGUGGUUCUUAUAAAUGUGAUAUGUGAAUAAUGUGCGACCAAAACAAGUACAUCAAUGUAGUUCUGAGUUCUUUACAGUCAUAACCUGAAGUCUUUCGGGAUCAUCUCCGAUACUCUAUAUCUUAAGUUAACUUAUACCACCGAGGUAGAUACAAAUAAAGCAAUGAAAUAACUUUUACAACAACCUUCUCUGAUUCAAGUUUGUACCCACUAAUCCUUUAAAUUAUGGUCUUUCUUUUUCUUGAUUACUCUUAAGUAUCUCACAAUCAUCUUAUCCAAGAAUUGUCGUAGGUAGUGACCAAAACCUUACUUUGGGCUGGCUUUACUGCUUUCAGAUUUUUAGCUCCCAUAUCAUUAACUGACAACACUAAUUUUGAUGAAUUACAAGGAAGCCAUUUGGACUUCAUGCUCUCGCUCUCAAAGAGGCAAAGGUCCCAAUUCUCAAAUUCCAAAUAGUUAGGCACACCAGAAAACCCAAUUAUGUUUGCAUUGCCUCAUGGAUGUCAGGCGAACCCAAAUUCUAAAUAACUGCAAAUGAAUUUGAUUUGGGUAUGAGUUAAUUCAACAAUGAAUCAAUACAAUACAGUAGUAAAAUAUUUCAUUUAUGAAUGAAACUACAGGAUUUUCAUAACGUUUAAAAAUAAUAGUAUGAUAGGAUCCAACCAACAUAAACAAGUGGCUAACCUGUUAUGAAUCUCUCACAAAAACGUGGAGCUCUUAUAAGUAUUUCAAGAUGUUUUCUCCAUCAGUUUAUUGGCGGCAGAAUGCUUGACUUGGCUCUGCCAUACACCCGUCCAUGACCUUUUCCUACAGUAUGAAUGGACUUCUCCAAAUGGAACAUGAUGUCCGGCUCACACUACAUAUUAAGUAAUUAAACAAGAAACUGUAUCAACUUUCUUGGAAUUGCAAAACAAUGGGGACCCAAAUAAAAAAAAAAUCAACAAGCUCUGUAUUUUUCAAGAUGAGUCUGAAAUUUAUUCAUCUGUAUCAUGAGAGAUCUUACCAAAAUUCCAAAUCCACAGUCCGCGGUUUCAAAUAACAAGUACAUGAAUUCCAAAAUUGCAAGCUCAUUGUGGAACAAGAAAGAAAUAAUGUUAAUCAACCAUUUACUAUUAACCACUGUUGAUAAUCACCACCAAAAAGCAUACCAAAGUAAAAAUGAUAUCAUCACAGCACACACACAGAAGAAACAUUUAUGCAGCAUGUUUCUGUACAAAUACAAAAUUAAGCGAGACCCAGAAAAUAAAGAUCAAAUCGUUAGAAACCCCAUCAAGCAAAAUCAUCAAAAACCACUCAUUGUCAAUGUCAGCCUUACAUGUCACACCACAACAAGAUUUUGAUACUUGACGGUCGCAGCAUUGGCAAGAAUAUCGCAUCUUUGAACCCUAAUUGCAAUCUUGAAACUUCCAACGAUUGGCGUAGACUAAGAUCUCUGAGGCGCAUGUUAGCAACAAGGAAGCACAUUCACUACUGAGAUUGUGUGCCCGUCAUAAAGUCACAGAGCAACCCCAGAAGCAUAUAAUUUUAUCUUGAUUUAGAUUUCAAGCAUCAGAAAAUGAAAGUCACUUCGCUUAUAAUUUUAUCUAGCGAAUUUCUUUUUUCUAAUUUUAAAAUAAAUUAUUGAUAAAACAGGUUUACUAAUUAAUACUUUCAAAUAAAAUAAAAAAUAACGAUUAUAAUCUCAAUUACUUUCACCGCACGUGCGCCUUAAAAAACCACCUGGAAAUUCAAAAUCCAACUACAACGGCAGGCAAACAUCACUCCGGUUAAUCAAGUUGAGGAUGCCACGACGCUAUUUUUCGCUGCCAUAUUUGUCAAUAGCGGUUAGUUGUUGGCUCUUAAAUUUUACACACCAAACUUCAAUAGUGUUGAAAAAUCAAAGAGUUUUGGUUGAAAAAACAAAGUGAGCCACAUGCAUUGCUUUUGUUUUUCAAAGUCAGCACCAAAUUCCAAGCUGUAAAAUAUUUGGCAUUUGACAAUCCUGCACCAAAUGAAGAAAAAUGGAAAAGUUAGCAAAAUUUAUCAAAUUGACAAAUUGCAGAGGAGUUAGGUGGAAUAGUGCAAGCUUGAAGCUUAUAAAUUGAAGUCAUUUCCUCAUUCUAAAUUAUCCUAAAAUUGUUAAGUUUAUAAGUUUCUAAGCUUUUGAGAGAAGUGAGAGAAGUAUGUCUGUAGAAUUUAUCUUUCCUGCAGAGUAUGAGAGUACUGAGUAUAUUUGGGUUUCUGGGAAGUGAGAUUCGUUACUCAAAUAUUAUACUCUAUUAAUUAUUAAAUAAACAAUUAUUCUUUCUUGCCUCCGUGGAUGUAGGUUUAAUUACCGAACCACGUAAUUCUUGUGUCCUUUAUUUUUCUAUAAUUAUUUGGUGCGCUUGAUUCCGCAUUCCGCGCAUAACAAAUAGUUAAUUUUUCCAGAUAAACUUAAUUAUGACGUAACAUAAUAUUCAGUUUCCUAAAUACUAAAUUCAAAUUAGAGACAUCGCUAACGGCUAUAUAAUUCCUACGCGCCCAUCAGAUAGCUAUAUAAGUGCCCCCAACAUAACAGACACCGCCUUAUCGCAACACUACUUGAUUAACAAGCAACUGGGAGAUUUUUCAAAUCCUAAGUUUUUUUUUUAGUUUCCAAAUUCUUCUUCAUUCAUCAACCAAAUCCUACCCACCAAAAAUCUUCUCAAACCCAUCUGAUUCAAUCUUUAGCAGGGUUAUUCAUAGGAAUCAACCGUUUAUUCGCCGACGCAGUAUCAAUCACCAUUGGUUGUUCUUACCAUUUUUCCACGGCAAGGUUACAUGGAUGUUGAUUGUACGACUUUCUUUAUCCAUGCUUUGCAUUGCCGUGUGUUUGGGAUUCCCUGGUGACUUUUGUUGGCUUUAAUCCCGUGUGUUUGGGAUUCGCUGGUGACUUUUGUUGGCUUUAAUCAUCUCUCAAAUUGUCAUAUCCUAACCCAUAAGCAACGCUCAGAUUGAAGACUUUUCUUGGCUUCAAUAGUUGAUGCAGAUUAUACAAAGUAUAAAUUGGCAUGGAGUCCAGGAUUUUCGAUAUAACAACAUAUCCUCAAAGCUAAUGAUAAUUAUAAUGUCAUCCAAAUUGUUCCUUCUAUUUGAAAAUAUAGCUUUGUUUUCUGUGAUAUUUUUCCAAUUGAAGCCCACAAUUGCUGAUUCUAACAACAUAAUAAUAAGGUGCAUUGAUGAGGAGAGAGAAGCGCUUCUCACUUUUAAACAGAGCUUGGUGGAUGAACAUGGCGUUCUGUCUUCCUGGGGAAGAGAAGAUGACAAAAGAGAUUGUUGUAAAUGGAGAGGAGUCCAUUGUAGCAACACAACUGGCCAUGUCAAGGUGCUUAAUCUUCGAACAUCCGACGAGGAAAACGCUCAGAGGAAGGUCUUGAAAGGUGAAAUUAGUCCUGCUUUGCUUGAAUUGCAUGAUAUAAGACAUUUGGACCUUAGUAACAAUCACUUCAGUGCAAGCCCAGUUCCUGAGUUCAUUGGUUCCCUCAGCAAAUUGAGGUACCUCAAUCUCUCUUGUAGCAUACCUUUAGAACUCCCUCGAAAAUUCCGGAACCAUUCAGGAUUGGAAUAUCCCAACCUAGAAAACUCUAGUUUAUUUAGUGUGGGAAGCUUAGAGUGGCUUUCUCGUCUUUCUUCUUUAAGACACCUUGACCUGAGUUACAUUAAUCUCACUAAAUCUAGUGACUGGUUUCAAGUAGUUUCCAAGCUCCAUUCCUUAAAAUCAUUAGUCCUAUGCUCGUGUGCUCUUCCACCUGUCAAUCCAUCGUUUAUUUGGCACUUCAAUUUGAGUACGUCUAUUGAGACCCUUGAUCUUUCUGACAACAAUCUCCCUUCUUCUUCAGUAUACCCUUGGCUUUUCAAUCUUAGCAGGAAUAUUCUUUAUCUUAACCUUGGCUCUAAUUCAUUACGAGGUUCAAUUCCAGAGGCUUUUCAACACAUGGUUUCUCUUAAAAGUCUUGAUCUCUGUGAUAGCGAACUUGAAGGUGGGAUUCCAAAAUUCUUUGGAAACAUGUGUAGCUUACAAAAGUUAGGCUUGUCUGAAAACAAACUCAGUGGACAAUUCUCGCAGGUAAUUCAAAAUCUGUCAGGUGGAUGCGUGGUGAACUCACUAGAGUGGCUAUAUUUAGGUUAUAAUGAAUUCACGGGGCCUGUACCUCAUCUUGGAGGAUUUUCAUCCCUGGAAGCAUUGAAGCUUCAGUUUAAUCGUUUAAAUGGAACAAUAGACAAGAGCCUCAGCCAGUUGUCGAAGCUCGAGUCUCUGUCACUUCGUAGGAAUUCAUUCACAGGAGUUAUCUCUGAAACUUUUUUUUCCAAUAUGUCCAACUUGCAGAUGUUGGACUUGGAUGAGAACUCUUUGACUUUGAAAUUGAGCCAUGAUUGGGUUCCUCCUUUUCAACUGAAAUGGUUAAGUCUUGCCUCUUGCAAGAUGGGACCUCAUUUUCCAAAAUGGCUUCAAACGCAGAAUCAGCUUGUGCUUCUUGACAUCUCCAAUGUUGGAAUCUCAGACAGUAUUCCUGAUUGGUUCUGGGAUUUGUCCAGUAAACUCUCUUACUUCAAUCUCUCUAACAAUCAUAUUAAGGGCAACCUUCCCGAUUUGUCUUUAAGGUUUGAUGGUACUCGUAGUGGUGGUACUUGUAUAGACCUCAAUUCAAACCACUUUGAGGGCCCAAUUCCACCACUUCCUUCAAAUUCGUUGUUCUUAAAUCUCUCUAAAAAUAAGUUCUCAGGGUCAGUUACUUUCUUAUGUUCCAUCAGUGAAAACACAUGGAACUUUUAAGAUCUCUCGAGUAACUUAUUGUCUGGAGGGCUUCCCAAUUGUUGGUUGCACUUUGAUAGCCUAUUCGUUCUUAACUUAGCAAAUAACAGCUUCUCAGGAAAAAUACCGGACUUGAUGGGUUUCCUAAAUAACAUCCGAGCACUCAAUUUUCACAACAAUAGGUUAACUAGGGAAUUGCCUUCAUCUUUAAGGAAUUGCUCGCAACUGAGAGUUUUGGAUCUCAGGAAGAACGCAUUCUUUGGUGAGAUUCCAACGUGGAUAGGGGAAAGUCUACAAAAUUUGAUUGUUCUUAGCCUAAAAUCUAAUAACUUUCAUGGAAAUAUAGCUUAUCAGUUGUGCAAUCUGGGAUUUAUUCAAGUCUUGGAUCUUUCUUUUAACAUUAUAUCGGGAAAGAUACCAAAGUGUUUCAAUAAUUUUUCAGCCAUGACCUAUGAAAGAUGUUCCAAUCCUACCAUUGGGUUCGCCAAAUCCUUCUUAGUUCCCCCUGGAAUUGGAUAUUACUAUAAAUAUUUGGUCAAUUUACUGUUGACUUGGAAAGGAAGUGAAAAUGAGUACAAAAGUACUUUGGGACUUGUAAGGUGCCUUGACCUUUCGAGUAACAAAUUAGAUGGAGCAAUUCCUGAAGAGAUUAUGGAUCUUGUGGGGUUGAUUGCCUUAAACCUUUCAAGAAACAAUUUAACCGGACCAAUCACUCCGAAGAUUGGUGAGUUAACAUCAUUGGAUUUCCUGGAUUUGUCUAGAAAUCUGUUUUCUGGAAGUAUUCCAUCUAGCCUCUCUCAGUUAAGUGGUCUUGGCGUCUUGGACUUGUCGUACAACAAUUUGUCAGGAAAAAUCCCAUCAGGCACUCAGCUCUAGAGCUUCAAUGCUUCAGUGUACGCUGGAAAUCUUGAACUUUGUGGCCUUCCACUUGCAAAUAUGUGUCCGGAUGAAGAAUCAACUCCAAGUCCAGGCACAGACAAUGAUUCAGACACUUUAAAAGAUGAGGACGAUCAGUUUAUAACUCUCGGAUUUUACGUGAGCUCGAUUCUUGGUUUCUUUGUUGGAUUCUGGGGAGUCUGUGGAACUUUAGUGCUGAAUAGGUCAUGGCGGUAUGGUUACUUCAACUUCCUGAUUGGUAUGAAAGAUUGGGUCUAUGUGAUAGCAGCUGUGAAUAUUAUCAAACUGCAAAGAAAGUUUAGGAACUAAUUAAACGGUAAUACUCCUCAACAUUGGGUUUCAAUCAUUGUAAUCAGCUCACGUGCUUUUAAUUUCUUUAUCCUUGAAUUUUACUAUUUUCUCUUACAAGCUUUUGUUCCUGUAACUAAUUGUUCAUUUUCUUUUUUUUUCAUUCACCAUCUUUUUGGCAGAGCAUCUCUGGGAUGGUAUCUUGCCAUUAUUGGUCAUUUGAUAUUUGGAAUCAUUCAAAAAAAUUAACUCAUAUGACGCACAUUGUGUUGUUGAGUGUAUGCUUCAAGAAACUUAUAUGUGGUUCUCUUUAGACCAUCGUCGAUCUAUACGUUUAUAUACUUAGGUUAGAGUUCUGUUAUACUAUUAAUCCAUUAUAGCAAUAAAAGCAAUCAAAUUCUGAUCUGCUAUUGAUCAAAGUUAGCUCUUUUUUUGUUUUCAGUGGGUGAAUAAAUAAUAAAAGACAAAACGAAUCUUUCUAUUUAGAGUUGUUGACCAUAAAACUACUAAAUGGAUGAUAAAAUUAAUUAAUUAAUUAAUUAAACUAGAAUAAUCUUAUUGACAAAGUAGCUGGUAGGUUCGUACGAUUCCGGAUCAUUGGUACUAAAAUGUGAAGGAAGAGAUCGACUUUUACAAUAAUUUGGUUUUACUAUAUUCGAAUUGGUUAUUGAUUAAAUUUGAUUAAAUUUCUAUGAUGGUGACAUAUAAUGGUGAUGAUCAAAGACUUAAAUAUUAUUUUCAGAGAAGACUGUUGACUUGAAUGCAGACUCAGUAAUAUGAUUGAAUAUCACACAAGACUUUUCUAUCCUAAUUUUUAUGAAUUUUCCAAACGUAUCAUCACAUUCAAGAUCCAGCUGACUCUAUAAUGUAACUAACGUGUUACUAACGCACAUUAAUAUUACAUCGCAUUUUCACUGCCACGGCCAAUUUCAGCGUUUCUCAUCAUUACUCUCUAUUUUGGCAAGUAUGGUAGGUGUUUUUUUCCCCCCUUGUACAAGGCUAGCACCGUGCGUGACACUAUCGGCACACAACAGUGGUGAAUAAUAAAAAGUUAAGUGUGUGAACAAUAUUGCCAAAUUAUUUUUUUUUUUUUUGAGGAGAACUAUUGCUCAUGAUAUUUACAACCAUACAAAUUACUAAGACCAAUUUACAUCAACUCUGAUAUGACACCGCUCAGAUUUUUAACCCUCUCAAAUAUUCGAGGGACGCCUACUCCCCUCCUGGGAGAAAGACUGCCUUCACUCAAGCCCUUACUUGAUUAGAACAAGCGGUCGCAAAUUGUAUUCAUCAUUUGAGUGUCUAUCCCCAUGAACUGAAUUGAAAUACCCCCAUGAGUUGAAGAAUUUAAGCUCGUACCCUUGUCAAUUUAUGGUGCGUUUUCUUCAUGUAAUGGGUAUGUGGUGGAAUGAGAAUGAGCUGGGAAUGAGGCUGAAAUAAAAAUAAAGAAUGAGAAUAAGAUUUUAAUGUUUCCUUGACAAAAAUAAAUGGAAAUGAGAAUAUACUGGAAUGCCAUUGAUGUGUUUACUUGGCAAAAUAAAUGGAAAUGAGAAAUGUGAAUAAAAAUCAAUUUACCAAAAUACCCAAAUAUUAAAUAAUGUAAUUUUCAUAAACUAGAUACAUAUAUAAAUAUUAUUAUAAAAAUGAUAUUAAUUAAAAAAUAAAAUUAAUAAUAAUAAUAAUAAUAAUAAUAAUGAUAAUAUUAAUAAAAAUAAUAUUAAUUAAAAAAAUAAAAUUAAUAAUAAUAAUAAUAAUGAUAAUAUUAAUAAAAAUAAUAAUAGCAAUAAUUAAUAAUAACUAAAAUAAUAGAGUUAAUAAAAUUUAAUAAUAAUCAUAAUAAUAAUGACAUUUAAAAUAAUAAAAUUAAUAAAUUUUGAUUAUAAUAAUAAUAAUAAAUGUUGAUAAUGAUAAUAUUAAUAAAAUAAUAAUAACAAUAAUUAAUAAUAACUAAAAUAAUAAAGUUAAUAAAAUUUAAUAAUAAUAAUAAUAAUAAUAAUAAUAAUAAUAAUAAAAACUCGUGUAAGUGACUUCAUUCAAGCGUGUGAUUUGAACGAGCAUAAUUCGGAAAAUAUGAAAAAAAAUAGAGGGAUACAAAAGUCAGUUCAGGAAAUGAGAAUCCCCAUUUCCAACCCUCCACGUGAAUGAGAUUCUUAUUUCUUAUUCUCAAAUUGUGUGAGACCCACAUAUUUUAUUCUCAUUCCCAAAUUAUAUUUUGCCAAAUAAACAUAAGUUUCAUUAUCAUUCAUUCAUCCUCAUUCCCUAAACCCUCAAGUAAACCACCGUUAAUUGAAAUGCGCCAUGAGUUGGAAGUUGCCAUCCCUUAAAUUGAAUUCAUUAUUAAGUUGCCACUGUAAACUGACUUUUGUCUCCGAUUAUUUCGUCAGCCCACAAACAAUUGAUAAUUACAUAAGCAGCACGCAACAAUCACAAACCGGGCCUAAGAAUGAAGCUUGCUUUGUUUGAGAAAAAGAAAAUGCUAAUAGAAACAAGAUAAAUUUGGUACCAAUUUAUUCACUUAAUUUUUUUUUAAAAAUAAACCAACACCCAAUUUACUCUGUUUCUAUCAGCGCUAAUCAUCAUUUUGUUUGCUUACAAUUAUUGUCAUGGACUCCAGGAUUUUGGAUAUAACAAUAUAUCCUGAAUACCAAUGAUAAUUACAAUACAUUAUAAUGCAACUUAACAUAAUAACAUCACCCCAUUUUCAUAGAAGACCAUUGAUUUGAGUGAAGGCUCUGUUGUUGACUCAAGACUAUUAACUUAAUGAUUUCUUGUUCUUUCUUGAGCAUGCAUUACCACCCAUGUGCUUCAAUUUCAACCCUCUGAUUGUCUUGCCAACUGAUCAUCACAAAAGGGUCCUCUUCUGAAUUCAUAAGUUGCAGUAUUUUGAAUUACAAGUCUCCUGUCAUCAAGUCUCCAUUCAGAUAUUUGAUUGAACCCCAAGCUGAAUUCUUCAAACACGCUGCUCAUCUUAACUGUUAAACAAUAAACUUUCAUUGUAAUUAAUUACAAGUUACUAAUUAAGUAUUUCUAUCAAAAACUAUUUAAAAUAAUUGAGGAACUUAUCCUCCUCUGCAAUAUGCGCUCGCAGCCACACCAAUCACUCCUUAAAGUCGCAUAAGAAAAAAUAAUGUGUUAAUCCAUGACAGCAGCCUCAUCCAAUUUGAAUAUGGCAUCAUCAUAUCUUAAAUAGAUAAUAUUAUGAUCUUUAUACGACAGACUACAUGACAUUUUAACUCAAUAAAUUGCAAACAAAAGUAUGGAGACAAGUAUAUUUAUUAAGAAGACAAUUAAUAACCAUUUUAUUAAAGGGUUAAAAGGCAUGUAAGUACUUUAAGGCAUGUAUUUUCACAGAAACCAUCUUUCUUCUACCAUCUCUCAUCUUUUCACCUUUUCAUUAUUUUCCCAUUCUUCAAAAUUUCUCUCUUCUAUAUUUCUCAAAUUAUGGUGUAUAUAUGUCAAAGGCAUGUAUUUUCUGAUUUAAGGGGCUGCUGGAAUUAGGAAUAUAGCUUGUACUCUUAUAGGUUGUUGGAAAUUAUCAAAAGCCACAGAGCAGGCAGAAAGUCAAUGAAGCCAUUGGAUUGGAUUGCUAUUGCAUAUUAAGCUCCUGUUGCUGCAGCUACUGCUACUUUUUAAAAUCCACUCAAUUGGUCAAGAAAUUUUUUCAGAUGCUCCUAAAAAUAUUUAUAUAUAUAAUAUGUUUGACUUAAGAUUAUACUCCAAACUGAGAACCAAUACACAGUUAAACAAAAAAGGUUUUCUUUCAGCUUUAGUUUUAUAACUCCAUCCUUGACGCACUAGAUUAAAUCACUAACUUUCAUACAAACUACAAAAGAGAAGUGCAUGCAAUUGUAUCACAAAAUCCAUAAAGUGUGUCAACACGAAAACAUUUAGAGAAAUUGGAUUAUUAAUUUUCAACAGAGAGUAUUAGAAUUUUUGCAGCGUCAAGAUCAGAACCAAACUAGAUGACAGAUACAAUAAGGCAAGUGGUGAAGAAAUAGCACGAAGACACUCAGAAAAAGCAAAUUUAAAUUUGACGAGCUCCAGAUGCUUAACCUAAAAAUAACAAAGAUAUUGCAGGUUUAUAUAAUAGGAAAGAUGACACAGAAAAAGCAUGGAAAAGCUCACAGCUCCGUUGAAAACCGAAAAUCCAGCAUUGGCUUGCAGCCACGCUCAGUCUCGUCCUGAAAUCAGACCGAAUUCUGGGUAUGUGUAAAACAGGACAGCAGCCUCAUCCAAUUAUGUUCACCUAUAAACAAUAUGAAGUCAUACGACGUUUUUGUCUAUAAAUGAGAAAAAUAAAGUACUAUUGAUCUUUUGAGAAACAUAAUUCUUUUUUUUUUUUUUUUGGCUAAGAAACAAAUCUUUUGAGAAACAUAAUGAUAAUUCGAAAUGAAAAAUAGAUACGAACAAUUAAGUGGAAAAUUUAAUUUGUGAGUGCAUUUCAAUUCAGUUUAUGGGGGCAUAAGCUUAAAUGAUGGGUGUAAUUUUAAGAGUCUUUUCUCUUAAUCAACCAGCAUGAAUAAUAUUGCCAAAUUGUUAAUACUUAUAGUUUACCAAACAUGUGCCUAACUACAUUUUUGUCUAAUUGAUUAUUUAAAAGGAUGGAGCUAGUAUUAGGCAAGUGGGGGCAGUUGCUCUCGCUUGAUUAAAACAGCCGAUAAAUUGCAUUCAUUAUUUAAGUCUCUAUCCACGUGAAUCUAAAAAUUCUAUUAAAAAACUUCUAUUUUUUUAACGAUAAUUUAAAAAGACUACCAAGAAAUUUCUUUUCCAAAGGCAUAUUUACCUGAACGAAGACUUGUUGAGAAGGACAAGGUUUAGCUACUCCAAUGCAGAAUAUAAAACACAAGAGGCUAGACUUAACAAUAUAUCCUCAAUACCAAUGAUAAUUACAAAAUCAUUUUCAGAGACCUUGUUAACUUACAUUAUAAUGUAACUUAACACCACCUCAUUUUCUGAGAAGACUAUUGACUUGAAUGAAGAAUCUGUUGUUGACUCAAGACUAUAGACCUGAAUGAAUUCUCGAUCUUUCUUGUGCAUGAAUUACCGCCUCAAUAAUUCAAUUUCAACCCUCUGAUUGUUUUGCCUACUGACCAUCACAAAAGGGUCCUCUGAAUUGACAAGUUGCAGUAUUUUGAAUUACAAGUCUCCUGUCUUCACUUCCCCAUUCAGACAUUUGAUCGAACACCAAGCUAAAUUCUUCAAACACCCUGCUAAUCUUAACUCUUAAAAUGUUCUGAUUGAAUUUUAAAUGGCAGUAAAUUUUUCACUGUAGUUAAUUACAAGUUACUAAUUAAGUAUUUCCAUAUUAGUUAAUUGUAUGAAAAUAAUCGAUGAACUUAUCCUCCUCUGGAAUUAUGAAUCUAGAUUGUACUCUUAUAGGUAUCGGAAAUAAUCAAAAGCCACAGAGCAAGAAGAAAGUCAUUGAAGCCCUUGGAUUGGAUUGCUGCUAUUGCAUAUUAAGCUCCUGCUGCAGCAGCUAGUGCUAUUUUUUAAAUCUACUCAAUUGGUCAAGAAAGUUUUUCGGAUGCUUCUAAAAAUAUUUAUAUGUAUAAUAUCUUUGACUUAAGAUUGUACUCCAAGCUGAGAACCAAGACACAGUUAAACAAAAAAGUUUUCUUUCUGUGUUAGUAUUUAUAAAUUCAGACCUUGACACACUAGACUAAAUCUCUAACUUUCAUACAAACUACAAAAGAUAAGUCCAUGCAAUUGCGUCACACAAUCCAUAAGUAUGUCAUCACAAAAACCUGUAGAGAAAUUGGAUUAUUAAUUUUCAACAGAGAGCAUCUGAAUUUUUGCAGCUUUUACAGCAUCGAGAUUCAGGACAAAACUAGAUAACAAAUACGCAAUAGGCAAGUGGUGAAGAAAUAGAGCGAAGACACCAGGAAAAGGCAAGUUUAAGUUCGAUAAGCUCCAGAUGCUCAACUGCAAAAUAACAGAGAUAUUGCAGGUUUAUAUAAUAGGAAAGAUGACACAGAAGAAGCAUGGACAAACUCACAGCUCUUUUGAAAGCCAAAACUCCAGCAUUGGCUUGCAGCCACACUCAGUCUCGUCCUGAAAUCAGAGUCAAUUUUGAUGACAUGAAGCCUUAUAAACAUAGUUAGAGAACAUUAAACUUUGUUCAUAUUGAAAAAUGGUUAACUCUUCCAUUUCUUGUCCACAUAAACCUUAAAGGCAGACACAAGGUCGCUUCUAGAACCUUUGACAGCAGCCACUAUACUAAAGAUGAUUCAAAACAAAAAUAUCAUAUUCACAAAAAUAAGAUAUACAGGAACAAGGAACUCUUACGUUCUAUUGAUCAAACACCAUCUAUUCCACCUGAUUACAUUCUCAAGAGGAAUUGAAAAAAUGUUUUGGAUAGGAAAGUUUGUUGGAUGCAUGCAAGUUUAUUUGCCACAGAGCUUCCAUUAUGGAGCAGUCUUCUUUCAAUAUCUCAGGCCAUGCAAAAGGGACAUAGCAUGUUAAUUCAAGUUGGACAAAAAGCAUGUGGUUCUUACAAAUGUGAUAUGUGAAUAAUGUGCGACUAAAACAAGUACAUCAAUGUAGUUCUGAGUCCUUUACAGUCAUAACCUGAAGUCUUUCGGGAUCAUCUCCGAUACUCUAUAUCUUAAGUUAACCAUUUUCUGUAUCAUUUUACAAUUAUACAACAAAGAUUAUCAGUCACUCCUUAUACCACCGAGGUAGAUACAAAUAAAGCAAUGAAAUAACUUUUACAACAACCUUCUCAGAUUCAAGUUUGUACCCACUAAUCCUUUAAAUUAUGGUCUUUCUUUUUCUUGAUUACUCUACUUAUCUCACAAUCAUCUUAUCCAAGAAUUGUCAUAGGUAGUGACCAAAACCUAACUUUGGGCUGGCUUUACUUCAGAUUUUUAGCUCCCAUAUCAUUAACUGACAACACUAAUUUUGAUGAAUCACAAGGAAGCCAUUUGGACUUCAUGCUCUCGCUCUCAAAGAGACAAAGGUCCCAAUUCUCAAAUUCCAAAUAGUUGGGCACACCAGAAAACCCAAUUAUGUUUGCAUUGCCUCAUAGAUGUCAGGUGAACCCAAAUUCUAAAUAACUACAAAUGAAAUUUGAUCUGGUUCUGAGUUAAUUCAACAAUGAAUCAAUACAAUACAGUAGUAAAAUAUUUCAUUUAUGAAUGAAACUACAGGAUUUUCAUGACGUUUAAAAAUAAUAGUACGAUAGGAUCCAACCAACAUAAACAAGCGGCUAACCUGUUAUGAAUCUCUCACAAAAACGUGGAGCUCUUAUAAGUAUUUCAAGAUGUUUUCUCCAUCAGUUUAUUGGCGGCAGAAUGUUUGACUUGGCUGCCAUACACCUGUCCAUGACCUUUCCCUGCAGUAUGAAAUGGACUUCUCCAAAUGGAACAUGAUGUCCAGCUCACACUACAUAUUAAGUAAUUAAACAAGAAACUAUAUCAACUUUCUUGGAAUUGCAAAACAAUCGGGACCCAAAUUUUAAAAAAAAAUCAACAAGCUCUGUAUUUUCAAGAUGAGUCUGAAAUUUAUUGAUCUAUAUCACGAGAGAUCUUACCACAAUUCCAAAUCCACAGUCCGCGGCUUCAAAUAACAAGUACAUGAACUCCAAAUUAGCAAGCUCAUUGUGCAACAAGAAAGAAGUAAUGUUAACCAAUCAUUUACUAUUAAACACUGUUGAUAAUCACCCCCAAAAUCCCAGGGAACAAUUCAUACCCAAAAAGCAUAACAAAGUAAAAAUGAUAUCAUCACAACACAUACACACAGAUGAAACAUUUAUGCAGCAUGUUUCUGUACAAAUACAAAAUUAAGCGAGACCCAGAAAAUAAAGAUCAAAUCUUCAGAAACCCCAUCAAGCAAAAUCAUCAAAAAGCACUCAUUGUCAAUGUCAGCCUUACAUGUCACACCACAACACGAUUUUGAUACUUGACGGUCGCCACGUUGACAAGAAUAUCGCAUCUUUGAACCCUAAUUGCAAUAUUGAAACUUCCAACGGUUGGCAUAGACUAAGAUCUCUGAAACUUCCAACGGUUAGGGAACAAUUUUUUUUUUUUUUUUUUUUAUAAUGAUUGAUCCUGCAAACGGAAUAAACUUCAAUAAAAAUAAUAGAGAUGUCGCCAAACAAUAUUUAGAGCGACAUAGUAAACAAAGCAUAAAGAGUGACAUAGUAAACAGAAGCAUAAAGCUAAAACACACAACAUAACUACAAAAAAUUAAAAUAAAUAAGCUGCAUCUGUAGAGAAUUUGUAGCUUGGAAAUUCAUUAAUGUUUCAUUACUCGAUAGAAGAAGUAAAGCCAAACUAGUCAUCGAAAAAUUUUGGAAGCUCCUGGAACAUUACUCCUUUUCCAUUUAUUGCUUGUCAUGUGUAUGAUUCAACGAAUCAUGAUAACAUAUAUGCAUACAUGGCAAGCAUUAAAUUAUUAAAGAGCAAUACUCCAGAAGCACCAAAAACCCAUCAUGUUAUGAGCGCCAUUUGACUACGGAAAGGUACAUAGUAAUAAAUAAUAAAAGACUAAAAUAUCAUUUUCAGAGAAGACUAUUGACUUGAAUGAAGACUCUGUAAUAUCAUCACAACACAUACACACAGAUGAAACAUUUAUGCAGCAUGUUUCUGUACAAAUACAAAAUUAAACGAUACCCAGAAAAUAAAGAUCAAAUCUUCAGAAACCCCAUCAAGCAAAAUCAUCAAAAAGCACUCAUUGUCAAUGUUAGCCUUACAUGUCACACCACAACAAGAUUUUGAUACUUGAGGGUCGCCGCGUUGGCAAGAAUAUCGCAUCUUUGAACCCUAAUUGCAAUAUUGAAACUUCCAACGGUUGGCGUAGACUAAGAUCUCUGAGGCGCAGGUUAGCAACAAGGAAGCACAUUCACUACGGAGAUUGUGUGCCCGUCAUGAAAGUCACAGAGCUAUCUUGAUUUAGAUUUCAACCAUCAGAAAAUGAAAGUCACUUCGCUUAUAAUUUUAUCUAGCGAAUUUCUUUUUUCUAAUUUUAAAAUAAAUUAUUGAUAAAACAGAUUUACUAAUUAAUACUUUCAAACAAAAGAAAUAACGAUAAUAAUCUCAAUUACUUUCACCGCACCUGCGCGUUAAAACAACACCCGGAAAUUCAAAAUCCAACAACAAUGGCAAGCAAACAUCACUCCGGUUAAUCAAGCUGUGGAUGCACCACGCCGUUUUUUUGCCUUGUUUGCCAAUAUCGGUUAGUCACUAGUGCUUAAAUUUUAUGCCCCAAACUCCAACUACUCAUUUUCCCGAAUAAAUUUAAUUAUGACGUAAUAAAAUAUCUAAUUUCCUAAAUAUUAAAUUGAAAUUAGAGACAUCGUAUAUAAUUCAUGCACACAUAUCAGACGGCUAUAUAAGUGCCCCCAACAGAACAUACACCGCCUUAUCCCAACACUACUUGAUUAGCAAGCGACUGAGAAAGUUUCCAAAUCCUAUAUUUUUCAGUUUUCAAAUUCUUCUCCCAUUCAUCAACCAAAACCUACCCACCAAAAAUCUUCUUAAACCCAUCUGAUUCAAUCUCGAUUUCUGAUUUCAUCGAUCGCUUUUUGAUUCUCAGAACACCAACACAAUGUCUCCUCACGUUGGAUUAAGAUUUUAUCUAACAGAACAAGAAUUGCUGGAGUUCUAUCUCCUUCACAAAAUUACCCAAAACCCUAAUCUCUACCAAGCCGGUGAUGAUAUUCCAAUGAAAGAUUGUGAUCUCUAUGGUCCUCAUGAUCCAAACUUGAUUUGAGAUUUGUACGGAAGAGACCAAUUAAUGGGGGGUCAAGCACUCUACUUCUUCACCCAGUUAAAGAAGGUGUCUGCUAAGGGUUUGAGGUUCGAUAGAAAGAUUGGCUUCGGUGCUUGCCAGGGUGAGGACAGAGCCAAGCUUAUUCUCGCUGUUAGCUCUAAAGAUCAAAUUCUAGGGUCCACGAAGAGGUUUAGGUAUGAAAGUCGUAAAAACUUGGAACAAAAUGGGAGGUGGAUUAUGCAUGAAUUCACCAUUAAUUCAGCCUUGUUGGGUGAUCAAUACUCGCAUAAAGCGCACGAUUUUGUUCUCUGCAGCGUCAAAAAGAACGAAUCGAAAAAGUGCUCGGAGAAAGCCAAUUUGGGCAGAAAGAGAUCUUCUGGUUCCAAGAGAAAGUUGAAGGAAGUAGUGACCUCCGGCAGCCACACUGAUCACGAUAAUGAGUGCUUUCAGAGCAAACGCUUAAAGGCUCAUCAAAAUUCGAUAUUGAUAGAACAAAACCACUCACCGUGUUCGAGUAGCAGUCUGAACCCAGUGGAGCACCAAGGGGAGAUCAUACAUUUGGUGCCUCAAUAUUCGACUCUCUUUGACGUUGAAGGAUAUAGGGGUAGUCUUAUCCAAAUCCUAGAAGAGGAUAAGCAUGAUGAGGGUAGUCAAACUGGUCAACAGAGGGCUGAAGCAGAGGCAGUUUGUGUUCAACAGAACCAAGCAAAUGACAUCCCAUGCUCCAGUAACAACAAUGUGCAGACUGAGGCAGUCCUGAACAAGCGACAAGAGGCUAUUGAAGAAGAGGCACUUUUGGCUCAACAAAAUAAUCCAAUUGAGUUGUCGUGCCUUGAUAACAUCUGGGACAUUGUGGAAUCCGAAGUGGAGAUUGAUUCUUUACCUGACAGACUUGUUUUUGAUGUGGACGAGCUUUUGUCUGAACUCGAUGGGGUUGCUGCCUGUAGAGUUUCUAUCGAGGGUCAAUCAAGUGCUUAAUCGAGUAAUGUAAUUGCAAGUAAUGCACUAGAGAGGAGUGGGAAAUUCUAAUCUCACUCUUGCUCUCUCUGCUUUGUCAUCUGAUUUUGUGAAAGCAAUACUUGGAUAGAGUUACUGCGGUUGAGAAACAAGUCGUCGUUCGUGGCUGCACCUGUCAAGUUACACGAUCUGCUUUUCUACGUUAUGCAAACAGUUUGUUUCUUUUUCAAUUGUAAUAUAAUCAUGUCAUAUUUCAUUUUUGAAAUGAAGUUAUGGCUCUAAUUAUAAGAUUUGUUUAAAAAAUUGAUAUUCCAUGAGUUUUAUGCUUCGCACAUAUAUCUAAAUUGAUUAGUUUCAAAAGCAGGGGCAGAUGAAUGAAUCAUUGUGAUUAUAAUAAGAUUUUGAUGAAAGUUGAGGUUUUUUUAUUGGAAGAAUCGGAAGUGGGGAUUUACUUUUUAACUACAUGAAAAUCUUGUUCCGGUUCAAGAAAAGGUUUAGGUAUGAAAGUAGUAAAAAUCUGGAACAGAAUAGGAGGUGGAUUAUGCAUGAAUUCACCAUUAAUCCAGCCUUGUUGGGUGAUCAAUGCUCGCAUAAAGCACUCGAUUUUGUUCUCUGUCGCAUGAAAAAGAACGAAUCGGAAAACAACUCAGAGAAAACUUUCGUUUCCUAUGAUUCCAUAUUUGGGCUGCAUGUGUCCCUCACUUUUGACGCAACAGAGAACAAACUUGAGUGCUUUAUGCAAGUAUUAAUCACCCAACAAGGCUGGAUUAAUGCUAAAUUCAUGCAUAAUCCACCUCCUAUUCUGUUCCAGAUUUUUACGACUUUCAUACCUAAACCUUUUCUUGAACCCUAGAAUUUGAUCAUCAGAGCCAACAGCGAGUGUCCCUCACUUUUGCAAUGGUUUUGCUUUUUAUUAGUCUUUCAGCAAAGCUUAAGCACUUCUUGUUAAAUCUAACCUCUUUCAGUUACAUAUGGCCAAAAAAUAUGGAAGGCAACUUGUGAUGAGUAACUUUAGUUCAUAUUUUCUAAUUAAUGGCUAUAUUCCUCUUUAUUUUGGUAGCUUCUUGGGAAGCAUAUCCUGAAGAAUCUUUCUUAUUUCAUUUUUAACAUUUUUAGGUACCAUCUUGAAGAAUUUUUUUCUCUCUUUUUUUCUUUUCAGUUUUAAAAUUGUUAUCCUUAAAAUCUCCAGUGGGAAAAGAAAGGAUAAACAUAUCGAGUUUUAUCUUAGUUUUGGUGCAGUGGUUUUGGAAGCUCUAAAAAGGAGGAAAGAUUCUUGAUGCAGCUAAUAAAUGAUUGAAUAUGAACUUUUACCAAACAAGAAACGGAAUACUCAUUGAUUGUUGGAUUGUGGUGUGCACUCCCAAAUCAUAACCGGAACAAGAUUUUCAUGUACUUAAAAAGUAAAUCCCCACUUCUGAUUCUUCCAACAAGAAACUUUGUUGUUUACUUUCCUUUCACAAACUAUGAACUAAAUUUACUUGUAAUUGAGUGAUAAACAAUCUUAAUAGGUUCUUGAUUGAAUUUAUAUGUUGUGUAUCUGCUAUAGCAUUUUGUUUUGGUAAAGCUUAUUUUAUUCAUUAUUUCGGCUGACCACCAAUUUAAUGAUACAAGCUAGGAAAGAGCCAGAAAAUGGCAUGUCUUAGUGGAACAUAUCAGAACAAUACUUGGUUUUAGAUUGGGUUUCUUAGAUUGAGUUUAACUUGAUUCCAAAAGGGCCAUGCUUAAUCUAAAAUUUAUGAUGAACUAGAUAUAAUGAUUCAUCUUUUAGGGUAAAUAGAACCUAAACGUGUAAUAUUGUAUCUUAUGUUGGCAUAACAAUUGGUCACUGUUAGGUUGCAUAUAGAUAUAAGACAUCUCACAUGCGACAGCUGAGGAUAUAUGAGGAUUCUACCUAGUGCUGUAGCAGAUGCUACAACAACUAAACCAAAAUUUGCAAGAAUUAGUCAAGUCCAUUAAGAGAGUUUAGUCACUCAUCUACUUUAUUCCUAUUGAUUUUAUCCUUGUGUUUUUGACGUGAAAGUUUGCUUUUUUGCAUAUUUACUUAUUCCAUUUUAUUAGAUAGUUUAUUAGUUUAAUUGUUCAAUCCACUUUCUAUUCAAGCAAAACUGUUAAGGUUGUUAUAACAAUUUCUACAACAUCAAUCCAUGUGGAGACGAUUUUAAAUACUUUUUAUUAUAUCACUUGUUGUGUACACUUGCACAUUGACACCCCAUAGCAUUUGAAUUUAAACUCAACAGAACGUCUAUUGAGACCCUUGAUCUCUCUGACAACCAUCUCUUUUCUUCUUCAGUAUACCCUUAGGAAUAUUCUCUCUGACAACCAUCUCUUUUCUUCUUCAGUAUACCCUUAGGAAUAUUCUUCAUAUUAACCUAGGCUAUAGCCAUUUGCAAGGUUCAAUUCUAGAGGCUUUUCAAAACAUGGUUUCUCUUAGAUUUCUAUCUCUCUCUUCUAAUUAACUUGAUGGUUGGAUUCCAAAAUUCUUCAGAAACAUGUGUAGUUUAAAUAUAUUAUACUUGCACCACAACUAUCUUAAUGGACAGUUCUCGGAGCUAAUUCAAAAUAUGUCCGAAGGAUGUACAACAAAUUCACUUGAGGAGUUACAUUUACAAUACAAUGGCAUCUCAGGGCCAAUACAUGAUCUUGGAGCAUUUUCAUCUCUAAAAGUAUUGUAUGGUGGAGAAAAUCGUUUAAAUGGAACUAUAAACAAAAGCCUCACUCACUUGUUCAAGCUUGAGACUUUUUCACUUGAUGGGAAUUCAUUCACAGGUGUUAUCUCUAAAACUUUCUUUUCCAAUAUGUCCAACUUGCAGGAAUUGUUCUAAGCUGACAACUCAUUGGUUUUGAAAUUGAGCCAUGAUUGGGUUUCUCCCUUUCAACUGAAAUGUUUAAGUGUCGCCUCUUGUAAGAUGGGACCUCAUUUUCUAAAACGGCUUCAAACUCAGAAUCAACUUACUUCACUUGAUAUCUCUAAUACUGGCAUCUCGGAUACUGUCCCUGAUUGUUUUUUAGAUCUAUUUAUUGAACUCUUUCUUCUAAGUCUCUCUAACAACCAUAUCAAAGGUAAGCUUCCUGAUUUUUAUUUUUUAAAAUCUAAUGAUAUUGUUAUAGAUAUCAGUUCAAAUCACUUUGAGGGACCAAUUUCACUACUUCCUUCAAAUUCUACAUUCUUGAAUCUCUCCAAAAAUAAGUUCUUAGGGUCAAUUAUGUUCUUGUAUUCUCUGAUUGAAAAUACAUGGAAUGUUUUUAUCUCUCAAGUAACUUUUUAUUUGGAGAGCUUCCCAACUGUUGUUCGCAUUUUGAUAAUCUAUUUCUUCUUAAUUUGGCAAAUAAUAGCUUCUCCAGUAAAAUUCCAAACUCGAUGGGCUUCCUACAUAAUAUUCGAACACUGAGUUUACACAAUAAUUGGUUAACCGGAGAAUUGCCUUCAUUUUAAAGAAUGGCUCAUAACUGAGAGUUUUGGAUCUUGGAAAGAAUGUAUUGUUCGGUGAGAUACCAAAAUGGAUAGGCGGAAGUCUUCAAAUUUGAUUAUCUUAAGCUUGAAAUCUAACAAUUUUCAUGGAAAUAUACCUUUUCAGUUAUGCCAUCUGGCAAUCAUUUAGAUCUUGGAUCUCUCUUUUAACAAUAUAUCCGGAAACAUACCAAAGUGUUUCAGUAAUUUUUCAGCCAUGAGCCACGAAAACAAAUUCCAAUCCCAUCAUUGGGUUGGCCUACAAUAUCUGGGUUCUCCUUCGAUAUGUAUAUCAGUAAAGAUAUUUGGACAAUGUUAUGUUGACAUAGAAAGAAUGUGAACAUGAGUGCAAAAAUACUUUGGGAUUUGUACCUUGACCUUUCAAGAAACAAAUUAUGUGGAGUAAUUCUUGAAGAGAUUAUGGACCUUGCGGGGAUGACUGCCUUAAACCUUUCAAGAAACAAUUUAACUGUACCAAGCACUCCAAAGAUUGGUCAGUUAAAAUCAUUGGAUUUCCUGGAUUUAUAUAGAAACCACUUUUCUGGAAGCAUUCCGUCUACCCUUCCUUAGUUAAGUGGUCUUAGUGCCUUGGACUUGUCAUACAACAACUUGUCAGGAAAAAUCCCAUUAAGUACUCAGCUCCAAAACUUUAAUGCUUCAUUUGAUACUGGAAAUCUUGAACUCUGUGGCCUUCCACUUCCAAAUAAGUGUGCAGAUGAAGAAUCAACUCCAAGUCCAAGCAGGGAUGAUGAUGCAAACACUCCAGAAGAUGAGGAUGAUCAAUUUAUAACUCUCGGAUUUUACGUGAGUUUGAGUCGUGGUUCUUAGUUGGAUUCUGGGGAGUCUGCGGAACUUCAAUGCUGAAUAGGUCGUGGAGAUAUGGUUACUACAACAUCAUGACUAGUACCAAAGAUAGGCUCUAUGUGACGGCAGUUGUGAAUAUUGCCAAACCACAAACAAAGUUCAGGAACUAAUUAAACGAUAUUACUCCUUAAGUGUCAACUCUCAAGUGUGUUUUAGUCAAUAUUAUUGGCUCUCAGCCUCUCACAUAUGAUUUUAAUUUCUUAAUCCUUAAACUUGACCCUUUCCUCUUGCAAGCUUUUGUUUCUCAAAUUAAUUCUUACCAUUUUUUUUGUCAGGGUCUUACUGGGAUGGCUCGCAUUAUGUCUUUAUUAUUUAGAGUGCUCAUUUUGUAUUUGGAAUCUUUCAAAAAAUAAACUUGUGCUCUCAUGUGAUGCACAUUGUAUUGUUAAGUGUAUGCUUAAAAAAACUUGCAUGUGGCUCUCUUUAGACCAUUGUCGAUCUAUGCAAUUAUGCACUCUUGUUAAGAGUUUAAAUAUACCAAUAAUCCAUUACAACAAUAAAGACAGUCAAAUUCUGUUCUGUUAUUGAUCAAUGUUAGCUUUUUUUUUCUUUUCAUUGGGUGAAUAAAUUUAACUUUUAUUUGGCAAAUAAAAAAUAUCUCAGAUUUUUGCAUGUAUUACACCUCUCAAUUAGUAUUAACUGAAUAUUUAGAUUAGGGAAAUUAUCAUUUAGAUUAGGGAAAUUAUCUCUACACCACCUUUAUUUUUUUCAUAUGUAUAUCUAACUACUACAAAAUUUUGACGUAUUCUUUACACAAUUUAUGUUUCUAAACUUGCAUUAAUCAACCAUUUUGAGCUAAAAAUAACUAUUUUAACACUAAAUAAAUUAAAAAACUAUUUUAUUCUACAAAAUUUUUAAAAAAUUAUAAUUACAAAAAUACCCCUAAAUUCAAUAAAACAAAUAAUCUCAAAAUUCAAGAUUAUAAUUUCAAGUGAAAUUAUAAUUAUAAAAAUUAAUAUCUUGUAAUUAUAGUUUCAUUUAAUUUUUGUAAUUAAAUUAGGUAUAAGAAAGUUUACAAAAAUUGACAUGACGAGAAAAGUUUCCUAUAAUUAUUAUAAAAUUCCCUAUAAUUAGUAUUAAGAAACUUCCCUAUACAAAUUAAAUCAAAAUAUAAUUAAAAAAUUAUCAUGAUAACUUUUAAAUGAAAUUGUAAUUAUAAAAAAUUAAUAUAUUGAAUUUAGAUUUAUUUUAUUAAAUUUAGGGGUAAUCUUGUACUUAUAUUUUUUUUAUUUUUCAAAAUUUUGUGGAAUAAAAUAGCCUUUUUAAUACAUUUAGGGGUAAAUAUAGUUAUUUUUUAGUGUCAGAGUGGUUUAUUGAUAUAAACUUUAAAAAAAUGAGGUGUAAAGAACAUGUCAAAAUUUUGAUAUGGUUAGAUGUAUAUAUGCAAAAUAAAGGCAGUGCAGAGAUAAUUUUCUUUGGAUUAACUCUCUUUUUUUAAUGAUUUAUACCGCAAAUGAAAAAAACUUUGAUAAAAUAAUAGAGAUCUCAUUAAAAAAUAUUCAUUACUCAAGGUGACAUAGUAAACAUAGGCAUAUUCUAAAAAACAAAAGGAGUAAAUAUUAGUAUAAAGCUAAAACACACAACACAACUACAAAAAGAUUAAAAUAACUAGGUUGCAACGGUAGAGAAUUUGUAGCUUGGAGUUCCAUUAAUGUCUCACUACUCGAGAGAUGAAAAGUAAACCUAAACUAGUCAUCGGAAAAGUCUUAGGUGCUCCUGAAGCAUAACUCUUUUUGAGAGCCCGGCAUGGUGCCGGCUACAAUGACAACGGCAUUGUAGCCAAACCCUUAUCUUUAACGUCAAUACUUCUUUUCAAUUGAUUGGAUUGCCAGUCAAUAACACGAUCGCGUAAAUUGCGGUCCGUGACUUCCAAGAUUAAGAAAAAAUUGAUGUUUUUUUGGAUGGAAAAAUAGCUUUAUUUAAGAGUUGGUUAAGCCACGUUAUCUUCUUUCAAGAAAUUAUUUUCUAUUCACAUCAUAUAUACUUGACUUUUUGACCUAACCGACAUCCACUAGAAUUUAUUAUUAUUAUUAUUAUUAUUAUUACUGCUACUAUUAUUUUUUAUGUAAGUAACAAAAGAAGAGAAAAUUUUGUUAUGACAGAAAUUGAGAGUUUUUAUUAUUAAGAUAAUAUUAACUAGUAUGGUUAAUUUGAUCAAAUCCAAAAUUAAUUAUUGUUUAGGAAAAAGUUUUUAAGUGUUGUAGCUCUUUGUACGUAAUUCCUUAACGUUGAUACGAGCUUAGUAAUUUUUAACUAUUAAGAUAAAAUUUUGACAUACGAGAGUCGUUACUCAUUAGUCUGAAAAAAAAAUGAAUAAAUAAAAUAAAAGAAGUGGGAGAAGAAAAUUUAACCACAAAAAAAUAAGAGAAAUGAGAGGUGGUUAUUUCUAGACGGAGCUUGAUUCAAAGUCACAAAAUAAAAUAACAUAAAUGACACAACCACAAAUACUUGUACAAAUUGAGUUAGCAAGUUAUAUGACAUAAUUAGAUUGAUUGGAUAAAAUACCAUAUGUGUUAAUUAUUUUCCUAAGUAGAAUCUUGGAGAAAAGGAAAAGUAAAAACCCUUCUUCUUAGUUACUAGCUAAUAAUAUUAUGUUUACUUAUUGGGAUAUUCAUUUAUGUCGCAUCUCAUUUCUAUUGAUUAAUUAAGUUCUUAAAUUCAUAGGUUAAAAAUUAACAAUAAAAUCUAUUAAUAAUCAGUAAAUAGCAAAAAUGAAAAGAAAGGAAGAGAAAAAAAAAGCAUCAAGGACUUACAAAGUCAAUUAAAAGUUGAAAGCUGAGAGUGAAAACUCUUAGUUAUGUUAUAAAUAGCAUAGAGCCCUCCCAUAUUCGUUGCAGAGAAAGAGAGAGCGUGCAUGUGUAUUUGAUUAUAAAGAGAACAAGCGGCUCAAAAAUGGUGAUGAUGUCAGUUUGCUUCUUGUUAACAAUAAUAUUAGAAGGGUGUUGGAGUACGGAGGGAUGUUAGGGGCAUGAGAGAUCUGCUCUCUUAUUACUUAAACAUAAUUUCUUUGAUGAUCCUUUCAAUCUUGAAAACUAGAUGGAUAAUGAGAAUCAUUUAGAUUGUUGCAAGUGGGAAGGAGUUGAGUGCAACAUCUCCUCAGGCAGAGUGAAAGCACCAUAUCUUAGUAAUGGAAUAUCAUUUUGGUAUCCGACAAUGCAGCAUCUGAAUGCUUCCUUGCUUACCCUUUUUGAACAACUUGAGUCUCCUAACUUAGAAAACAACAACAUAGUCAGUUUUGUUGAGAAUGGAGGUACUUAAUAAGUUUUAUCAGUUCCAAAAUUUUGAAAAUUUUUUAAAAAGUUUAAUUUUGAAAUAAUUAACACAAGUCUAUAUGAUAUGUUUUACGAGGUCUGGAGAGGUUAUCAGGGUUAAGCAACUUGAAGUUUCUUAAUUUAGGCGGUAACCUAUUUAACAAUAGCAUCUUCUUAUCUCUAACUAGUCUUUCAUCACUAAGAACAUUGUUAUUGCGUUCUAAUAGAUUGAAAGGAAGUAUUGAUAUUAAGGGUAAUUAAGCUUCAUCUCUUUUAAGGUCUACUAGAAGCAAAAAUAAGCUUCAUUAAUUAGUCUGUCACUAGAAUCAGAUAUUUGUAAUGCCAUAUUGCUUCCUUCAUUAACUCUAUUUAAGUCUUGGCAUAUGCCAUAUACGUAAAACUGGAUUGCUUGAGCAAUUUAAAGGUGUUGGACAUGGGCCUGAAUCAAAUUGAAGAUUUUAGUGAUCGUCUAAAAGGUAAUUAAAUGAAUGUGAAGCUUGAAGUAGUUAUAUUUUGUUAAAAGUGAAUGAGGUGGCGUGUUGAGCUGGCAUCAGUGGGGACCAUCUGCUGUUAAAGUUGUUAUUAUGUAUAACAACUUAUUUCUUUUUUUUAGAUAUAUAUAAGAGGAAUUCGAGUUGGCAGAUAGGGAAACUUAGUGAUUGAUUUUGAGAGUCGCAAUGAGUGAGACAAAAAAAUCUUAGUAUGGAAGAUUUAAUCCCUAUAGUCUUAAGAAUCUUUUGUAACUCAUCUCUUUCUAAUAAAGUUUCAAAGCAAAGUUGAUUUCAACUGUGGAUGUAGGCAUCUCUCUUCCGAACCACGUUAUAUGACCUUGUUAUUUUUCUUUCUUUCUUUAGUUCUUGCUUGCUCUUGGUCCUGGUUUCAUUCAAUUUCUACUUUCUUGGUUUGGUUCUCUCUAGAAGAGGCUUUGUUUUUUUUUUAAUUAAAUUAUAACAAACUGGUAUCACAGCAUUAGUAGUUUGUUGUUCUUGGCUCUAUAAUGGCUACCACUAGAUUUGAUCUUGAAAAAUUCAAUGGGGAGAAUGAUUUCUACUUGCGGAGCCUUAAGAUGCAUGCAAUCCUCAUUCAACAUGGGCUUGAUAGUGCCGUUGAGUAAGAUGAUGAUCAAAAGGCUAAGAAAGAAAAGGAAGAAGGCUCAUCUAGUUUUACUGGAGAUAGGAAGACCAUCAACAACAAAGCAUAUAACACCAUUAUUUUGUAUCUUUUAGAUAAAGUGCUAAGAGAGGUGAUAAAAGAAAGAUCUGCAUCUGGAUUAUGGGCAAAACUUGAGGAACUACACUUGAAUAAAUCUUUAGCUAAGAGAUUGUAUACGAAGAAGAAGCUCUAUACAUUCUAAAUGAAGACAGGGACCAAUAUGAAAGAUCAUUUGGAUAAGUUUAAUAAACUGAUCUUGGAUCUUGAAAAUGCAAAUAUUGUCUUGGAAGAUGAGGACAGAGCACUUAUUCUUUUAAGUUCAUUACCAGAUUCAUAUGAACACUUUGUAGAUAUUCUGCUAUAUGGCAAACAAACACUUACUCUAAAGGAUAUCAAGAAUGCUCUAGAAUCAAAGGAUUUGAAGAAAAGAACAGAAGACAGGGAUUAGAACCAAGGUGAGGGUCUAGUUGCCAAGUUUAGACUAAAGAAGAAAGCUAAUAAAGAUAAAAAGAAUAAUAAUUAAAAGGAUAAAGCUGAUAUGAAAAAAAAAAUGUUACUUCUAUCAUAAAAAAGGACAUUACAUCAAAGAUUGUUUUGAGAAGAAGAAACUUGAAAAGCUGCAGGAGGAGUCAAAUGGUAAAACUGCUAUUGCAUCUGAAGACGAGGGAAAUACUGAUGGUACGGAUGUUCUUAUUGCUGCUAAGAAACACCCAUUGGUGAGUGGAUUCUAGACUCUAGAUGUUUUUUUUUUCAUAUAUGUCCAAAUAGAGAAUUCUUCAAGACAUUUGAGAGUAUAAAUGGUGGCAAAGUCUUUUUAGGAAACAACCUUGCUUGUAAGGUUCCAAGAAUUAGUACUAUUAGUAUCAAGAUGUUUGAUAGGGUAACUAGGGGACUGAAAUAAGGUAUGUUCAAGACUUGAAAAGAAAUUUAACUUCCCUAGGGAUGAUUGAUCAAUUGGGUUGCAGCAUUAAGGUAGAGAUUUAGUCAAUAUUGCCAGCUAUCUAAUGCACUCAUAUAUAUUGUAAGCUCAUUUUAUCAUCUAAUCAAUGCUCGGUCAACAGAAAAAGAAACUUUUUGCACAAGCUCAAUUUUAAUCUGGUCUUGACUCAUCUUAAGAUUUUUGAGCCUCCAGAAUCCAAAUUUGAUAUCCGUUUAUCUAUUUGGAGCCUCGAAUUACGUGAAAUUAAUAUUUUACCUAAUAAACACACAAAAAUACACAAAAUUAGAUAUAGUUAAGACAUAAUUAAUAAUCCCUAAUAUAUUGCAUAAACACAAAUUAUAAUAUAAGUACAAAAUAAUAUUUUUAUCGCUUGAUAAUCAAACAAUAUUUAAUACUAAUCAACAUCUUUCUCUAGUGAUAACAAAAUAUAGUCCUAUCUUAAAUCAAAUUUUGUCAAUUUAAUUUUGAAAACCCUCUUUUUGCAAAAAGUAUUACUACCAAUAUUAUAAACAACUUCCUACGAACAAAGCACACAAUUAUUUUAGCAAAAUAAACACAACACCGAAUAAAGAUAAUAAUACUUUUCAAAAAGAAAUGAGACAACUAAAUAACAAAAUAAUUAAGAGGAGAAUAUAAAGAUAAAACCUGAAAGUUUGAGAUAAAAUCAUAAAGUAACUUUGAUGGUUUUAGGUAUUAAGCAUUAACCAAUGACCAAAAAGAAGAAAAAUAAACAAUUGAUUUGUUUCUAAAAAGUUAUUACUAGUAUUAGAAAAAACAAUCGGUGACAAGCAUUUAGUUGCUGUACAAAUUAAAAACAUCAGCCCUUGAACACAAUGAUAUUUUCAUAAAGAAAUAAGACAACUAAAUAGCAAAACUAAUUAUGAAUAGGUUAGAAAGAUAAAACCUAAACAUUUGAUAUGAAAUCAAAGAUUAAGUUUGAUGAUUUGAGGCUUUAAGCAGUAACCAAUGGCUAUGAAAAGCAUAAAAAGUAAAUUGCUAUUCUUUUUUUUUUUUUAAUUAAUGCCCUUAUUGUGUCAUUGUUUAAGGAAGAAAUAUUGUUAACGGAUAAGUUCACAAAUAUAGGGUUUUGUUUUUUAAAUGGAGGUUUAAAAGGAAUAAACAAUGUUUUAGUUAAAAUUUAUUAAUUUAAUGUCACAUAGAGAUUUUAUAGGGAUUAAAACUAUUAAUUCUAAUGAGAUUUUGUAGGGAUUUCGAUAAUUUAUUUCGGUAAAGAUAAUUAUAAAGCAAUAAUAAAAUAAAAUUAAUAAAUACAGAAUUAUGAUUGAGUUUGCUACAAAUUACGAAUUUUUAUCUUUUUAUGUAUAAAAUAAUAGAUUUAACGUAACUAUGGGGCCUUAAUCUAUAAUAGGCCCUAUCAACUGCCUAAUUUGUCUAAGGGAAGAGUCACUUAUGAGUGAGAAUUUUUUGAAAUUCAGUCAUGCGUCCGAUGCCAAGCUCAGAUUACCGUUUUUCUUAUUUAUUGAUUUUGAGGUUUAAGAACUGUUUCACACUGUCUCGAUUCCUAACAGCUUCAGGGAGCAAGGGCGUUACACUCUUCGAAUCCUGAAUUUGAUCAAUAGCAAACAUGUCGUCACAUACGAUCACAUGCAAAACAGAGUUGAGAAGCCACCUGGGCAAAAUUAAAAAUAAGCCAUGGCUCAAAAUUUGGGGGGAAAAAAUAGAACUUACCGUUAUGUGAGAUAGUGUUAGCUUCUCUAAACAAAAAACAAAAAGAAAUUAUAGACACAACAAAAAGAAAUUACUGUGGAGGGUGGAGACUAAGAGAAGAGAAAGAAAGAGUGGAUUUGAUGAGGUGAAAAAAUUAGGGCGGGUUAUGCCCUAAUUUUUGUUUUCACUUAUAUAUUUUGUCUUAUUAUCCUUAAUAACUCCUAAAUUAGUCUUCAAAUUUUAUAACUUUUAAUAAAAAUUUAAUGAUAAAUAAAUGAUUUAAUUAAAUGAAUGGAUUGUAUUUGAUUCGUUUAUCAUCCAUUUAUUAAACGAAUUAUAAACAAAUAAAUGAAUAAAUAUCCUUAAACUUAGAUUCAAUUUGUUUAUUUAGCGUAUUGAAUUGAAUUCACCCAUUUAUUAAACGAAUCAAUUUGGUAUAAAGCCAAUUUGAAUCUGAUCACAGACCGGUUUUGGUUCGUUUUGAGCGCAAUGGUAGAGGAAUGGGGAGUAUAAAGCCUUUCCGGUUUCUAGCUGCCUGGAUGACAGAUAAUCGGUUUGGGGAUUUUAUGCAUGACAAUUGGCAGAGAAAUAUGCCUUAUGCUCAAGCAGCUUCUAACUUCACAAGUAAGGUAGCUACUUGGAAUAGGGAAGUUUUUGGUAAUAUUUUUAAAAGGAAAAAAGAAUUGCUGGCUCAUCUUGGCGGGGUUCAAAAAGCCUUGGAAAGGCAGCCUCUCAGUAGCCUGUAUCGUCUGGAGGUACGGUUAAAAAAGAAGUUGGAAGAAGUUCUGUCUCAAGAGGAGCUGUUAUGAUAUCAAAAAUCUCGCAGAGAGUGGAUUAAAUAUGGGGAUCGGAAUACAUCAUUUUUUCAUCAAAAAAUCAUUACAAGGAGGGCUCGUAAUCGCAUCACUGCAAUCAGGGAUGAUGGAGGUAAUUGGCUUUAUGAAGCUCAAGAUAUUAAAACCCAUGCUGUGACAUUUUUCUCUACACCAUAUAAAUCUUAACAGGAUACAUAUAAGCCGUAUCAUAUGCGAGGGUGUUUCCCUCAAAUUGACCACACCCGAUUGGCGAGUCUUGCUGUGCCGGUGGAGAAGGAAGAAAUUCAUGAGGCAGUCUGUCAGAUGAGUCCUCUCAAAGCUCCUGGAAUCGAUGGCUAUCCUGCUGGGUUUUAUCAGGCUCAGUGGCAUAUUGUUGGUGAGUCUUUUAGUUCUGGUAUACAGGAAGUCUUUAAUUCGCACAGGAUCCCCAGAGAUGUUAGUAAAACUCUCCUAGUCCUGAUCUCAAAGACUGAGCGUCCCACAUCCUUCAGGAUGUAUCGCCCUAUAAGUUUAUGCACAGUAUUUUAUAAAACAGUAACCAAGAUUAUUGUGAAUAGACUCCAAGCUUUACUCCCUGAUCUUGUUGGCCCUCAUCAGACAAGUUUUGUCCCCGACCGGCAUAUUACGGAGAAUAUCAUCAUCGCUCAAGGGGUUGUCCACUCUAUGCGACGAAAGAUGGGUAAAAAAUGUAUAAUGGCUAUUAAGAUUGAUUUAGAGAAAGCAUAUGAUAGAUUGAACUGGAAUUUUAUUCAUGAGACUUUAAGGGAGCUAGCUUUGCCAUUCGAGCUCGUCCAGUUAAUAAUGGAGUGCAUUACUUCUAAUAGGAUGAACAUUUUAUGGAAUGGGGAAUUAACGGGGGAUUUUGCCCCUAGUAGAGGUGUUCGGCAGGGUGAUCCGUUGUCUCCUUAUAUUUUUGUUCUCUGUAUCGAGAGACUGAGUCAUGGAAUCUAUCGCUCAAUCCAGCAAGAACAAUGGAAACCAAUUCGUUUAGCUCGAAUGGGUACCCCCUUAAGCCAUUUAUUUUUUUGCCGAUGACCUACUUCUUUUUGCCGAGGCUUCUAGUGCACAAGCUCUCUUAAUAAAUUCAGUCUUAGAUGAUUUUUGUUUUAGCUCUGGCGCAAAGGUGAACAAAUCCAAGACUCAAGUCUAUUUUUCUAAGAAUAUCUCCGGGGCUGUAGCUGGCCGAUUAGGGCGUGAACUGGGGUAUACAAUCACAAAAGAUUUGGGCAAUUACUUAGGCAUGCCUCUGCUGCAUCGCCGGGUUUCAAAACAGACUUAUCAGGGAAUUCUGGAUAAAAUGCAGCAAAGACUUUCGGGUUGGGCUGCCUCCCAACUGUCCUUUGCAGGGCGUAUUACUCUCACCCAAUCUGUCCUCCAAGCAAUCCCUAUAUAUGCUAUGCAGUCUACUAAUUUACCGGCUAGUAUCAAGACUAAAAUUGAUCAAGUUUGCAGAAGAUUCUUGUGGAGUGGAAAUGACGAAAUGCGUAAGAUGAGUUUAAUUAGUCGGCACACUAUAUGUCAACCGAAGCUGGCUGGUGGGCUAGGAUUUAAGAGAUUGGAGGUUAUGAAUGAAGCGUUAUUGUUAAAGGUUGCUUGGAACUUGAUCACCGAACCUGGUAAGCUUUGUGCCCAAGUACUAGCUACAAAAUACAGAGUGUCUCUCUCGGAUAUCCCGCAAUUUCUUCCCACUCGGCAUGGCUCUCAUUUGUGGAGGUCUGUGUGUCGAGUUUGGGAUCAUGCCAAGCGAGGAUUACGUUGGAAUGUUGGUAAUGGACUGAGAGUUCAAUUUUGGUGGGACUGUUGGGCCCCUUGCGGCUUUUAUUUUGAAACCAAUACCUCCUGAACUUUGUGAUUUGUAUGUGGCUAACUUUGUGACUGCAGAUGGCACCUGAAACUGGCCGAAGUUCAGCUAUCUUUUAUCCCAUAAUGCAGUGAUGCGCAUUGCUUCAGUCCAUCCCCCUUCGGCGCGGAAUGGUGCUGAUAAAGCUUACUGGGCAGCUGCAACUCAUGGAAAGUUCACAGUGAAGUCAGCAUAUGACCACUUGGCUCAGCCAUACUUGCAUGAAAGGGAUAUGAUCUGGCGCUUGGCGUGGUCGUGGAAGGGACCGCAGAGUAUAAAAACUUUCAUCUGGUUGGUGCUGCAUAAUCGUUUGAAGACGAGGGGAGAGUUAGCUGAACGACAUUUAACCAUUGAACCACAUUGUGAGAGAUGCAGGUAUGAGUUGGAGACCACGAUCCAUGUGCUUCGUGAUUGUCCUUAUUCUAGAGCAGUAUGGAUUCGACUUCUUCGGGACAAUAAUCAUCAUGAUUUUUUCAACAUUGAUCUUGCGGGGUGGAUGUCAAGAAACUUGCAAGCUUCAAACAAGUCUCCAGGUGGAAACCUUUAGCGUGUGCUGUUUGGAGUGGCUAUUUGGCGGAUUUGGUUCUGGCGAAAUCAUUUUAUUUUUACUAAGGAUUAUUGGGAUAGCAAUAGUAUUGCAAUGGAUAUCAAAGUCAGGGCUGCUGAAAUUCUACGAAGUAAUUCCUGCUCCUUUGCUGCUGGUAUAACCCGUAUCGAAAAAUGGAUUCAGUGGACUGCGCCUGUUUGGCCUUGGGUUAAAUUAAAUACAGAUGGUGCCAAGAAAUCUUCGGCGAUUGUAGGAGCUGGUGGACUAAUCCGUGACUUCAGAGGUGUUUGGCAAGUAGGCUACAGUGCAAAUUUAGGUGUUUGCUCGGUGACUUCAGCUGAGCUCUGGGGAUUAUUUCAUGGACUAUCUAUCGCUUGGCAAUAUGGGUUCCGCAGAGUGUACGUGGAAGUAGACAGCAUGUGUGUUAUGAGGUUAAUCUCCAAUCCAAAUCCUCCUAUCAAUGAGCAUUUUACUCUCAUUCAGGAAAUCCAAGCACUCCUCCGGCGUGAUUGGCUGACCAAAGUGGAGCAUAUCUAUCGAGAAGCCAAUGAAGCAGCUGAUUUCCUGGCUUUGUACAGUUUUUCCUUCUCCUUGGGUUUACAUUGUUUUCAAUCUAUUCCUCCAAAUAUGCUUUGCAUAUUGACUAACGAUGUUCAUGGGGUUGCACACUCCCGUUUAGUGUUGCCUUAGCUCUCUUAUGAGCCCUUUAAUGAUAAAAAAAAAAAUUAAACGAAUCAAUUUUUUAAAUCGAAACCCAUUUAAUUCGCAUAGAAUCAAAUUGAAUAAAACGAAUCUUGACCAAGAUUGCCACUCCUAAUUUUGGUACUUUCCAUUUUUAAUUAGAGUCAUGUAUUUUAUUUACAAUAUAAUUCUAUUUACAACAUAAUUGUGAUUUAGUUUACCUUUUAAGGUAACAUGGGGAAGUAUGUUUACCCUAUUAUAAAUAGGGAGGUAUUGUCAUUGUCAGCUCGAUUUCAAUUAUUUAAUAAAAUCUCUCUUUUAUAAUUCUUUUUGGAAUUAUCUAUCAAAAUCUUUCUUGUAGGAUCGCUUGAAUUAGAAUGAGAUCUAAUUACGCUUCCAUUAGAGCAUAACUUGAUUGCAUUGGUUUAGUCUGGUAUUAUAACGAUAUCUAGUAUUUAUUUACCCUAACAAACCACUUCUGCUACCCUGCUCCAUUACAAGAACUUGAAGGAUCACAAUUGGCCAUGUCAAGGCGCUUAAUCUCAAAGGUCCAACGGCCAAAAUGCUCAAAGGAAAGUCUCGAAAGGUACAAUUAGUCCUGCUAUGCUUGAAUUUCAUGAUUUAAUGCAUUUGGACCUCAGUAACAAUCACUUCGGUGGAAGUCCAAUUUAUGAAUUCGUUGGUUCCCUCUGCAAAUUUGAGGUACCUCAAUCUCUCUUGUGGUACACCUUCAAUCUCUCAUCAAGCUGAAGACAGUUAAAUUCUACUCUGCUAUUGAUCAAUGUUAGCAGUCUUCUUUAUUGGGUGAAUAAAUUUAACUGGCAAGCUAUUUGGCAAAUAUAAACAGAUUAAUGGAUUUUUGCAUGCCUUAUGUCCCUUUCUUGGUGUUGACUGAUUAUUAAGAUUAACCCGCAAACGGAGCAAACUUCAAAAAAUAAAAGAGAUCUUGCUAAAAUUAUUCAAAACGACGUAGUGGACAUAUGCAUAAAGCUAAAACACACAACUACAUAAAAAUUAAAAAAAAUUAAGCUGCAUCUGUAGCUUGGAAAUCCAUUUGCGCGUCUCACCACGCGAGAGAAGAAAAGUAAACCCAAACUAGCUAUCAAGUGAGUACCAACGUUUGAUUCUACAAUGGUACAUAGUAAUAACAGAAAAAGAGAAGAGAAAAAAAAUCUAUUAAAAUUAGUUAAGUAAUAUUUAAUCUAUUCCAUAAUCUUACAAACAAAGUACGUGAUAGGUUCGUAUAUAAUCUGAUUCAAGAUCAUUCGUAAUAAAAUGUGCAUGAAGAGAUAGAACUAUACAAGAAUUCGCUCUUAUUGUAUUCGAAUUGGUUAUUCGUAAUUUGUUUCUUUUACUUUUUAUUUUAUAAUUUUUUUUAUAGAAUAUGGUACUUUAGGUUGAAAUUUUGAAUUUCAAAUAUCUUAUCGUUUUUUAUUUUAUUUAUAUAUUAAUUCAAUUUUUUAAAAAGGAAAUAAAUUCUAAAAUGAGCCAUUGUAUUAAAAGGCUUGGCUUUAUAAAAAUAGCUCUUACAUUAUUUUUCAAAACACUAAAGGCGAGGAAAAAAAAAAAGACUAAACGCAAAAAUGGUUUUAGAAAGGCAAGAGGAGAAGAUUUUUAUGGUGUUUUUCAAUAAAAAGAGUUUUUGAGUUUUGAUACAUGGUCUUGAAGGAAGGAGAUUAAAACCAAUAUGUAAUUAUAAUCUUUUGAAAUUUUGAUUUUAUUCAAGAUUUUAUGUGAUAGAUUGAAUGGCUUUGUGUGUAAUAUCAAUGAAAUUGUUAAAGCAUGAUGUAUCAUUGACUCCAUGUUGUAAUUGAAUGGAAGUUGUGUUUUUGUAUUAUUCUGAAAAAUUAUGAACAGUGUAGAUUGAAUGCUAAAUAACUGCUGCUUUCAUUGAGUCUUAUGCAUGAAACUUUAUAAUUUAUUAAACUAGAUAUCAUUAGCUUUCUAUUGACAUGAUUAUUGUUUAAAAGCUCAUGGUAUAAUAAUUGUAAUAAUUUUUUUGAAUUUGGAAUACUGGUGCUGGAAAAUGCCAAUUUUUAGCAGCAGUUCUCAAUUCCUAACUUUAUUUCGUAACUCAAAUUACUUCUGAAAAUUAUGGCAACUUCUAUUAUGUUACAUAUGUAUGUCUAAUUUCUGUAUAUGUUUCGUAAUUUUUAGGUUUAUAGAAAAAUCAUUAAAAAUCAUAGAGUUGGGAUGCUGUAAUCCUGGAAACUGUUCUCCAAAAUUACUAAGACUGAUAUUGAAGUCACUUUGGAUUAUUGUUUCAUCACUAAAUGCCUUAUAAAUUUUAAUUUUGAUUUCCUAUUGUUUUCACUAUUGAUAAAACUUGAAUUACAAUUUUGUAACAUGUGUACUUAAAGUUAUGAAUUUUUAAAUCAACAGACCUCUGUUUAUAUCACUACUAUUUUUUGACAUUUUUGUGAAAAAUUAUUCAGGGAUGUUUUUGAACUCUGAUUAACUUUAUGAUGUUUUAUAUUGAAUGCCAUGCAUGUUCAUAGUAGUUCCUUUUAAUAUUUGUGAUUUUCCAACAGAAAAUAGCUCGUAUAGGAUGGUUGGGUGUAGUUUAGUGAAUGGAUAUACUUAAGUGAGUGCUAAUGGUUUAAAGAUGCUUGACUCUCCCAUCAAGGUUAGAAUUGAUAAUGUUAUUGAUGAGAAUCUUGUCUUGAUAAUUAUAGGCUAAUCAUGAGCUAGUAUAAUUGAGGUUAUUGAUUGAUUGCUUCAGAUCGAAGUAAGAGAAUUAAUGCAAAAAGUUUAAUAUCUACAUACAGAAAGAAUAUUGUUUAUAUUGAGUUAGCAUUUUAUGGUAUUAUUGCCACUAUAUAUUUUCUAAAAUUAGAUAUAUAUUAAUUACAAUAUAUUUUAGUCAAAUGAACCUCUUUUAAAAUUGUACUUUUCAAAAAAAAAUUUCAAGUGACUUUGAAAAAUAUUUGAUUUUCCAAUAAUUUAUUUACCUAAAAAUACUUGAAAAGCUUUGCCAAAUAAAUGUCUUACAACAUUAUUGAUAGAUUAUUGAAUGAUUGAUAUUGAAAGAUUAAAAAUUACUUUUAAGGUUUUGGCUCAUUGUCCGUAGUUAUUAUUAUUGACACGACUGAACAACUAGCUGUAUUACCAUUACAAUUAUUAUGGGGUACAAUACCUUGAUUGAUUAAUUGGCUGGAUCAUCGGGAUUAUAGGUGAUAUAUUAAUUGUUGGGCCACAAGAUUAUAGGUGAUAUAUUGAUUAGCCGAGUCAUCGAGAGCGCAGGUGACACUAUGUGACAUGAGCAAUUGAAUAAAGGAAAUAUUUUAUUGUUAAAUGAUUUCUUAGAUGAUUAAAUAUUGAAAAUGAUUAUUACAUGAUGACUUAACUUAAAAUGAAUUUUAUCAUACUCAUGCAAUAGAUUGUAAAAUCAAUAUUGUUUUCCAAUUUAUGGUUCCUUAUAAUGAUUAUUAUGUGUUUUAUCGUUAUUGGUAACCUCAUACAUGAAUUUACUUACCAAGUUGAUGGCUCACCCCUCGUCUCUAACAUUUUGCAAGUUAAUUUUAGAGAUGUGGGGUUUUUGGUUUAGAGAAGAGGAUUUUUUAACUAACACAUUUUCGUUGAUGAAUAAAUUGUCAUUAUUUUGGUUAUUGUUCAGAGUUGAAUUUGUUUUGGAUGAUUAUUGUUAUAUUUAUUAUUUUAGAGAUUUUAUUUUGACAGUGGACAAUAUUGAUUUUUCUGAAAAUAUUAAUAAGAUUAAUAUCACAAGGUUUCAUUCCCAAUUCCUCUUGUAAAUUAUAGGGUGAAUUUGGGUUAUUGCAUUAUUAAUUAAAUUUCUACAUAGAUGACAUUACAAAGAUGUUGAUCAAAGACUAAAAUAUUUCAAAGUAAUGUUGUUAGGGUGCACCAAAUUUAAAACCUUACUACUAGUAUAAAUAAUUAGUACAGAGCGAGUAAGGAUCGAUCCCACAAAGACUAUGCUAGUUGUAUUUAUUAUCAACUCUAAAGUAGAACUUAAAAUAAAAUAAUAAUAGGAAUAAUAAUAUAAAUUAAUCUAACUAAAGAAAAUGCCAACUAAAAAUAGAGAAAAGGGGGUUUUUGAAAUUUUAACUAAAUAGCAAGAAAUAAAGAAAUUAAAACUACGAAAACAAUAAUUUAAUAAAAACUCUAAUUAAAGGAGAAAGAAAUAACAAUGAGAAAAACUUUGGUUAAAAGAUCAUUCGCCACCACCAAACAUGCACAUAAUAUAUCAAUUAUAUCAUUAAUUUAUAUUGAAACUAUCAACCGUAGACAACAAUAAGCUCUGUUAGUCUCAAUCUUUCCUUAGUAUGUCGUUAGGCAAAACAAGCUCUUCAUCUAAUCUCUAACUAUUAAAUAAUUUAAAAUAAGCUCUUUAAAUUUAAGAUAAUGGAAGCAUUAAGUAGAGAAAGAUAUUAGGUUGAUUUAGGCAAUAAACAAACAAGCUCAGAUUAUUUAACCUAGGUUAUGUUCUCCAAUCGAAAUCACUGAUUCCAACCUACUACUAAUGAUUAAAAUAUCAAGACAAUUAUGGAUUAAGAAUUUUAAUCUAGCAAUAGAAUUUAUUCAAGUUCUAUCUAAUUGGCCACUCAAAUAAGACAGGAAUGAAAUCAUAAACAUUAAUUAUAGAAGAACAUAAAUAAUCUCAAUUAAAUAAAUUGAAUGAUAGAAAUUAAAAAAUUCAAUUGCAUAGCAUGUUUAGGGUUUUGAAUUCACCCUCAACCAAAUAAAAAAUCUAGCCUAACAUAAUUAAAUUGAGAAUAAAAAAGUUAAUAAAACCAGACAUAGAGAUUAAUUCAAACAACUUUCUCCUCUAUUUUUUCUCUUCUACUUUUGGGCUGCAAAUUGUUUUUGUAUGUGUAGCUGCCGAUCCUCCUAUUCUCCUCUAAUUCUGCCGCAAGUCUGGCUUUUAUAGUAGCUUUUAUUGUGCGCCUUAAAUCCUCGCAUGGAAAGGAUUAAAAACAAAAGCCAAGCCGCCACUUUUUGUUCACGCAUGCACAUAACUUGUAGAAUUAAUUGGCCAAUGAAUAUUGUUAAAGCCAAAGCCCAUCACGUGCUUGCCAUUUAAAGCCAUGCCAAAAUAUUUGCUUCCUCAAUUAAUCACAAUAUAUGUUUCCCAUGUGAUUGCAUGCAUGUUGAUUAAUCAAAUUAAAUCUUUCUUUCAUGAUCUCUUGUGUAUUUUUAUCUCUCAAUCUUCAAUUCUUUUCCUAUUCUGAUUCUUUCAAUGAAAUUUCUUUCCUGAAUGCUCCGAUUUAAUUUCUCUUUAAUCCUAGAAUAUAUCUAAAAUAAAAAAAAUAAAAAAACUAAGAUAAAAAUUAAUACAAUAAAAUAUAAUUUUAACAAAAUAACUAAAUUAAAAAUUAACUGAAAUAACUAGAAUAUUUAAGAUCAAAACAAGAAAAAGAUGGAGAAAUUAAUAGCAAAAUAUAUGAAAAAUAUGCACUUAUCAGAAGACUAAGAGUGCGUUUGGGAGUGAGGUGCUGAAACUUUUAAGCUGCAGCUACAGUGAAGUAAAAGUUAUAGCUGUGGAGUAGAAGCUGAUGAUAUUUGAUAAAGAUGUUGUAGCUUUUAAGCUGCAGAAGCUUAUAGUGUUUGGUAAAUACAUGUGUCUAGUAUUUUCAAUUUUAAUUUCAUAAUUUUUUUAUAUAUAUAAUUUUAUAAAAAUCCCGGGACCCAUAUUAUUAAGUUAAGACACUGUGAGAAAAUUUUGAAUUUAAUAAGAAAUAAAUAGUUUUGAAAAUGUUUUUGGUAUUGGAUCCUCCUAAAAAUUUUAUUGGAGAUACCCAUGGAUGUCGAGAAUAGAUCUAUGUAAUUUUGUGUCAUUUUGAUUAUUAGAUUAAGAGUUAAAAUUCAGAGAAUCAGACUUCUACGGGUAUGAAUUAGAAAAUUAAGAUCUUGGAAUAAGUUGUUAAUAGUUAUUUCUUGUAUUUGUUUAAAGUAUUGGAGGUGUUUGAGAUUGUUAGAGGCUUAGAGGUGUGUUUAAAUAAUUGCUUUUAUCGAGAUAAGUAACUCUAUUCCUAAUGUACUGGAUAUCUAAUGUACUAGAUAUAUAUGAUAAUUUUGAUAUUUCAAUAUUAUUACAAGUACGUGUGUUUUCUUAGUUCUUCAUAACAAAAAUAAUUGAUGUGAGUGUUUUUAAAUUUGAAAAUUAUGCCAUUUUUAUGGUUUUAACAAAAUAUUAUAAAUGCCUUAACAUGUGCAAUUUAUUUUGCUAGAUAAUUAUAUUUUUGAAAUUGUCUGUAAAAUGUUAGAAUGGAAAUUGUUCUGCAAGCCUAAAUCAUUGUUAUGAUCAUUUAUGAAUCUAAUAUGAAUAUUAUGUUCACGUAUUCGAUUAAAAUUAUCUAUGAAAAUUUAUGCAGGGGCCACCUUUUGAGACUGUAUGGAGGCCAUAUCUCGAGGACUAAAGUGUCGCGUAUAGUAUAAAGUACCACGUGUAAUUUGCUACAAAGGAAAAAUAAAUUUAAAUGUUUUGGUUCAUUGUCCGUAGUCAUUUUGAUUCUGUUAUAUACUUACACACACACACACACACACACACCAGUAUUGAGUUUCUAUUCUGAUUGUGUCUAUGAUAUUCUUAUUCUCAUUCUAUUCCAGCCUGGUCAUCGAGAGUAUAGGUGACACUAUGUGACAUGAGCUAAUCUUUUGUGUCCUGUAUUUAUAUAUUAAGUGAUUUGUUUCUAUGAUUAAUUAUGAUCUCGAUAUUCUGGAUAAUUUAUGAAUUUGUCCUUAUGUUAUUAUAUCUCAUUGUAAAAUUUAUGUGAUUUGUUGUGAUAUAUAUAUUGGUAAACAAGGCUUGCAAUACUUUUGGUAUCGGAUAUCCCUGGGGUGUUAGGAAUGAUUUUACUUGCCGAAUUGAUGGCUCACUUCUCGUCAUUACUUUUUGCAGAUUGAGUGACUUGUUGAGAGAUGUGCUUAUCUUUGGAGUUAGAGAUUAAUUUACUUUUGCUAGUUGAAUAAAAGAAGGACGAAUUUCUAUUUCUUUUAAGCUUGUUAGUCUUCUGAACUUGUAAUUGGAGAAUUUUGAAACUUUUGUUACAUUUAUGAUUUGGGAGAGAAAUGCCAAGUAUUUGACUUCUGGAUUUGUUGAUUUGUUUAAUAAAAUUUGAGAUAUUUCAGUUUGAGAUUUUGUGUGAGGAUUUCAAUAUGUAAGUAAUCUCCUACUAUCACGUGCUCCACACGUGUUAAAUUUGGAGUGUUACAAUUGUUAAGCUUUGCAUAUCCAAAUUGAUUAAGUUGAAAAAUAGGGUAAGAUGAUAGGAUUCUAGGGUUUUACUUAGAGAAUUCAAGAGAGAAAAGAUGAGGAAUUUAAGAAUUCAUAGGGGAGAGAGAAGAAUUAACAGGGGUUAGAAUUAAUUUUAUUAUUGCUUGCUUAAAAACAUAAUGAGAGCCACUUACUUAUAGUGGCUCAACACAUUCCUAAUUCUAAUCUAAUUAGAACCUUAAAUUAUAAUUGUAAUAAGAAAACCUAAUCCUAGUAGGAAAGAAAAAAUAAACCACUUGGGUUCUGUAGAGAUUUGAUUGAACUGCUAAUCUUAUAAAACCAAAACUCUGCCCAUGAUCUUUGACUAAGAUCAACAGAAGUAGCACACAAGCAAUAAAAUUGAACCAGAAUCUAUUCAAUAUCCUCUCAAAAGACUUAACCACUCAACAACAGAAAUUAAACAACAGAAAAGAAUGAAUCAGAAACAAAAUCACAGAGAGAGCAAGAGAUAACGUGGUCCAAUCUUUUUCAAGACUUACAUUCCCGAGUGAAAACAUCAGAGAUUGUUUUUUUGAUCGAUUCAACGAAGAAACUACAAGUACUCAGAAUUGAGGAUACAGAGCUUAAGAAUUAGUUUUCUCUCUCCAAGAUUCUCUCUCGAAUACUCUCGAAUCACUUCCCCAGGUGAGGUGCAAAACCAGCUUUAUAUUACAGGGGGAUAACAGAACAAUGAACCCAGAUAGCACAGCCCUCUUCCACGUGCCCAAGACCGUUAAAAGAACAGGGAUGCACUUAAGUGACCACGUGACUUAGCACGCGCAAUUUCUUGAAUCUGUUAUGAGUAAAACGCAAGCUUUAACGUCGUUUACAGUUAGUAAUCACGAGCUCCCUGACGUGACUUCAUAACGGAUUUAACCGAUGGCCCAAUACGCUGCCGUUUGCUCUGGUUUGUGUUUGAAUUCAUUGACUCUACAGGUUCUAAUAGAUUCUUUUGUUUCAAAAUGAAGAUUGAAGAUCAUCCACGGCAGUAGGAGAUUUAAGUUGGAAGACUUAUGGUGUUGACAGUCUUUUUGCUUUUAUUUCCAGAAUUUAUUUCCUUCUUUGCAAGUUGUGUUCUCUCAAGACUCGCAGCUCCGCCAAAUUCUGGCGUGAAGGCUUAUCACCUUCCUCUUUAAUGCAGGUUUGCAGCCCACAUCAGUCGCCAGUUGGAGUCAAAUUAAUGAAAAAUUUAGGGUCGUGUAAUUGGUCUCAUGCAUCCACAAAUUUGAUAAAUUUUAACUCACAAUGGGUAUAAACUUAUGGUGAUUUAAUAAGAAUGCAGUGAAGAAUUAAGAGAUAUUCAAGUGCCUGCAAUUGUGUUGGUUUCCCAAAUCCCAACCAAUCCAACAUUUCAGGAUAAGGCUUUUUGUUUAAAUUAAUAGCACAACGUGCCAGAGGGAUAGUCCAAAUUCUUGUUGCGUUCUCUCAACUCUCAAUUCUCAUGAUAUUAGUUAUAGCUUCGUAAAGAACAUUUGGCAACAUCAGAUGGAGGAAUCUGAAACAGAGAUGGCGUCAUUGCCCUAUGAUUGAGGCUUUGAAUUAACUCUUUCCCAGCAUGUUUCUUUGAUUCAUGAGGAUAUACAUUCUCUUUUUUUUUUCAUAAUACAUUAAUUAAAUCUUAUACAAAUGGAAGAAGGAAGCAAGAAAAGUAAAUCAAACAUUGAACAUGACAAGGUACAAGAAGCAAGCAAGUCUCAGGUAUCAAGCUUUCCUAGGCGACAACCAAGUUCAACAAAGCAAAGGUGAAGCAAGGCAAACAAGAAUUCAAGCCGCACGUCAUAGACUCACCAAGCUUCAACACAGUGAACAAAUCAAGGCUGCUUACCAGCAUUUGUUGUACAAGCAAACUUCUCAGUUUUAUGUCACAACAGAUGGUAUCUCGUGUUCUUGAGUAGAGAAGAUACAAUAAUAUUUACCAUUAGAAUCUGCUAUCAACUCUGUUAAAUCGAAUUUUCUCUAAUAUUUACCAUUAGAGUAGCAAAGCUAUUAACAUCUCAAUUUUCUCUGAAUGCUCCAUGAGAAUGGUAUUUAUGUUAUGAUCCAACUCAAACCUGGCAAGAGGAUAUUGCCUGUUUUGAGCCUUAACAAGGCCGCAUGGUUUUGUUUCUAGGACACCCAUACAUCCUAAAACGCAUAUUAUCAAUAAAGGUGUGGAUCAGCUCUUAUAAACCCAACAUCUCUCUUGUACUUUGUCGAUGUGAGAUUUGUCUUGGGUGUUACAAUUCAGGUGCCAUUAAUCCAAAUUUGGCGAUUGUGUGAAGUACUCUUAUGCGUAUUUUAACCUCUGAAACAAAAACUGGUGACAUGGAGGUAUUACAUGCAUUGUCAUUAAAUUAAUAUAAGCGCUAAUCUCAAAGUAUGUGUUGUAUGCAUGUUCUUAAUGUGGCUCACAUUCAUGAGUUUGAGAUUAAUUAAGACUACUCACAUUUUUAUGAUUAGAUAAUGAUAAGAAUAGUUGUUCCAUAUUUCUAAAAAAUUAAGAUAAGGAUAAUUUCUCAUUUUCUUGAUGGAGGGAAGUGAAUGAAGUCCGUUAAAUAGACUAAGGGUCCUUAGCCUAGCCUACAUAUGACUUUCCGUGAGAAUUACCCAUCGAAUUAAAGGCUAUAUAGAGGAAUAGACUAGAAAAUUCUAACCAUUUUUUAGAUUAACUUAAAUAAUAAUGACUGGAGGUAGAGGUACGUAACUUAUUUAAGUUUAUAAUCUAAAAUAUAUUUGGAAAAAUGCUUUUUUCAUCCCUAAGGUUUGAAAUAGCCUAUUUUAUCCUUACUAUUUAAAUAAUAGUCUAUUUCAUCCCUAUUUUUUAAGCAAUAGCCUGAAACACCAUUUCAUUAAUUUACUGUUAUUAUACUGUAUAAUUCAUUGAGGGCAAAAUAAGAUUUCUAAAUAAUGAUCAAUUAUUUUAAAAUAAACUCUCAAACACAAAUAAAAAAUAUAUGUCUUUCUAUAUAAAUUUAAAAUUUAAGGAUUACUUAAGAAAGAAAAAAAUAACAUUAAAUAAUAUGUAAAAUAUACAUUUAGGACAAAAAACAAACCAUAGAUUUCACAAGCACUAGAUUAUUUUUUUUAUCCUUUAGCUUAUUCUUAACUUUAAUAUGGUCGAAAUAAAUAAAUAAAUAAAUGAUCAAUCAGUACUGUUAUUAUACCAAAAGUAAUUAUGGACUCCUUUAUUUACUUAAAAAAAAAUACACACUAAAUACAUAACAAACUACAUUUCAAAAUACUGCAGAAUAAAAUAUAAUGCAUUGGAUUUUUUUUUUUUAAUCUUUUAGCUUAUUCUUGACCUUAAUAUAAACAAUGAUUCUUGAUGAAAAGAAUUAUUAUUAUUAUUAUUUUGUUAACUUUAUUAAAAAAAGAAUUUAAUGAACACAUGUGUGUGUGUGUGUGUGCGUGUGUGUGUGUGUGUUGCAUAUUCUUUAGUAUUAUUUUUGUUUCAUUAAGUUAUACUUAAAUUUUAAAUUUAUGCAAAAAAGUCAAAUGUUAUUCAAUUAUUCUUGAGAUUUUUAUUUUAAAAAGCUUUAUAUACUUAUUUAACUAAAAAAUUUUAUUUUACUCUCAAUGAAUUUCAGAGUAAACUAAUUAUAAAUUCACGGAAAGAUAUUUUAAGCUAUUAUUUGAAAAAUAAGAAUGAAACGAAUUAUUUUUAAAAAAAUAAGGAUAAAAUAAGCUAUUAUCUUAAACCCUAAGGAUGAAAAUAGCUUUUUUCUAAUAUAUUUCUAUAUAUAUUUUUAAGCUACAGAACGGAUGAUGUGAUGCAUAUGUACGUGCCUCUAUUCAGCAAAUUCAGAGAAGCAUUAUUGCAAAGUCAACAGUUAACUGUUCAAAGUCAGCGGACAAUUAUGAAAAUUUCUAAUUUCAAUGGCAGCAAAGUCGGGGGAAAAUUAAUUGUUCAAAAUCAAUAUAUAAACAUGGUGGCCCUAGAUAAGAAGAUAACAUGCACGAUAAGGAUAAACAAUUACCCUAAUCUUUCUUUUGUGGACAUGUUAAUAAAAUAAAGACAGAUUGUGAAAGAGGACGUAUCUAUAGAUGGUUGAUUCAGAACUUAAUUAAGAUCAUUCAUUAUAUUUAUUUUUAAUUGAGACAGAGCCUCUCAUGUUGGCGUUAAUAUGUAGACAAGUAUGAAUCUGAUGCGUAAUAGUACAUUUGCAAGUUUGUUUAAUUAAUUGUUAAGUUGAAAUAUAAAACAAGUCUUCCCCAAUCAACCACGAAGAAUUAAGACGCAUUUAGUUUUUUAAUCUGAAAUUUAAAAUCAGUCUGAAUUUGAUGGAAGUCUUAACUGAUGGUUUGAAUACAAAUAUCUGUAUGAUAUGUUUUUUUUUUAAUAUCUAAAUAUAAUUGACAUUAUUUUUGUUUCUAUAACUAAAAAAAUCUUAAAUAUGGUGUUUAACAUUUAUAUCCUUGUAAGUUAAAAUGAAUAAAGGGAUUAGGUUUUAUAGUUUAACAAAUAAGUAUAUUUAAUAGAAAUGUUUUGGGAUAUAAUAUUUAUUUAUUCAUGCCUUUUCUUAUUUAGAUAAAAGUCACAAAAGUUUAGUCUUUUUUUUUUUAAUUCAAAUGUAAAUGUUUGAAAAUCAGAUAUAAAUUAAAAAAAUAAACGAGCAAUUUAAAAAAAAAUCAAAUUAAAAAAAAUCAAAUUUUAGACAUUUAACCAACAAGCCUCCAUUUCAUCUUGGUCAAUGAGAGUCGUUGGCUACCACGAAAUUUCUGAUCCCUGUCUAGUAUGGGCGUGCCAUGAAUUAACCCAAGCGUUUUAAUUUUUGCCUUAAAAAAAUUUCCAUUCUCUGCUCUAGAAAAUUGAAAAAAAAAAGAAAAGUAAAACAUAGUUCACGUUGGUAUUAUUAUUAUAUUAGCAUUAUAAACAUCUCAACCGUUUAUUCGCUAACGCAGUAUCAAUCACCAUCGGUUGUUCUUCUACUGAUUAAAAUACAGAUUUAAGAGCAAAGCAAUUUGAAUGCUUGUAAUUGUUACUCUUGUAUCCAAUUUUCCCCAGGAAUUACAGGAUCAACAAUCCCAUCAAACAUAUUACUUUCAACUUGUCUUUAACUGGGGAAAGCAUUAAUAAAUUAUCAGGACAAGCUUCUUAUAAGUAAAUUUCUGCCCAAACAAAACAUCAAGUAACGACAUCUACCAAAACUAUAAACAUCAUAGUUCUCUCAUUUUCAAUAAAAUGUGUUUUAUUUUGUUUGGGUAAACGUAUACCAAAACUACAUUUUCAAUAAAAUGUGUGGUUACCAUUUUGUUCUAUACUACAUUUUCAUUUUGUGUGGUUACCAUUUUUCCACGGCAAGAUUACAUGGAUGUUGAUUGUAUGAUUUUCUUUAUCCAUGCUCUGCAUUGUUGCGUGUUUGGGAUUCGCCGGCGAAGACUUUUCUUGGCUUUUCUUGACUAAAUGCUCUGCAUUUAGUCAUCUCUCAAAAUGUCAUAUCCUAACACAUAAUCAACGCUCAGACUGAAGACUUUUCUUGGCUUCAAUAAUUGAUGCAGAUUAUACACAGUAGUAUAAAUUGGCAUGGAGUCCAGGAGUUUCGAUAUAACAAUAUAUCCUCAAAGCUAAUGAUAAUUAUAAUGUCAUCCAAAUUGUUCCUUCUAUUUGAAAAUAUAGCUCUGUUUUCUGUGUUGUUUUUUCAAUUGAAGCCCACAAUUGCUGAUUCUAACAAAAAAACGAUAAAGUGCAUUGAUGAGGAGAGAGAAGCGCUUCUCACUUUUAAACGGAGCUUGGUGGAUGAACAUGGCGUUCUGUCUUCCUGGGGAAGAGAAGAUGACAAAAGAGAUUGCUGUAAAUGGAGAGGAGUCCACUGUAGCAACACAACUGGCCAUGUCAAGGUGCUUAAUCUUCGAACAUCCGACGAGGAAAACGCUCAGCGGAAGGCCUUGAAAGGUGAAAUUAGUCCUGCUUUGCUUGAAUUGCAUGAUAUAAGACAUUUGGACCUUAGUAACAAUCACUUCAGUGCAAGCCCAGUUCCUGAGUUCAUUGGUUCCCUCAGCAAAUUGAGGUACCUCAAUCUCUCUUGUAGCAUACCUUUAGAACUCCCUCGUACAUUGCGGAACUUUUCAGGAUUGGAAUAUCUCAACCUGGAAAACUCUCAUUUAUUUAGCGUGGGAAGCUUAGAGUGGCUUUCUCGUCUUUCUUCUUUAAGACACCUUGACCUGAGUUACAUUAAUCUCACUAAAUCUAGAGAUUGGUUUCAAGUAGUUGCCAAGCUCCGUUCCCUAAAAACAUUAGUCCUACGCUCGUGUGCUCUUCCACCUAUCAAUCCAUCGUUUAUUUGGCACUUCAAUUUGAGUACGUCUAUUGAGACCCUUGAUCUUGCUGACAACAAUCUCCCUUCUUCUUCAGUAUACCCUUGGCUUUUCAAUCUUAGUCGGAAUAUGCUUCAUCUUAACCUUGGCUCUAAUUCAUUACGAGGUUCAAUUCCAGAGGCUUUUCAACACAUGGUUUCUCUUAAAAGUCUUUGUCUCUCUGCUAGUGAACUUGAAGGUGGGAUUCCAAAAUUCUUUGGAAACAUGUGUAGCUUAAAAAAGUUUGGCUUGCCUUACAACAAACUCAGUGGACAAUUCUCACAGGUAAUUCAAAAUCUGUCUUGUGGAUGCGUGGUGAAUUCACUAGAGGGGCUAUAUUUACAUGAUAAUGACUUCACGGGGCCAGUACCUCAUCUUGGAGGAUUUUCAUCCUUGGAAGCAUUGAAGCUUGACAUUAAUCGUUUGAAUGGAACUAUAAACGAAAGCCUCAGCCGCUUGUUCAAGCUUAAGACUCUGUCAUUUGAUAGGAAUUCAUUCACAGGAGUUAUCUCUCAAACCUUUUUUUCUAAUAUGUCCAACUUGCAGGAGUUGUUUUUAGCUGAUAACUCUUUGACUCUGAAAUUGAGUGAUGAUUGGGUUCCUCCCUUUCAACUGAAACGUUUAAGUAUCGCCUCUUGCAAGAUGGGACCUCAUUUUCCAAAAUGGCUUCAAACUCAGAAUCAACUUGUGCAUCUUCACAUCGCCAAUGUUGGAAUCUCAGACACUACUCCUGAUUGGUUCUGGGAUCUGUCCAGUAAACUCUCGUACUUAAAUCUCUCUAACAAUCAUAUCAAUGGUAAACUUCCCGAUUUGUCUUUAAGGUUUAAUGGUACUCGUAUUGGUGGUACUUGUAUAGACAUCAAUUCAAACCACUUUGAGGGCCCAAUUCCACCACUUCCUUCAAAUUCGCCGUUCUUAAAUCUCUCUAAAAAUAAGUUCAUAGGGCCAGUUACUUUCUUAUGUUCUAUCAGUGAAAACACAUGGAACUUUUUAGAUCUCUCGAGUAACUUAUUGUCUGGAGAACUUCCUGAUUGUUGGUUGCACUUUGAUAGCCUAUUCGCUCUUAACUUGGCAAAUAAUAGCUUCUCAGGAAAAAUACCAGACUCGAUGGGUUUCCUAAAUAGCAUCCGGACACUGAAUUUACACAACAAUAGGUUAACCGGGGAAUUGCCUUCAUCUUUAAGGAAUUGCUCCCAACUGAGAGUUUUGGAUCUCGGGAAGAACACAUUUUUUGGUGAGAUACCAACGUGGAUAGGGGAAAGUCUACAAAAUUUGAUUGUUCUUAGCCUAAAAUCUAACAAAUUUCAUGGAAAUAUACCUUAUCAAUUGUGCCAUCUGGGAUUUAUUCAAGUCUUGGAUCUUUCUUUUAACAAUAUAUCAGGAAAGAUACCAACGUGUUUCAAUAAUUUUUCAGCCAUGACCUAUGAAAGAUGUUCCAAUCCUACCAUUGGGUUCGGCAAAUACAUCUUAGUUCCCCCUAGAACUGGAUACUACUAUAAAUAUUUGGUCAAUUUACUGUUGACUUGGAAAGGAAGUGAAAAUGAGUACAAAAGUACUUUGGGACUGGUAAAGUGCCUUGACCUUUCGAGUAACAAAUUAGGUGGAGCAAUUCCUGAAGAGAUUAUGGAUCUUGUGGGGCUGAUUGCCUUAAACCUUUCAAGAAACAAUUUAACUGGACCAAUCACUCCGAAGAUUGGUGAGUUAACAUCAUUGGAUUUCCUGGAUUUGUCUAGAAAUCUGUUUUCUGGAAGUAUUCCAUCUAGCCUCUCUCAGUUAAGUGGUCUUGGUGUCUUGGACUUGUCGUACAACAACUUGUCAGGAAAAAUCCCAUUAGGCACUCAGCUCCAGAGUUUCAAUGCUUCAGUGUACGCUGGAAAUCUUGAACUUUGUGGCCUUCCACUCGCAAAUAAGUGUCCGAAUGAAGAAUCCACUCCAUGUCCAGGCAGAAAUGAUGGUGCAAACACUCUUGAGGAUGAGGAUGAUCAGUUUAUGACUCUUGGAUUUUACGUGAGCUUGAUUCUUGGUUUCUUUGUUGGAUUCUGGGGAGUCUGCGGAACUUUAAUGCUGAAUAGGUCGUGGAGACAUGGUUACUUCAACUUCCUGACUAGUAUGAAAGAUUGGGUCUAUGUGACAGCAGCUGUGAAUAUUGCCAAACUGCAAAGAAAGUUUAGGAACUAACUAAACGGUAAUACUCCUUAACAUUGGGUUUCAGUCAUUGUUGUCAGCUCACGUGCUUUUAAUUUCUUCAUCCUUAAAUUUUACUUUUUUCAGCUUUUGUUCCGCUAACUAAUUGUUCAUCUUUUUUUUUUUUUCAUUCACCAUCUUUUUGGCAGGGUAUCUUUCUGAAAAUAUAUUUGGAAUCUUUCUGAAAAUUAACUCAUAUGAUGCACAUUGUAUUUUUGAGUAUAUGCUUAAAGAAACUUGUAUGUGGUUCUCCUUAGACCAUCGUCGAUCUAUGCGUUUAUAUACUCUUGUUAGAGUUCAAUUAUGCUAUUAAUCCAUUACAGCAAUAAAGGCAGUCAAAUUCUGCUCUGCUAUUGAUCAAUGUUUGCUCUUUUUUCCUUUUCAUUGGGUGAAUAAAUAAUAAGAGACAAAUCGAAUCUUUCUAUUUAAAGAGUUGUUAACUAAUAAAACUACUAAAUGGAUGAUAAAAUUAAUUAAUUAAGCUAGAAUAAUCUUAUUAACAAAGUAGGUGGUAGGUUCGUAUGAUUCCGGAUCACUGGUACUAAAAUGUGAAGGAAGAGAUCGAACUUUACAAGAAUUUGUUCUUACUGUAUUCGAACUGGUAAUUGAUUAAAUUUGAUUAAAUUUCUAUGAUGGUGACAUAUAAUGAUGAUGAUCAAAGACUUAAAUAUUAUUUUCAGAGAAGACUAUUGACUUGAAUGCAGACUCAGUAAUAUUAUUGAAUAUCACACAAGACUUUUCUAUCCUAAUUUUUAGCAAUUUUCCAAACGUAUCAUCACAUUCAAGACCCAGCUGACUCUAUAAUUUAACUAACGUGUUACUAACGCACAUUAAUAUUACAUCGCAUUUUCACUGCCAUGGCCAAUUUCAGCGUUUCUCAUCAUUACUCUCUAUUUUGGCAAGUAUGGUAGGAAUCUUUAAAACAGCGUACAAGAAUCAAGGGGAAGAAAUAAGAAACUGUAAAGGAACAUAAGUGGGAUAUAUAGUUUGUGGGAGCAUUCAAUUCAGUUCAUGGGGGCAUAAGCUUAAAUAAUUGAUGCAAUUUUAAGAGGUGUUUUUUCCCCCCUUGUACAAGGUUGCACACAACAGUGGUGAAUAAUAUUGCCAAAUUGCAACAAAGCUGCAGGGGCUAAAAGUUAAGUGUGUGAAUAUAUAUUAUUGCCAAAUUGUUAAGACUUAUAGUUUACCAAACUUUUGUCUAAUUGAUUUUUCUAAGGACAACGUUAGGUGUUGGUUGUUUUUUAAUCUGAAGUCUGAAUUUAACUUUUUUUUAGAUAUUUACUUAUUUUAGUAUAUUUAUUUUUUUAACUUGUCACUUAUCGUCAAACAAUUUUAUCUGAAUAAAAAAAGUAGAAAAAAUCCACUUUUAUCUGAAGUCUGAAAUCUAAAUGAAAAAUUUUAAUUUCAAAUCUCAAAAAUAGCCUUAACAAUUCAUGUAUUUCCAAUAUUAUGUAUAAAACCUAAUAUUUUUGUAUUAUCCUAAGUUUUCUUUUUAAUUGCUUUAAAUUUUUAUUCAUAUGGUAACAUCAACUAGACUAAAAUAUGGAACAAAUUAAAUUAUGUCAAUUGUGAUGAAUCAAAAAUAAAACAACACUAUUGACUUUAUAAUGAAAAUUGAUGUUAUAAUUACAUCUUUUAUUACAAAAUUAAAUUAAAAUCAAUAGUGAUAGUAUUUUUUAUAAUGCUACCAAACUAAUCAACUUAUAAAAAUUAUAAACUAUAAAAAUAAAUAUAUGCAUUAUUUAAAAAGAUAUUUAUGUUAAAUUAUUAACUUUUAAACUUUUCUAUUCAGAUGUUGAAAAAAGAAAAACAAACAUGUCAUUUAAAUAUUUUUAUUCAGACCUAUUUAAACUUCAAUUAAAUUCAAACUUAUUCAAAUUUCAGAUGAAAAAACAAACACGACCUUAGUACUAAGUAAGUAGGGCCAAUUGCCCUUACUUGAUUAGAACAAGCCGUCGUAAAUUGUAUUCAUUAUUUAAGUGUCUGUCCCUAUGAAAUGAAUUGAAACACCCCCAUGAGUUGAAGAAUUUAAGCUCGUACCCUUGUGAACCUUAAUUGGAAUGCCCCAUGAGUUGAAGUUGCCAUCCCUUAAAUUGAAUUCAUUAUUAAGUUGCCAUUGUAAACUGACUUUUGUCUAUGAUUAUUUCGUCGGCCCACAAACAAUUGAUAAUUACAUAAGCAGCGCGCAACAAUCACACACUGGGCCUAAGAAUGAAGCUUGCUUUGUUUGAAAAAAAGAAAAUGCUAAUAGAAACAAGAUAAAUUUAGUACCAAUUUAUUCACUUAUUUAUUUUUUUAAAUAAACCAACACCAAUUUACUCUGUUUCUAUCAGCGCUAAUCAUCAUUUUGUUUGCUUACAAUUAUUGUCAUGGACUCCAGGAUUUUGGAUAUAACAAUAUAUCCUGAAUACCAAUGAUAAUUACAAUACAUUAUAAUGCAACUUAACAUCACCCCAUUUUCAUAGAAGACCAUUGAUUUGAAUGAAUACUCUGUUGUUGACUCAAGACUGUUAACUUAAUGAUUUCUUGUUCUUUCUUGAGCAUGCAUUACCACCCAUGUGCUUCAAUUUCAACCCUGUGAUUGUCUUGCCAACUGAUCAUCACAAACGGGUCCUCUUCUGAAUUCAUAAGUUGCAGUAUUUUGAAUUACAAGUCUCCUGUCAUCAAGUCUCCAUUCAGAUAUUUGAUUGAACCCCAAGCUGAAUUCUUCAAACACCCUGCUCAUCUUAACUGUUAAACAAUAAAUUUUCAUUGGAAUUAAUUACAAGUUACUAAUUAAGUAUUUCUAUCAAAAACUAUUUAAAAUAAUUGAGGAACUUAUCCUCCUCUGCAAUAUGCGCUUGCAGCCAUACCAAUCACUUCUGAAAGUCGCAUAAGAAAAAUAAUGUGUGUUAAUCCAUGACAGCAGCCUCAUCCGAUUUGAAUAUGGCAUCAUCAUAUCUUAAAUAGAUAAUAUUAUGAUCUUUAUACGACAGAAUAUAUGACAUUUUAACUCAAUAAAUUGCAAACAAAAGUAUGGAGACAAGUAUAUUUAUUAAGAAGACAAUUAAUAACCAUUUUAUUAAAGGGUUAAAAGGCAUGUAAGUACUUUUAAGGCAUGUAUUUUCACAGAAACCAUCUUUCUUCUAUCAUCUCUCAUCUUUUCACCUUUUCAUUAUUUUCCCAUUCUUCAAAAUUUCUCUCUUCUAUAUUUCUCAAAUUAUGGUGUAUAUAUGUCAAAGGCAUGUAUUUUCUGAUUUAAGGGGCUGCUGGAAUUAGGAAUAUAGCUUGUACUCUUAUAGGUUGUUGGAAAUUAUCAAAAGCCACAGAGCAGGCAGAAAGUCAAUGAAGCCAUUGGAUUGGAUUGCUAUUGCAUAUUAAGCUCCUGUUGCUGCAGCUACUGCUACUUUUUAAAAUCCACUCAAUUGGUCAAGAAAUUUUUUCAGAUGCUCCUAAAAAUAUUUAUAUAUAUAAUAUGUUUGACUUAAGAUUAUACUCCAAACUGAGAACCAAUACACAGUUAAACAAAAAGGUUUUCUUUCAGCUUUAGUUUUUAUAACUCCAUCCUUGACGCACUAGAUUAAAUCACUAACUUUCAUACAAACUACAAAAGAGAAGUGCAUGCAAUUGUAUCACAAAAUCCAUAAAGUGUGUCAACACGAAAACAUUUAGAGAAAUUGGAUUAUUAAUUUUCAACAGAGAGUAUUAGAAUUUUUGCAGCGUCAAGAUCAGAACCAAACUAGAUGACAGAUACAAUAAGGCAAGUGGUGAAGAAAUAGCACGAAGACACUCAGAAAAAGCAAAUUUAAAUUUGACGAGCUCCAGAUGCUUAACCUAAAAAUAACAAAGAUAUUGCAGGUUUAUAUAAUAGGAAAGAUGACACAGAAAAAGCAUGGAAAAGCUCACAGCUCCGUUGAAAACCGAAAAUCCAGCAUUGGCUUGCAGCCACGCUCAGUCUCGUCCUGAAAUCAGACCGAAUUCUGGGUAUGUGUAAAACAGGACAGCAGCCUCAUCCAAUUAUGUUCACCUAUAAACAAUAUGAAGUCAUACGACGUUUUUGUCUAUAAAUGAGAAAAAUAAAGUACUAUUGAUCUUUUGAGAAACAUAAUUCUUUUUUUUUUUUUUUUUGGCUAAGAAACAAAUCUUUUGAGAAACAUAAUGAUAAUUCGAAAUGAAAAAUAGAUACGAACAAUUAAGUGGAAAAUUUAAUUUGUGAGUGCAUUUCAAUUCAGUUUAUGGGGGCAUAAGCUUAACUGAUGGGUGUAAUUUUAAGAGUCUUUUCUCUUAAUCAACCAGCAUGAAUAAUAUUGCCAAAUUGUUAAUACUUAUAGUUUACCAAACAUGUGCCUAACUACAUUUUUGUCUAAUUGAUUAUUUAAAAGGAUGGAGCUAGUAUUAGGCAAGUGGGGGCAGUUGCUCUCGCUUGAUUAAAACAGCCGAUAAAUUGCAUUCAUUAUUUAAGUCUCUAUCCACGUGAAUCUAAAAAUUCUAUUAAAAAACUUCUAUUUUUUUAACGAUAAUUUAAAAAGACUACCAAGAAAUUUCUUUUCCAAAGGCAUAUUUACCUGAACGAAGACUUGUUGAGAAGGACAAGGUUUAGCUACUCCAAUGCAGAAUAUAAAACACAAGAGGCUAGACUUAACAAUAUAUCCUCAAUACCAAUGAUAAUUACAAAAUCAUUUUCAGAGACCUUGUUAACUUACAUUAUAAUGUAACUUAACACCACCUCAUUUUCUGAGAAGAUUAUUGACUUGAAUGAAGAAUCUGUUGUUGACUCAAGACUAUAGACCUGAAUGAAUUCUCGAUCUUUCUUGUGCAUGAAUUACCGCCUCAAUAAUUCAAUUUCAACCCUCUGAUUGUUUUGCCUACUGACCAUCACAAAAGGGUCCUCUGAAUUGACAAGUUGCAGUAUUUUGAAUUACAAGUCUCCUGUCUUCACUUCCCCAUUCAGACAUUUGAUCGAACACCAAGCUAAAUUCUUCAAACACCCUGCUAAUCUUAACUCUUAAAAUGUUCUGAUUGAAUUUUAAAUGGCAGUAAAUUUUUCACUGUAGUUAAUUACAAGUUACUAAUUAAGUAUUUCCAUAUUAGUUAAUUGUAUGAAAAUAAUCGAUGAACUUAUCCUCCUCUGGAAUUAUGAAUCUAGAUUGUACUCUUAUAGGUAUCGGAAAUAAUCAAAAGCCACAGAGCAAGAAGAAAGUCAUUGAAGCCCUUGGAUUGGAUUGCUGCUAUUGCAUAUUAAGCUCCUGCUGCAGCAGCUAGUGCUAUUUUUUAAAUCUACUCAAUUGGUCAAGAAAGUUUUUCGGAUGCUUCUAAAAAUAUUUAUAUGUAUAAUAUCUUUGACUUAAGAUUGUACUCCAAGCUGAGAACCAAGACACAGUUAAACAAAAAAGUUUUCUUUCUGUGUUAGUAUUUAUAAAUUCAGACCUUGACACACUAGACUAAAUCUCUAACUUUCAUACAAACUACAAAAGAUAAGUCCAUGCAAUUGCGUCACACAAUCCAUAAGUAUGUCAUCACAAAAACCUGUAGAGAAAUUGGAUUAUUAAUUUUCAACAGAGAGCAUCUGAAUUUUUGCAGCUUUUACAGCAUCGAGAUUCAGAACAAAACUAGAUAACAAAUACGCAAUAGGCAAGUGGUGAAGAAAUAGAGCGAAGACACCAGGAAAAGGCAAGUUUAAGUUCGAUAAGCUCCAGAUGCUCAACUGCAAAAUAACAGAGAUAUUGCAGGUUUAUAUAAUAGGAAAGAUGACACAGAAGAAGCAUGGACAAACUCACAGCUCUUUUGAAAGCCAAAACUCCAGCAUUGGCUUGCAGCCACACUCAGUCUCGUCCUGAAAUCAGAGUCAAUUUUGAUGACAUGAAGCCUUAUAAACAUAGUUAGAGAACAUUAAACUUUGUUCAUAUUGAAAAAUGGUUAACUCUUCCAUUUCUUGUCCACAUAAACCUUAAAGGCAGACACAAGGUCGCUUCUAGAACCUUUGACAGCAGCCACUAUACUAAAGAUGAUUCAAAACAAAAAUAUCAUAUUCACAAAAAUAAGAUAUACAGGAACAAGGAACUCUUACGUUCUAUUGAUCAAACACCAUCUAUUCCACCUGAUUACAUUCUCAAGAGGAAUUGAAAAAAUGUUUUGGAUAGGAAAGUUUGUUGGAUGCAUGCAAGUUUAUUUGCCACAGAGCUUCCAUUAUGGAGCAGUCUUCUUUCAAUAUCUCAGGCCAUGCAAAAGGGACAUAGCAUGUUAAUUCAAGUUGGACAAAAAGCAUGUGGUUCUUACAAAUGUGAUAUGUGAAUAAUGUGCGACUAAAACAAGUACAUCAAUGUAGUUCUGAGUCCUUUACAGUCAUAACCUGAAGUCUUUCGGGAUCAUCUCCGAUACUCUAUAUCUUAAGUUAACCAUUUUCUGUAUCAUUUUACAAUUAUACAACAAAGAUUAUCAGUCACUCCUUAUACCACCGAGGUAGAUACAAAUAAAGCAAUGAAAUAACUUUUACAACAACCUUCUCAGAUUCAAGUUUGUACCCACUAAUCCUUUAAAUUAUGGUCUUUCUUUUUCUUGAUUACUCUACUUAUCUCACAAUCAUCUUAUCCAAGAAUUGUCAUAGGUAGUGACCAAAACCUAACUUUGGGCUGGCUUUACUGCUUUCAGAUUUUUAGCUCCCAUAUCAUUAACUGACAACACUAAUUUUGAUGAAUCACAAGGAAGCCAUUUGGACUUCAUGCUCUCGCUCUCAAAGAGACAAAGGUCCCAAUUCUCAAAUUCCAAAUAGUUGGGCACACCAGAAAACCCAAUUAUGUUUGCAUUGCCUCAUAGAUGUCAGGUGAACCCAAAUUCUAAAUAACUACAAAUGAAAUUUGAUCUGGUUCUGAGUUAAUUCAACAAUGAAUCAAUACAAUACAGUAGUAAAAUAUUUCAUUUAUGAAUGAAACUACAGGAUUUUCAUGACGUUUAAAAAUAAUAGUACGAUAGGAUCCAACCAACAUAAACAAGCGGCUAACCUGUUAUGAAUCUCUCACAAAAACGUGGAGCUCUUAUAAGUAUUUCAAGAUGUUUUCUCCAUCAGUUUAUUGGCGGCAGAAUGUUUGACUUGGCUGCCAUACACCUGUCCAUGACCUUUCCCUGCAGUAUGAAAUGGACUUCUCCAAAUGGAACAUGAUGUCCAGCUCACACUACAUAUUAAGUAAUUAAACAAGAAACUAUAUCAACUUUCUUGGAAUUGCAAAACAAUCGGGACCCAAAUUUUAAAAAAAAAUCAACAAGCUCUGUAUUUUCAAGAUGAGUCUGAAAUUUAUUGAUCUAUAUCACGAGAGAUCUUACCACAAUUCCAAAUCCACAGUCCGCGGCUUCAAAUAACAAGUACAUGAACUCCAAAUUAGCAAGCUCAUUGUGCAACAAGAAAGAAGUAAUGUUAACCAAUCAUUUACUAUUAAACACUGUUGAUAAUCACCCCCAAAAUCCCAGGGAACAAUUCAUACCCAAAAAGCAUAACAAAGUAAAAAUGAUAUCAUCACAACACAUACACACAGAUGAAACAUUUAUGCAGCAUGUUUCUGUACAAAUACAAAAUUAAGCGAGACCCAGAAAAUAAAGAUCAAAUCUUCAGAAACCCCAUCAAGCAAAAUCAUCAAAAAGCACUCAUUGUCAAUGUCAGCCUUACAUGUCACACCACAACACGAUUUUGAUACUUGACGGUCGCCACGUUGACAAGAAUAUCGCAUCUUUGAACCCUAAUUGCAAUAUUGAAACUUCCAACGGUUGGCAUAGACUAAGAUCUCUGAGGCGCAGGUUAGCAACAAGGAAGCACAUUCACUACGGAGAUUGUGUGCCCGUCAUGAAAGUCACAGAGCUAUCUUGAUUUAGAUUUCAAGCAUCAGAAAAUGAAAGUCACUUCGCUUAUAAUUUUAUCUUGUGAAUUUCUUUUUUCUAAUUUUAAAAUAAAUUAUUGAUUAAACAGAUUUACUAAUUAAUACUGUCAAAUAAAAGAAAUAACGAAAAUAAUCUCAAUUACUUUCACCGCACCUGCACGUUAAAACAACACCCGGAAAUUCAAAAUCCAACAACAACGGCAAGCAAACAUCACUCCGGUUAAUCAAGCUGUGGAUGCACGACGCCGUUUUUUUGCCUUGGUUUGCCAAUAUCGGUUAGUCACUAGUGCUUAAAUUUUAUGCCCCAAACUUCAACUACUCAUUUUCCCGCUUAAUUAUGACGUAAUAAAAUAUCCAAUUUCCUAAAUAUUAAAUUCAAAUUAGAGAUAUCGUAUAUAAUUCAUACAUACGCAUCCGACGACUAUAUAAGUGCCCUCAACAGAACAUACACCGCCUUAUCCCAACACUACUUGAUUAGCAAGCGACUGAGAAAGUUUCCAAAAACUAUAUUUUUCAGUUUCUAAAUUCUUCUUUCAUUCAUCAACCAAAACUUACCCACCAAAAAUCUUCUUAAACCCAUCUGAUUCAAUCUCGAUUUCUGAUUUCAUCGAUCACUUUUUGAUUCUCAAAACACCAACACAAUGCCUCCUCACGUUGGAUUAAGAUUUUAUCCAACAGAACAAGAAUUGCUGGAGUUCUAUCUCCUUCACAAAAUUACCCAAAACCCAAAUCUAUACCAAGCCGAUGAUGAUAUUCCAGUGAAAGAUUGUGAUCUCUAUGGUCCUCAUGAGUCAAACUUGAUUUGAGAUUUGUACGGAAGAGACCAAUUAAUGGGGGGUCAAGCACUCUACUUCUUCACCCAGUUAAAGAAGGUGUCUGCUAAGGGUUCGAGGUUCAACAGAAAGAUUGGCUUCGGUGCUUGGCAGAGUGAGGACAGAGCCAAGCCUAUUCUCGUUGUUGGCUCUAAAGAUCAAAUUCUAAGGUCCACGAAGAGGUUUAGGUAUGAAAGUCGUAAAAACUUGGAACAAAAUGGGAGGUGGAUUAUGCAUGAAUUCACCAUUAAUUCAACCUUGUUGGGUGAUCAAUACUCGCAUAAAGCUAACGAUUUUGUUCUCUGCGGCGUCAAAAAGAACGAAUCGAAAAAGCGCUCGGAGAAAGCCAAUUUGGGCAUAAAGAGAUCGUUUGGUUCCAAGAGAAAGUUGAAGGAAAUAGUGACCUCCGGCAGCCACACUGAUCACGAUAAUGAGUGCUUUUAGAGCAAACGCUUAAAGGCUCAUCAAAAUUCAAUUUUGAUAGAACAAAACCACUCACCGUGUUCGAGUAGCAGUCUGAACCCAGUGGAGCACCAAGGGGAGAUCAUACAUUCGGUGCCUCAAUAUUCAACUCUCUUUGACGUUGAAAGAUAUAGGGGUAGUCUUAUCCAAAUCCUAGAAGAGGAUAAGCAUGAUGAGGGCAGUCAAACUGGUCAACAGAGGGCUGAAGCAGAGGCAGUUUGUGUUCAACAAAACCAAGCAAAUGACAUCCCAUGCUCCAGUAACAACAAUGUGCAGACUGAGGCAGUCCUAAACAAGCGGCAAGAGGCUGUUGAAGAAGAGGCACUUUUGGCUCAACAAAAUAAUCCAAUUGAGUUGUCGUGCCUUGAUAACAUCUGGGACAUUGUGGAAUCCGAAGUGGAGAUUGAUUCUUUACCUGACAUACUUGUUUUUGAUGUGGACGAGCUUUUGUCUGAACUCGAUGGGGUUACUGCCUGUAGAGUUUCUAUCGAGGGUCAAUCAAGUGCUUAAUCGAGUAAUGUAAUUGCAAGUAAUGCACUAGAGAGGAGUGGGAAAUUCUAAUCUCACUCUUGUUCUCUCUGCUUUGUCAUCUGAUUUUGUGAAAGCAAUACUUGGAUAGAGCUACUGCGGUUGAGAAACAAGUCGUCGUUCGUGGCUGCACCUGUCAAGUUACACGAUCUGCUUUUCUAUGUUAUGUAAAUAGUUUGUUUCUUUUUCAAUUGUAAUAUAAUCAUGUCAUAUUCCAUUUUUUGAAAUGAAGUUAUGGCUCUAAUUAUAAGAUUUGUUUAAAAAAUUGAUAUUCCAUGAGUUUUAUGCUUCGCACAUAUAUAUAAAUUGAUUAGUUUCAAAAGCAGGGGCAGAUGAAUGAAUAAUUGUGAUUAUAAUAAGAUUUUGAUGAAAGCUGAGGUUUUUUUAUUGGAAGAAUCGGAAGUGGGGAUUUACUUUUUAAGUACAUGAAAAUCUUAUUCCGGUUCAAGAAAAUGUUUAGGUAUGAAAGUCGUAAAAAUUUGGAACAAAAUAGGAGGUGGAUUAUGCAUGAAUUCACCAUUAAUCCAGCCUUGUUGGGUGAUCGAUGCUCGCAUAAAUCACUUGAUUUUGUUCUCUGUCGCAUGAAAAAGAACGAAUCGGAAAACAACUUAGAGAAAACUUUCGUUUCCUAUGAUUCCAUAUUUGGGCUGCAAGUGUCCUUCAUUUUUGAUGUAGCAGAGAACAAACUUGAGUGCUUUAUGCAAGUAUUAAUCACCCAACAAGGCUGGAUUAAUGGUGAAUUCAUGCAUAAUCCACCUCCUAUUCUGUUCCAGAUUUUUACGACUUUCAUACCUAAACCUUUUCUUGAACCCUAGAAUUUGAUCAUCAGAGCCAACAGCGAGUGUCCCUCACUUUUGCAAUGGUUUUUCUUUUUAUUAGUCUUUCAGCAAAGCUUAAGCACUUCUUGUUAAAUCUAACCUCUUUCAGUUACAUAUGGCCAAAAAAUAUGGAAGGCAACAUGUGAUGAGUAAGUUUAGUUCAUAUUUUCUAAUGAAUGGCUAUGCUCCCCUUUAUUUUGGUAGCUUCUUGGGAAGCAUAUCCUGAAGAAUCUUUCUUAUUUCAUUUUUAACAUUUUUAGGUACCAUCUUGAAGAAUUUUUUUCUCUCUUUUUUUCUUUUCAGUUUUAAAAUUGUUAUCCUUGAAAUCUCCAGUGGGAAAAGAAAGGAUAAACAUGUCGAGUUUUAUCUUAGUUUUGGUGCAGUGGUUUUGGAAGCUCUAAAAAGGAGGAAAGAUUCUUGAUGCAGCUAAUAAAUGAUUGAAUUUGAACUUUUACCAAAUAAGAAACCGAAUACUCAUUGAUUGUUGGAUUAUGGUGUGCUCUCCCAAAUCAUAACCGGAACAAGAUUUUCAUGUACUUAAAAAGUAAAUCCCCACUUCCGAUUCUUCCAACAAGAAACUUUGUUGUUUACUUUCCUUUCACAAACUAUGAAUUAAAUUUACUUGUAAUUGAGUGAUAAACAAUCUUAAUAGGUUCUUGAUUGAAUUUAUAUGUUGUGUAUCUGCUAUAGCAUUUUGUUUUGGUAAAGCUUAUUUUAUUCAUUAUUUCGGCUGACCACCAAUUUAUUGAUACAAGCUAGGAAAGAGCCAGAAAAGGGCAUGUCUUAGUGGAACAUAUCAGAACAAUACUUGGUUUUAGAUUGGGUUUCUUAGAUUGAGUUUAACUUGAUUCCAAAAGGGCCAUGCUUAAUCUAAAAUUUAUGAUGAACUAGAUAUAAUGAUUCAUCUUUUAGGGUAAAUAGAACCUAAACGUGUAAUAUUGUAUCUUAUGUUGGCAUAACAAUUAGUCACUGUUAGGUUGCAUAUAGAUAUAAGACAUCCCACAUGCGACAGCUGAGGAUAUAUGAGGAUUCUACCUAGUGCUGUAGCAGAUGCUACAACAACUAAACCAAAAUUUGCAAGAAUUAGUCAAGUCCAUUAAGAGAGUUUAGUCACUCAUCUACUUUAUUCCCAUUGAUUUUAUCAUUGUGUUUAACGUGAAAGUUUGCUUUUCUUCAUAUUUACUUAUUGCAUUUUAUUAGAUAGUUUAUUAGUUUAAUUGUUCAAUCCACUUUCUAUUCAAGCAAAAUUGUUAAGGUUGUUAUAACAAUUUCUACAACAUCAAUUCAUGUGGAGACGAUCUUAAAUACUUUUCAUUAUAUCACUUAUUGUGUACACUUGCAAAUUGACACCCCAUAGCAUUUGAAUUUAAACUCAACAGAACAUCUAUUGAGACCUUUGAUCUCUCUGACAACCAACUCCUUUCUUCUUCAGUAUACCCUUAGGAAUAUUCUUCAUAUUAAUCUAGGCUAUAGCCAUUUGCAAGGUUCAAUUCUAGAGGCUUUUCAAAACAUGGUUUCUCUUAGAUUUCUAUCUCGCUCUUCUAAUGAGCUUGAUGGUUGGAUUCCAAAAUUCUUCGGAAACAUGUGUAGUUUAAAUAUAUUAUACUUGCACCGGGUAAUUUUUAAAAACCUCCCCUGAGGUUUGGGCUUGUUGCAAGUAGAUGGCGAGAAUCUAUUUAUUUGUAAAAAAUCCCCUACUGUCAAUUAAUUUUAACAUUGAUCGUUAGUUGACUGUGCAAAGACAAUAUUACCCUUAACAACAGUUUGUAGACUGACAUAACUAAAAAAAAAACUAAAAUUGUUGGCUAUUUUACCCUCUUUAAAUUAUUGAUAUUUCUUUAAAGUUCCUACAAGAAAGAUAAAAUUAAAAACUUGAAAAAUCCUCUUUAAAUUAUUGAUAUUUCCUUAAAGUUCCUACAAGAAAGAUAAAAUUAAAAAUUUGAAAAUGAAAUAGUCAUAAUCUUUACCAAUGAUAUUGUAAAUCUUUGGAAUUGACAAUGAUAAAAUUGUCAAAAAAUAGGGUUUGUGCUUUUCGCGCCAACAAUUUUAGUUUUUUUUUUAGUUAUGUCAGUCUACAAACUGUUGUUAAGGGCAAUAUUGUCUUUGUACAGUCAACUAACGGUCAAUGUUAAAAUUAACUGACGGUAGGGGGUUUUUUACAAAUAAAUAGAUUCUCGCCAUCUACUUGCAACAAGCCCAAACCUCAGGGGAGGUUUUUAAAAAUUACCCUACUUGCACCACAACUAUCUUAAUGGACAGUUCUCGGAGCUGAUUCAAAAUCUGUCCGAAGGAUGUACAACAAAUUCACUUGAGGAGCUACAUUUACAAUACAAUGGCAUCUCAGGGCCAAUACAUGAUCUUGGAGCAUUUUCAUCUCUAAAAGUAUUGUAUGGUGGAGAAAAUCGUUUAAAUGGAACUAUAAACAAAAGCCUCACUCAUUUGUUCAAGCUUGAGACUUUUUCACUUGAUGGGAAUUCAUUCACAGGUGUUAUCUCUAAAACUUUCUUUUCCAAUAUGUCCAACUUGCAGGAAUUGUUCUAAGCUGACAACUCAUUGGCUUUGAAAUUGAGCCAUGAUUGGGUUUCUCCCUUUCAACUGAAAUGUUUAAGUGUCGCCUCUUGUAAGAUGGGACCUCAUUUUCUAAAACGGCUUCAAACUCAUAAUCAACUUACUUCACUUGAUAUCUCUGAUACUAGCAUCUUGGAUACUGUCCCUGAUUGUUUUUUAGAUCUAUUUAUUGAACUCUUUCUUCUAAGUCUCUCUAACAACCAUAUCAAAGGUAAGCUUCCUGAUUUUUAUUUUUUAAAAUCUAAUGAUAUUGUUAUAGAUAUCAGUUCAAAUCACUUUGAGGGUCCAAUUCCACUACUUCCUUCAAAUUCUACGUUCUUGAAUCUCUCCAAAAAUAAGUUCUUAGGGUCAAUUAUGUUCUUUUAUUCUAUGAUUGAAAAUACAUGGAAUGUUUUUAUCUCUCAAGUAACUUUUUAUUUGGAGAGCUUCCCAACUGUUGUUCGCAUCUUGAUAGCCUAUUUCUUCUUAAUUUGGCAAAUAAUAGCUUCUCCAGUAAAAUUCCAAACUCGAUAGGCUUCCUACAUAAUAUCCGAACACUGAGUUUACACAACAAUUGGUUAACCAGAGAAUUUCCUUCAUUUUAAAGAAUGGCUCAUAACUGAGAGUUUUGGAUCUUGGAAAGAAUGUAUUGUUCGGUGAGAUACCAAAAUGGAUAGGCGGAAGUCUUCAAAUUUGAUUAUCUUAAGCUUGAAAUCUAACAAUUUUCAUGGAAAUAUACCUUUUCAGUUAUGCCAUCUGGCAAUCAUUUAGAUCUUGGAUCUCUCUUUUAACAAUAUAUCCGGAAACAUACCAAAGUGUUUCAGUAAUUUUUCAGCCAUGAGCCACGAAAACAAAUUCCAAUCCCAUCAUUGGGUUGGCCUAUAAUAUCUGGGUUCUCCUUCGAUAUGUAUAUCAGUAAAGAUAUUUGGACAAUGUUAUGUUGACAUAGAAAGAAUGUGAACAUGAGUGCAAAAAUACUUUGGGAUUUGUACCUUGACCUUUCAAGUAACAAAUUAUGUGGAGUAAUUCUUGAAGAGAUUAUGGACCUUGCGGGGAUGACUGCCUUAAACCUUUCAAGAAACAAUUUAACUGUACCAAGCACUCCAAAGAUUGGUCAGUUAAAAUCAUUGGAUUUCCUGGAUUUAUAUAGAAACCACUUUUCUGGAAGCAUUCCGUCUACCCUUCCUUAGUUAAGUGGUCUUAGUGCCUUGGACUUGUCAUACAACAACUUGUCAGGAAAAAUCCCAUUAAGUACUCAGCUCCAAAACUUUAAUGCUUCAUUUGAUACUGGAAAUCUUGAACUCUGUGGCCUUCCACUUCCAAAUAAGUGUGCAGAUGAAGAAUCAACUCCAAGUCCAAGCAGGGAUGAUGAUGCAAACACUCCAGAAGAUGAGGAUGAUCAAUUUAUAACUCUCGGAUUUUACGUGAGUUUGAGUCGUGGUUCUUAGUUGGAUUCUGGGGAGUCUGCGGAACUUCAAUGCUGAAUAGGUCGUGGAGAUAUGGUUACUACAACAUCAUGACUAGUACCAAAGAUAGGCUCUAUGUGACGGCAGUUGUGAAUAUUGCCAAACCACAAACAAAGUUCAGGAACUAAUUAAACGAUAUUACUCCUUAAGUGUCAACUCUCAAGUGUGUUUUAGUCAAUAUUAUUGGCUCUCAGCCUCUCACAUAUGAUUUUAAUUUCUUAAUCCUUAAACUUGACCCUUUCCUCUUGCAAGCUUUUGUUUCUCAAAUUAAUUCUUACCAUUUUUUUUGUCAGGGUCUUACUGGGAUGGCUCGCAUUAUGUCUUUAUUAUUUAGAGUGCUCAUUUUGUAUUUGGAAUCUUUCAAAAAAUAAACUUGUGCUCUCAUGUGAUGCACAUUGUAUUGUUAAGUGUAUGCUUAAAAAAACUUGCAUGUGGCUCUCUUUAGACCAUUGUCGAUCUAUGCAAUUAUGCACUCUUGUUAAGAGUUUAAAUAUACCAAUAAUCCAUUACAACAAUAAAGACAGUCAAAUUCUGUUCUGUUAUUGAUCAAUGUUAGCUUUUUUUUUCUUUUCAUUGGGUGAAUAAAUUUAACUUUUAUUUGGCAAAUAAAAAAUAUCUCAGAUUUUUGCAUGUAUUACACCUCUCAAUUAGUAUUAACUGAAUAUUUAGAUUAGGGAAAUUAUCAUUUAGAUUAGGGAAAUUAUGUCUACACCACCUUUAUUUUUUUCAUAUGUAUAUCUAACUACUACAAAAUUUUGACGUAUUCUUUACACAAUUUAUGUUUCUAAACUUGCAUUAAUCAACCAUUUUGAGCUAAAAAUAACUAUUUUAACACUAAAUAAAUUAAAAAACUAUUUUAUUCUACAAAAUUUUUAAAAAAUUAUAAUUACAAAAAUACCCCUAAAUUCAAUAAAACAAAUAAUCUCAAAAUUCAAGAUUAUAAUUUCAAGUGAAAUUAUAAUUAUAAAAAUUAAUAUCUUGUAAUUAUAGUUUCAUUUAAUUUUUGUAAUUAAAUUAGGUAUAAGAAAGUUUACAAAAAUUGACAUGACGAGAAAAGUUUCCUAUAAUUAUUAUAAAAUUCCCUAUAAUUAGUAUUAAGAAACUUCCCUAUACAAAUUAAAUCAAAAUAUAAUUAAAAAAUUAUCAUGAUAACUUUUAAAUGAAAUUGUAAUUAUAAAAAAUUAAUAUAUUGAAUUUAGAUUUAUUUUAUUAAAUUUAGGGGUAAUCUUGUACUUAUAUUUUUUUUAUUUUUCAAAAUUUUGUGGAAUAAAAUAGCCUUUUUAAUACAUUUAGGGGUAAAUAUAGUUAUUUUUUAGUGUCAGAGUGGUUUAUUGAUAUAAACUUUAAAAAAAGGAGGUGUAAAGAACAUGUCAAAAUUUUGAUAUGGUUAGAUGUAUAUAUGCAAAAUAAAGGCAGUGCAGAGAUAAUUUUCUUUGGAUUAACUCUCUUUUUUUAAUGAUUUAUACCGCAAAUGAAAAAAACUUUGAUAAAAUAAUAGAGAUCUCAUUAAAAAAUAUUCAUUACUCAAGGUGACAUAGUAAACAUAGGCAUAUUCUAAAAAACAAAAGGAGUAAAUAUUAGUAUAAAGCUAAAACACACAACACAACUACAAAAAGAUUAAAAUAACUAGGUUGCAACGGUAGAGAAUUUGUAGCUUGGAGUUCCAUUAAUGUCUCACUACUCGAGAGAUGAAAAGUAAACCUAAACUAGUCAUCGGAAAAGUCUUAGGUGCUCCUGAAGCAUAACUCUUUUUGAGAGCCCGGCAUGGUGCCGGCUACAAUGACAACGGCAUUGUAGCCAAACCCUUAUCUUUAACGUCAAUACUUCUUUUCAAUUGAUUGGAUUGCCAGUCAAUAACACGAUCGCGUAAAUUGCGGUCCGUGACUUCCAAGAUUAAGAAAAAAUUGAUGUUUUUUUGGAUGGAAAAAUAGCUUUAAGAGUUGGUUAAGCCACGUUAUCUUCUUUCAAGAAAUUAUUUUCUAUUCACAUCAUAUAUACUUGACUUUUUGACCUAACCGACAUCCACUAGAAUUUAUUAUUAUUAUUAUUAUUAUUACUGCUACUAUUAUUUUUUAUGUAAGUAACAAAAGAAGAGAAAAUUUUGUUAUGACAGAAAUUGAGAGUUUUUAUUAUUAAGAUAAUAUUAACUAGUAUGGUUAAUUUGAUCAAAUCCAAAAUUAAUUAUUGUUUAGGAAAAAGUUUUUAAGUGUUGUAGCUCUUUGUACGUAAUUCCUUAACGUUGAUACGAGCUUAGUAAUUUUUAACUAUUAAGAUAAAAUUUUGACAUACGAGAGUCGUUACUCAUUAGUCUGAAAAAAAAAUGAAUAAAUAAAACAAAAGAAGUGGGAGAAGAAAAUUUAACCACAAAAAAAUAAGAGAAAUGAGAGGUGGUUAUUUCUAGACUGAGCUUGAUUCAAAGUCACAAAAUAAAAUAACAUAAAUGACACAACCACAAAUACUUGUACAAAUUGAGUUAGCAAGUUAUAUGACAUAAUUAGAUUGAUUGGAUAAAAUACCAUAUGUGUUAAUUAUUUUCCUAAGUAGAAUCUUGGAGAAAAGGAAAAGUAAAAACCCUUCUUCUUAGUUACUAGCUAAUAAUAUUAUGUUUACUUAUUGGGAUAUUCAUUUAUGUCGCAUCUCAUUUCUAUUGAUUAAGUUCUUAAAUUCAUAGGUUAAAAAUUAACAAUAAAAUCUAUUAAUAAUCAGUAAAUAGCAAAAAUGAAAAGAAAGGAAGAGAAAAAAAAAGCAUCAAGGACUUACAAAGUCAAUUAAAAGUUGAAAGCUGAGAGUGAAAACUCUUAGUUAUGUUAUAAAUAGCAUAGAGCCCUCCCAUAUUCGUUGCAGAGAAAGAGAGAGCGUGCAUGUGUAUUUGAUUAUAAAGAGAACAAGCGGCUCAAAAAUGGUGAUGAUGUCAGUUUGCUUCUUGUUAACAAUAAUAUUAGAAGGGUGUUGGAGUACGGAGGGAUGUUAGGGGCAUGAGAGAUCUGCUCUCUUAUGACUUAAACAUAAUUUCUUUGAUGAUCCUUUCAAUCUUGAAAACUAGAUGGAUAAUGAGAAUCAUUUAGAUUGUUGCAAGUGGGAAGGAGUUGAGUGCAACAUCUCCUCAGGCAGAGUGAAAGCACCAUAUCUUAGUAAUGGAAUAUCAUUUUGGUAUCCGACAAUGCAGCAUCUGAAUGCUUCCUUGCUUACCCUUUUUGAACAACUUGAGUCUCCUAACUUAGAAAACAACAACAUAGUCAGUUUUGUUGAGAAUGGAGGUACUUAAUAAGUUUUAUCAGUUCCAAAAUUUUGAAAAUUUUUUAAAAAGUUUAAUUUUGAAAUAAUUAACACAAGUCUAUAUGAUCUGUUUUACGAGGUCUGGAGAGGUUAUCAGGGUUAAGCAACUUGAAGUUUCUUAAUUUAGGCGGUAACCUGUUUAACAAUAGCAUCUUCUUAUCUCUAACUAGUCUUUCAUCACUAAGAACAUUGUUAUUGCGUUCUAAUAGAUUGAAAGGAAGUAUUGAUAUUAAGGGUAAUUAAGCUUCAUCUCUUUUAAGGUCUACUAGAAGCAAAAAUAAGCUUCAUUAAUUAGUCUGUCACUAGAAUCAGAUAUUUGUAAUGCCAUAUUGCUUCCUUCAUUAACUCUAUUUAAGUCUUGGCAUAUGCCAUAUACGUAAAACUGGAUUGCUUGAGCAAUUUAAAGGUGCUGGACAUGGGCCUGAAUCAAAUUGAAGAUUUUAGUGAUCGUCUAAAAGGUAAUUAAAUGAAUGUGAAGCUUGAAGUAGUUAUAUUUUGUUAAAAGUGAAUGAGGUGGCGUGUUGAGCUGGCAUCAGUGGGGACCAUCUGCUGUUAAAGUUGUUAUUAUGUAUGACAACUUAUUUCUUUUUUUUAGAUAUAUAUAAGAGGAAUUCGAGUUGGCAGAUAGGGAAACUUAGUGAUUGAUUUUGAGAGUCGCAAUGAGUGAGACAAAAAAAUCUUAGUAUGGAAGAUUUAAUCCCUAUAGUCUUAAGAAUCUUUUGUAACUCAUCUCUUUCUAAUAAAGUUUCAAAGCAAAGUUGAUUUCAACUGUGGAUGUAGGCAUCUCUCUUCCGAACCACGUUAUAUGACCUUGUUAUUUUUCUUUCUUUCUUUAGUUCUUGCUUGCUCUUGGUCCUGGUUUCAUUCAAUUUCUACUUUCUUGGUUUGGUUCUCUCUAGAAGAGGCUUUGUUUUUUUUUUAAUUAAAUUAUAACAAACUGGUAUCACAGCAUUAGUAGUUUGUUGUUCUUGGCUCUAUAAUGGCUACCACUAGAUUUGAUCUUGAAAAAUUCAAUGGGGAGAAUGAUUUCUACUUGCGGAGCCUUAAGAUGCAUGCAAUCCUCAUUCAACAUGGGCUUGAUAGUGCCGUUGAGUAAGAUGAUGAUCAAAAGGCUAAGAAAGAAAAGGAAGAAGGCUCAUCUAGUUUUACUGGAGAUAGGAAGACCAUCAACAACAAAGCAUAUAACACCAUUAUUUUGUAUCUUUUAGAUAAAGUGCUAAGAGAGGUGAUAAAAGAAAGAUCUGCAUCUGGAUUAUGGGCAAAACUUGAGGAACUACACUUGAAUAAAUCUUUAGCUAAGAGAUUGUAUACGAAGAAGAAGCUCUAUACAUUCUAAAUGAAGACAGGGACCAAUAUGAAAGAUCAUUUGGAUAAGUUUAAUAAACUAAUCUUGGAUCUUGAAAAUGCAAAUAUUGUCUUGGAAGAUGAGGACAGAGCACUUAUUCUUUUAAGUUCAUUACCAGAUUCAUAUGAACACUUUGUAGAUAUUCUGCUAUAUGGCAAACAAACACUUACUCUAAAGGAUAUCAAGAAUGCUCUAGAAUCAAAGGAUUUGAAGAAAAGAACAGAAGACAGGGAUUAGAACCAAGGUGAGGGUCUAGUUGCCAAGUUUAGACUAGAGAAGAAAGCUAAUACAGAUAAAAAGAAUAAUAAUUAAAAGGAUAAAGCUGAUAUGAAAAAAAAAAUGUUACUUCUAUCAUAAAAAAGGACAUUACAUCAAAGAUUGUUUUGAGAAGAAGAAACUUGAAAAGCUGCAGGAGGAGUCAAAUGGUAAAACUGCUAUUGCAUCUGAAGACGAGGGAAAUACUGAUGGUACGGAUGUUCUUAUUGCUGCUAAGAAACACCCAUUGGUGAGUGGAUUCUAGACUCUAGAUGUUUUUUUUUUCAUAUAUGUCCAAAUAGAGAAUUCUUCAAGACAUUUGAGAGUAUAAAUGGUGGCAAAGUCUUUUUAGGAAACAACCUUGCUUGUAAGGUUCCAAGAAUUAGUACUAUUAGUAUCAAGAUGUUUGAUAGGGUAACUAGGGGACUGAAAUAAGGUAUGUUCAAGACUUGAAAAGAAAUUUAACUUCCCUAGGGAUGAUUGAUCAAUUGGGUUGCAGCAUUAAGGUAGAGAUUUAGUCAAUAUUGCCAGCUAUCUAAUGCACUCAUAUCUAUUGUAAGCUCAUUUUAUCAUCUAAUCAAUGCUCGGUCAACAGAAAAAUAAACUUUUUGCACAAGCUCAAUUUUAAUCUGGUCUUGACUCAUCUUAAGAUUUUUGAGCCUCCAGAAUCCAAAUUUGACAUCCGUUUAUCUAUUUGGAGCCUCGAAUUACGUGAAAUUAAUAUUUUACCUAAUAAACACACAAAAAUACACAAAAUUAGAUAUAGUUAAGACAUAAUUAAUAAUCCCUAAUAUAUUGCAUAAACACAAAUUAUAAUAUAAGUACAAAAUAAUAUUUUUAUCGCUUGAUAAUCAAACAAUAUUUAAUACUAAUCAACAUCUUUCUCUAGUGAUAACAAAAUAUAGUCCUAUCUUAAAUCAAUUUUUGUCAAUUUAAUUUUGAAAACCCUCUUUUUGCAAAAAGUAUUACUACCAAUAUUAUAAACAACUUCCUACGAACAAAGCACACAAUUAUUUUAGCAAAAUAAACACAACACCGAAUAAAGAUAAUAAUACUUUUCAAAAAGAAAUGAGACAACUAAAUAACAAAAUAAUUAAGAGGAGAAUAUAAAGAUAAAACCUGAAAGUUUGAGAUAAAAUCAUAAAGUAACUUUGAUGGUUUUAGGUAUUAAGCAUUAACCAAUGACCAAAAAGAAGAAAAAUAAACAAUUGAUUUGUUUCUAAAAAGUUAUUACUAGUAUUAGAAAAAACAAUCGGUGACAAGCAUUUAGUUGCUGUACAAAUUAAAAACAUCAGCCCUUGAACACAAUGAUAUUUUCAUAAAGAAAUAAGACAACUAAAUAGCAAAACUAAUUAUGAAUAGGUUAGAAAGAUAAAACCUAAACAUUUGAUAUGAAAUCAAAGAUUAAGUUUGAUGAUUUGAGGCUUUAAGCAGUAACCAAUGGCUAUGAAAAGCAUAAAAAGUAAAUUGCUAUUCUUUUUUUUUUUAAUUAAUGCCCUUAUUGUGUCAUUGUUUAAGGAAGAAAUAUUGUUAACGGAUAAGUUCACAAAUAUAGGGUUUUGUUUUUUAAAUGGAGGUUUAAAAGGAAUAAACAAUGUUUUAGUUAAAAUUUAUUAAUUUAAUGUCACAUAGAGAUUUUAUAGGGAUUAAAACUAUUAAUUCUAAUGAGAUUUUGUAGGGAUUUCGAUAAUUUAUUUCGGUAAAGAUAAUUAUAAAGCAAUAAUAAAAUAAAAUUAAUAAAUACAGAAUUAUGAUUGAGUUUGCUACAAAUUACGAAUUUUUAUCUUUUUAUGUAUAAAAUAAUAGAUUUAACGUAACUAUGGGGCCUUAAUCUAUAAUAGGCCCUAUCAACUGCCUAAUUUGUCUAAGGGAAGAGUCACUUAUGAGUGAGAAUUUUUUGAAAUUCAGUCAUGCGUCCGAUGCCAAGCUCAGAUUACCGUUUUUCUUAUUUAUUGUUUUUGAGGUUUAAGAACUGUUUCACACUGUCUCGAUUCCUAACAGCUUCAGGGAGCAAGGGCGUUACACUCUUCGAAUCCUGAAUUUGAUCAAUAGCAAACAUGUCGUCACAUACGAUCACAUGCAAAACAGAGUUGAGAAGCCACCUGGGCAAAAUUAAAAAUAAGCCAUGGCUCAAAAUUUGGGGGGAAAAAAUAGAACUUACCGUUAUGUGAGAUAGUGUUAGCUUCUCUAAACAAAAAACAAAAAGAAAUUAUAGACACAACAAAAAGAAAUUACUGUGGAGGGUGGAGACUAAGAGAAGAGAAAGAAAGAGUGGAUUUGAUGAGGUGAAAAAAUUAGGGCGGGUUAUGCCCUAAUUUUUGUUUUCACUUAUAUAUUUUGUCUUAUUAUCCUUAAUAACUCCUAAAUUAGUCUUCAAAUUUUAUAACUUUUAAUAAAAAUUUAAUGAUAAAUAAAUGAUUUAAUUAAAUGAAUGGAUUGUAUUUGAUUCGUUUAUCAUCCAUUUAUUAAACGAAUUAUAAACAAAUAAAUGAAUAAAUAUCCUUAAACUUAGAUUCAAUUUGUUUAUUUAGCGUAUUGAAUUGAAUUCACCUAUUUAUUAAACGAAUCAAUUUGGUAUAAAGCCAAUUUGAAUCUGGUCACAGACCGGUUUUGGUUCGUUUUGAGCGCAAUGGUAGAGGAAUGGGGAGUAUAAAGCCUUUCCGGUUUCUAGCUGCCUGGAUGACAGAUAAUCGGUUUGGGGAUUUUAUGCAGGACAAUUGGCAGAGAAAUAUGCCUUAUGCUCAAGCAGCUUCUAACUUCACAAGUAAGGUAGCUACUUGGAAUAGGGAAGUUUUUGGUAAUAUUUUUAAAAGGAAAAAAGAAUUGCUGGCUCAUCUUGGCGGGGUUCAAAAAGCCUUGGAAAGGCAGCCUCUCAGUAGCCUGUAUCGUCUGGAGGUACGGUUAAAAAAGAAGUUGGAAGAAGUUCUGUCUCAAGAGGAGCUGUUAUGAUAUCAAAAAUCUCGCAGAGAGUGGAUUAAAUAUGGGGAUCGGAAUACAUCACUUUUUCAUCAAAAAACCAUUACAAGGAGGGCUCGUAAUCGCAUCACUGCAAUCAGGGAUGAUGGAGGUAAUUGGCUUUAUGAAGCUCAAGAUAUUAAAACCCAUGCUGUGACAUUUUUCUCUACACCAUAUAAAUCUGAACAGGAUACAUAUAAGCCGUAUCAUAUGCGAGGGUGUUUCCCUCAAAUUGACCACACCCGAUUGGCGAGUCUUGCUGUGCCGGUGGAGAAGGAAGAAAUUCAUGAGGCAGUCUGUCAGAUGAGUCCUCUCAAAGCUCCUGGAAUCGAUGGCUAUCCUGCUGGGUUUUAUCAGGCUCAGUGGCAUAUUGUUGGUGAGUCUUUUAGUUCUGGUAUACAGGAAGUCUUUAAUUCGCACAGGAUCCCCAGAGAUGUUAGUAAAACUCUCCUAGUCCUUAUCUCAAAGACUGAGCGUCCCACAUCCUUCAGGAUGUAUCGCCCUAUAAGUUUAUGCACAGUAUUUUAUAAAACAGUAACCAAGAUUAUUGUGAAUAGACUCCAAGCUUUACUCCCUGAUCUUGUUGGCCCUCAUCAGACAAGUUUUGUCCCCGACCGGCAUAUUACGGAGAAUAUCAUCAUCGCUCAAGGGGUUGUCCACUCUAUGCGACGAAAGAUGGGUAAAAAAUGUAUAAUGGCUAUUAAGAUUGAUUUAGAGAAAGCAUAUGAUAGAUUGAACUGGAAUUUUAUUCAUGAGACUUUAAGGGAGCUAGCUUUGCCAUUCGAGCUCGUCCAGUUAAUAAUGGAGUGCAUUACUUCUAAUAGGAUGAACAUUUUAUGGAAUGGGGAAUUAACGGGGGAUUUUGCCCCUAGUAGAGGUGUUCGGCAGGGUGAUCCGUUGUCUCCUUAUAUUUUUGUUCUCUGUAUCGAGAGACUGAGUCAUGGAAUCUAUCGCUCAAUCCAGCAAGAACAAUGGAAACCAAUUCGUUUAGCUCGAAUGGGUACCCCCUUAAGCCAUUUAUUUUUUUGCCGAUGACCUACUUCUUUUUGCCGAGGCUUCUAGUGCACAAGCUCUCUUAAUAAAUUCAGUCUUAGAUGAUUUUUGUUUUAGCUCUGGCGCAAAGGUGAACAAAUUCAAGACUCAAGUCUAUUUUUCUAAGAAUAUCUCCGGGGCUGUAGCUGGCCGAUUAGGGCGUGAACUGGGGUAUACAGUCACAAAAGAUUUGGGCAAUUACUUAGGCAUGCCUCUGCUGCAUCGCCGGGUUUCAAAACAGACUUAUCAGGGAAUUCUGGAUAAAAUGCAGCAAAGACUUUCGGGUUGGGCUGCCUCCCAACUGUCCUUUGCAGGGCGUAUUACUCUCACCCAAUCUGUCCUCCAAGCAAUCCCUAUAUAUGCUAUGCAGUCUACUAAUUUACCGGCUAGUAUCAAGACUAAAAUUGAUCAAGUUUGCAGAAGAUUCUUGUGGAGUGGAAAUGACGAAAUGCGUAAGAUGAGUUUAAUUAGUCGGCACACUAUAUGUCAACCGAAGCUGGCUGGUGGGCUAGGAUUUAAGAGAUUAGAGGUUAUGAAUGAAGCGUUAUUGUUAAAGGUUGCUUGGAACUUGAUCACCGAACCUGGUAAGCUUUGUGCCCAAGUACUAGCUACAAAAUACAGAGUGUCUCUCUCGGAUAUCCCGCAAUUUCUUCCCACUCGGCAUGGCUCUCAUUUGUGGAGGUCUGUGUGUCGAGUUUGGGAUCAUGCCAAGCGAGGAUUACGUUGGAAUGUUGGUAAUGGACUGAGAGUUCAAUUUUGGUGGGACUGUUGGGCCCCUUGCGGCUUUUAUUUUGAAACCAAUACCUCCUGAACUUUGUGAUUUGUAUGUGGCUAACUUUGUGACUGCAGAUGGCACCUGAAACUGGCCGAAGUUCAGCUAUCUUUUAUCCCAUAAUGCAGUGAUGCGCAUUGCUUCAGUCCAUCCCCCUUCGGCGCGGAAUGGUGCUGAUAAAGCUUACUGGGCAGCUGCAACUCAUGGAAAGUUCACAGUGAAGUCAGCAUAUGACCACUUGGCUCAGCCAUACUUGCAUGAAAGGGAUAUGAUCUGGCGCUUGGCGUGGUCGUGGAAGGGACCGCAGAGUAUAAAAACUUUCAUCUGGUUGGUGCUGCAUAAUCGUUUGAAGACGAGGGGAGAGUUAGCUGCACGACAUUUAACCAUUGAACCACAUUGUGAGAGAUGCAGGUAUGAGUUGGAGACCACGAUCCACGUGCUUCGUGAUUGUCCUUAUUCUAGAGCAGUAUGGAUUCGACUUCUUCGGGACAAUAAUCAUCAUGAUUUUUUCAACAUUGAUCUUGCGGGGUGAAUGUCAAGAAACUUGCAAGCUUCAAACAAGUCUCCAGGUGGAAACCUUUGGCUUGUGCUGUUUGGAGUGGCUAUUUGGCGGAUUUGGUUCUGGCGAAAUCAUUUUAUUUUUACUAAGGAUUAUUGGGAUAGCAAUAGUAUUGCAAUGGAUAUCAAAGUCAGGGCUGCUGAAAUUCUACGAAGUAAUUCCUGCUUCUUUGCUGCUGGUAUAACCCGUAUCAAAAAAUGGAUUCAGUGGACUGCGCCUGUUUGGCCAUGGGUUAAAUUAAAUACAGAUGGUGCCAAGAAAUCUUCGGCGAUUGCAGGAGCUGGUGGACUAAUCCGUGACUUCAGAGGUGUUUGGCAAGUAGGCUACAGUGCAAAUUUAGGUGUUUGCUCAGUGACUUCAGCUGAGCUCUGGGGAUUAUUUCAUGGACUAUCUAUCGCUUGGCAAUAUGGGUUCCGCAGAGUGUACGUGGAAGUAGACAGCAUGUGUGUUAUGAGGUUAAUCUCCAAUCCAAAUCCUCCUAUCAAUGAGCAUUUUACUCUCAUUCAGGAAAUCCAAGCACUCCUCCGGCGUGAUUGGCUGACCAAAGUGGAGCAUAUCUAUCGAGAAGCCAAUGAAGCAGCUGAUUUCCUGGCUUUGUACAGUUUUUCCUUCUCCUUGGGUUUACAUUGUUUUCAAUCUAUUCCUCCAAAUAUGCUUUGCAUAUUGACUAACGAUGUUCAUGGGGUUGCACACUCCCGUUUAGUGUUGCCUUAGCUCUCUUAUGAGCCCUUUAAUGAUAAAAAAAAAAAUUAAACGAAUCAAUUUUUUAAAUCGAAACCCAUUUAAUUCGCAUAGAAUCAAAUUGAAUAAAACGAAUCUUGACCAAGAUUGCCACUCCUAAUUUUGGUACUUUCCAUUUUUAAUUAGAGUCAUGUAUUUUAUUUACAAUAUAAUUCUAUUUACAACAUAAUUGUGAUUUAGUUUACCUUUUAAGGUAACAUGGGGAAGUAUGUUUACCCUAUUAUAAAUAGGGAGGUAUUGUCAUUGUCAGCUCGAUUUCAAUUAUUUAAUAAAAUCUCUCUUUUAUAAUUCUUUUUGGAAUUAUCUAUCAAAAUCUUUCUUGUAGGAUCGCUUGAAUUAGAAUGAGAUCUAAUUACGCUUCCAUUAGAGCAUAACUUGAUUGCAUUGGUUUAGUCUGGUAUUAUAACGAUAUCUAGUAUUUAUUUACCCUAACAAACCACUUCUGCUACCCUGCUCCAUUACAAGAACUUGAAAGAUCACAAUUGGCCAUGUCAAGGCGCUUAAUCUCAAAGGUCCAACGGCCAAAAUGCUCAAGGAAAGUCUCGAAAGGUACAAUUAGUCCUGCUAUGCUUGAAUUUCAUGAUUUAAUGCAUUUGGACCUCAGUAACAAUCACUUCGGUGGAAGUCCAAUUUAUGAAUUCGUUGGUUCCCUCUGCAAAUUUGAGGUACCUCAAUCUCUCUUGUGGUACACCUUCAAUCUCUCAUCAAGCUGAAGACAGUUAAAUUCUACUCUGCUAUUGAUCAAUGUUAGCAGUCUUCUUUAUUGGGUGAAUAAAUUUAACUGGCAAGCUAUUUGGCAAAUAUAAACAGAUUAAUGGAUUUUUGCAUGCCUUAUGUCCCUUUCUUGGUGUUGACUGAUUAUUAAGAUUAACCCGCAAACGGAGCAAACUUCAAAAAAUAAAAGAGAUCUUGCUAAAAUUAUUCAAACGACGUAGUGGACAUAUGCAUAAAGCUAAAACACACAACUACAUAAAAAUUAAAAAAAAUUAAGCUGCAUCUGUAGCUUGGAAAUCCAUUUGCGCGUCUCACCACGCGAGAGAAGAAAAGUAAACCCAAACUAGCUAUCAAGUGAGUACCAACGUUUGAUUCUACAAUGGUACAUAGUAAUAACAGAAAAAGAGAAGAGAAAAAAAAUCUAUUAAAAUUAGUUAAGUAAUAUUUAAUCUAUUCCAUAAUCUUACAAACAAAGUACGUGAUAGGUUCGUAUAUAAUCUGAUUCAAGAUCAUUCGUAAUAAAAUGUGCAUGAAGAGAUAGAACUAUACAAGAAUUCGCUCUUAUUGUAUUCGAAUUGGUUAUUCGUAAUUUGUUUCUUUUACUUUUUAUUUUAUAAUUUUUUUUAUAGAAUAUGGUACUUUAGGUUGAAAUUUUGAAUUUCAAAUAUCUUAUCGUUUUUUAUUUUAUUUAUAUAUUAAUUCAAUUUUUUAAAAAGGAAAUAAAUUCUAAAAUGAGCCAUUGUAUUAAAAGGCUUGGCUUUAUAAAAAUAGCUCUUACAUUAUUUUUCAAAACACUAAAGGCGAGGAAAAAAAAAAAGACUAAACGCAAAAAUGGUUUUAGAAAGGCAAGAGGAGAAGAUUUUUAUGGUGUUUUUCAAUAAAAAGAGUUUUUGAGUUUUGAUACAUGGUCUUGAAGGAAGGAGAUUAAAACCAAUAUGUAAUUAUAAUCUUUUGAAAUUUUGAUUUUAUUCAAGAUUUUAUGUGAUAGAUUGAAUGGCUUUGUGUGUAAUAUCAAUGAAAUUGUUAAAGCAUGAUGUAUCAUUGACUCCAUGUUGUAAUUGAAUGGAAGUUGUGUUUUUGUAUUAUUCUGAAAAAUUAUGAACAGUGUAGAUUGAAUGCUAAAUAACUGCUGCUUUCAUUGAGUCUUAUGCAUGAAACUUUAUAAUUUAUUAAACUAGAUAUCAUUAGCUUUCUAUUGACAUGAUUAUUGUUUAAAAGCUCAUGGUAUAAUAAUUGUAAUAAUUUUUUUUGAAUUUGGAAUACUGGUGCUGGAAAAUGCCAAUUUUUAGCAGCAGUUCUCAAUUCCUAACUUUAUUUCGUAACUCAAAUUACUUCUGAAAAUUAUGGCAACUUCUAUUAUGUUACAUAUGUAUGUCUAAUUUCUGUAUAUGUUUCGUAAUUUUUAGGUUUAUAGAAAAAUCAUUAAAAAUCAUAGAGUUGGGAUGCUGUAAUCCUGGAAACUGUUCUCCAAAAUUACUAAAGACUGAUAUUGAAGUCACUUUGGAUUAUUGUUUCAUCACUAAAUGCCUUAUAAAUUUUAAUUUUGAUUUCCUAUUGUUUUCACUAUUGAUAAAACUUGAAUUACAAUUUUGUAACAUGUGUACUUAAAGUUAUGAAUUUUUAAAUCAACAGACCUCUGUUUAUAUCACUACUAUUUUUUGACAUUUUUGUGAAAAAUUAUUCAGGGAUGUUUUUUGAACUCUGAUUAACUUUAUGAUGUUUUAUAUGAAUGCCAUGCAUGUUCAUAGUAGUUCCUUUUAAUAUUUGUGAUUUUCCAACAGAAAAUAGCUCGUAUAGGAUGGUUGGGUGUAGUUUAGUGAAUGGAUAUACUUAAGUGAGUGCUAAUGGUUUAAAGAUGCUUGACUCUCCAUCAAGGUUAGAAUUGAUAAUGUUAUUGAUGAGAAUCUUGUCUUGAUAAUUAUAGGCUAAUCAUGAGCUAGUAUAAUUGAGGUUAUUGAUUGAUUGCUUCAGAUCGAAGUAAGAGAAUUAAUGCAAAAAGUUUAAUAUCUACAUACAGAAAGAAUAUUGUUUAUAUUGAGUUAGCAUUUUAUGGUAUUAUUGCCACUAUAUAUUUUCUAAAAUUAGAUAUAUAUUAAUUACAAUAUAUUUUAGUCAAAUGAACCUCUUUUAAAAUUGUACUUUUCAAAAAAAAAUUUCAAGUGACUUUGAAAAAUAUUUGAUUUUCCAAUAAUUUAUUUACCUAAAAAUACUUGAAAAGCUUUGCCAAAUAAAUGUCUUACAACAUUAUUGAUAGAUUAUUGAAUGAUUGAUAUUGAAAGAUUAAAAAAUUACUUUUAAGGUUUUGGCUCAUUGUCCGUAGUUAUUAUUAUUGACACGACUGAACAACUAGCUGUAUUACCAUUACAAUUAUUAUGGGGUACAAUACCUUGAUUGAUUAAUUGGCUGGAUCAUCGGGAUUAUAGGUGAUAUAUUAAUUGUUGGGCCACAAGAUUAUAGGUGAUAUAUUGAUUAGCCGAGUCAUCGAGAGCGCAGGUGACACUAUGUGACAUGAGCAAUUGAAUAAAGGAAAUAUUUUAUUGUUAAAUGAUUUCUUAGAUGAUUAAAUAUUGAAAAUGAUUAUUACAUGAUGACUUAACUUAAAAUGAAUUUUAUCAUACUCAUGCAAUAGAUUGUAAAAUCAAUAUUGUUUUCCAAUUUAUGGUUCCUUAUAAUGAUUAUUAUGUGUUUUAUCGUUAUUGGUAACCUCAUACAUGAAUUUACUUACCAAGUUGAUGGCUCACCCCUCGUCUCUAACAUUUUGCAAGUUAAUUUUAGAGAUGUGGGGUUUUUGGUUUAGAGAAGAGGAUUUUUUAACUAACACAUUUUCGUUGAUGAAUAAAUUGUCAUUAUUUUGGUUAUUGUUCAGAGUUGAAUUUGUUUUGGAUGAUUAUUGUUAUAUUUAUUAUUUUAGAGAUUUUAUUUUGACAGUGGACAAUAUUGAUUUUUCUGAAAAUAUUAAUAAUAUUAAUAUCACAAGGUUUCAUUCCCAAUUCCUCUUGUAAAUUAUAGGGUGAAUUUGGGUUAUUGCAUUAUUAAUUAAAUUUCUACAUAGAUGACAUUACAAAAGAUGUUGAUCAAAGACUAAAAUAUUUCAAAGUAAUGUUGUUAGGGUGCACCAAAUUUAAAACCUUACUACUAGUAUAAAUAAUUAGUACAGAGCGAGUAAGGAUCGAUCCCACAAAGACUAUGCUAGUUGUAUUUAUUAUCAACUCUAAAGCAGAACUUAAAAUAAAAUAAUAAUAGGAAUAAUAAUAUAAAUUAAUCUAACUAAAGAAAAUGCCAACUAAAAAUAGAGAAAAUGGGGGUUUUUGAAUUUUUAACUAAAUAGCAAGAAAUAAAGAAAUUAAAACUACGAAAACAAUAAUUUAAUAAAAACUCUAAUUAAAGGAGAAAGAAAUAACAAUGAGAAAAACUUUGGUUAAAAAAGAUCAUUCGCCACCACCAAACAUGCACAUAAUAUAUCAAUUAUAUCAUUAAUUUAUAUUGAAACUAUCAACCGUAGACAACAAUAAGCUCUGUUAGUCUCAAUCUUUCCUUAGUAUGUCGUUAGGCAAAACAAGCUCUUCAUCUAAUCUCUAACUAUUAAAUAAUUUAAAAUAAGCCUCUUUAAAUUUAAGAUAAUGGAAGCAUUAAGUAGAGAAAGAUAUUAGGUUGAUUUAGGCAAUAAACAAAAAGCUCAGAUUAUUUAACCUAGGUUAUGUUUCUCCAAUCGAAAUCACUGAUUCCAACCUACUACUAAUGAUUAAAAUAUCAAGACAAUUAUGGAUUAAGAAUUUUAAUCUAGCAAUAGAAUUUAUUCAAGUUCUAUCUAAUUGGCCACUCAAAAUAAGACAGGAAUGAAAUCAUAAACAUUAAUUAUAGAAGAACAUAAAUAAUCUCAAUUAAAUAAAUUGAAUGAUAGAAAUUAAAAAAUUCAAUUGCAUAGCAUGUUUAGGGUUUUGAAUUCACCCUCAACCAAAUAAAAAAUCUAGCCUAACAUAAUUAAAUUGAGAAUAAAAAAGUUAAUAAAACCAGACAUAGAGAUUAAUUCAAACAGCUUUCUCUCUAUUUUUUUCUCUCUCCUUUGGGCUGCAAAUUGUUUUUGUAUGUGUAGCUGCCGAUCCUCCUAUUCUCCUCUAAUUCUGCCGCAAGUCUGGCUUUUAUAGUAGCUUUUAUUGUGCGCCUUAAAUCCUCGCAUGGAAAGGAUUAAAAACAAAAGCCAAGCCGCCACUUUUGUUCAUGCAUGCACAUAACUUGUAGAAUUAAUUGGCCAAUGAAUAUUGUUAAAGCCAAAGCCAUCACGUGCUUGCCAUUUAAAGCCAUGCCAAAAUAUUUGCUUCCUCAAUUAAUCACAAUAUAUGUUUCCCAUGUGAUUGCAUGCAUGUUGAUUAAUCAAAUUAAAUCUUUCUUUCAUGAUCUCUUGUGUAUUUUUAUCUCUCAAUCUUCAAUUCUUUUCCUAUUUUGAUUCUUUCAAUGAAAUUUCUUUCCUGAAUGCUCCGAUUUAAUUUCUCUUUAAUCCUAGAAUAUAUCUAAAAUAAAAAAAUAAAAACUAAGAUAAAAAUUAAUACAAUAAAUAUAAUUUUAACAAAAUAACUAAAUUAAAAAUUAACUGAAAUAACUAGAAUAUUUAAGAUCAAAACAAGAAAAAGAUGGAGAAAUUAAUAGCAAUAUAUGAAAAAUAUGCACUUAUCAGAAGACUAAGAGUGCGUUUGGGAGUGAGGUACUGAAACUUUUAAACUGCAGCUACUGUGAAGUAAAAGCUAUAGAUGUUGAGUAGAAGCUGAUGAUAUUUGAUAAAGAUGCUGUAACUUUUAAGCUGCAGAAGCUGAUAGUGUUUGGUAAAUAUAUGUGUCUAGUAUUUUCAAUUUUAAUUUCACAAUUUUUAUAUAUAUAUAAUUUUAUAAAAAUCUCGGGACCCAUAUUAUUCAGUUAAGACACUGUGAGACAAUUUUGAAUUUAAUAAGAAACAAAUAGUUUUGAAAAUGUUUUUGGUAUUGGAUCCUCCUAAAAAUUUUAUUGGAGAUACCCAUGGAUGUCGAGAAUAGAUCUAUGUAAUUUUGUGUCAUUUUGAUUAUUAGAUUAAGAGUUAAAAUUCAGAGAAUCAGACUUCUACGGGUAUGAAUUAGAAAAUUAAGUUCUUGGAAUAAGUUGUUAAUAGUUAUUUCUUGUAUUUGUUUAAAGUAUUGGAGGUGUUUGAGACUGUUAGAGGCUUAGAGGUGUGUUUAAAUCAUUGCUUUUAUCAAGAUAAGUAACUCUAUUCCUAAUGUACUUGAUAUCUAAUGUACUAGAUAUAUAUGAUAAUUUUGAUAUUUCAAUAUUAUUACAAGUACGUGUGUUUUCUUAGUUCUUCAUAACAAAAAUAAUUGAUGUGAGUGUUUUUAAAUUUGAAAAUUAUGCCAUUUUUAUGGUUUUAACAAAAUAUUAUAAAUGCCUUUAAAUGUGCAAUUUAUUUUGCUAGAUAAUUAUAUUUUUGAAAUUAUCUAUAAAAUGUUAGAAUGGAAAUUGUUCUGCAAGCCUAAAUCAUUGUUAUGAUCAUUUAUGAAUCUAAUAUGAAUAUUAUGUUCACGUAUUCNNNNNNNNNNNNNNNNNNNNNNNNNNNNNNNNNNNNNNNNNNNNNNNNNNNNNNNNNNNNNNNNNNNNNNNNNNNNNNNNNNNNNNNNNNNNNNNNNNNNNNNNNNNNNNNNNNNNNNNNNNNNNNNNNNNNNNNNNNNNNNNNNNNNNNNNNNNNNNNNNNNNNNNNNNNNNNNNNNNNNNNNNNNNNNNNNNNNNNNNNNNNNNNNNNNNNNNNNNNNNNNNNNNNNNNNNNNNNNNNNNNNNNNNNNNNNNNNNNNNNNNNNNNNNNNNNNNNNNNNNNNNNNNNNNNNNNNNNNNNNNNNNNNNNNNNNNNNNNNNNNNNNNNNNNNNNNNNNNNNNNNNNNNNNNNNNNNNNNNNNNNNNNNNNNNNNNNNNNNNNNNNNNNNNNNNNNNNNNNNNNNNNNNNNNNNNNNNNNNNNNNNNNNNNNNNNNNNNNNNNNNNNNNNNNNNNNNNNNNNNNNNNNNNNNNNNNNNNNNNNNNNNNNNNNNNNNNNNNNNNNNNNNNNNNNNNNNNNNNNNNNNNNNNNNNNNNNNNNNNNNNNNNNNNNNNNNNNNNNNNNNNNNNNNNNNNNNNNNNNNNNNNNNNNNNNNNNNNNNNNNNNNNNNNNNNNNNNNNNNNNNNNNNNNNNNNNNNNNNNNNNNNNNNNNNNNNNNNNNNNNNNNNNNNNNNNNNNNNNNNNNNNNNNNNNNNNNNNNNNNNNNNNNNNNNNNNNNNNNNNNNNNNNNNNNNNNNNNNNNNNNNNNNNNNNNNNNNNNNNNNNNNNNNNNNNNNNNNNNNNNNNNNNNNNNNNNNNNNNNNNNNNNNNNNNNNNNNNNNNNNNNNNNNNNNNNNNNNNNNNNNNNNNNNNNNNNNNNNNNNNNNNNNNNNNNNNNNNNNNNNNNNNNNNNNNNNNNNNNNNNNNNNNNNNNNNNNNNNNNNNNNNNNNNNNNNNNNNNNNNNNNNNNNNNNNNNNNNNNNNNNNNNNNNNNNNNNNNNNNNNNNNNNNNNNNNNNNNNNNNNNNNNNNNNNNNNNNNNNNNNNNNNNNNNNNNNNNNNNNNNNNNNNNNNNNNNNNNNNNNNNNNNNNNNNNNNNNNNNNNNNNNNNNNNNNNNNNNNNNNNNNNNNNNNNNNNNNNNNNNNNNNNNNNNNNNNNNNNNNNNNNNNNNNNNNNNNNNNNNNNNNNNNNNNNNNNNNNNNNNNNNNNNNNNNNNNNNNNNNNNNNNNNNNNNNNNNNNNNNNNNNNNNNNNNNNNNNNNNNNNNNNNNNNNNNNNNNNNNNNNNNNNNNNNNNNNNNNNNNNNNNNNNNNNNNNNNNNNNNNNNNNNNNNNNNNNNNNNNNNNNNNNNNNNNNNNNNNNNNNNNNNNNNNNNNNNNNNNNNNNNNNNNNNNNNNNNNNNNNNNNNNNNNNNNNNNNNNNNNNNNNNNNNNNNNNNNNNNNNNNNNNNNNNNNNNNNNNNNNNNNNNNNNNNNNNNNNNNNNNNNNNNNNNNNNNNNNNNNNNNNNNNNNNNNNNNNNNNNNNNNNNNNNNNNNNNNNNNNNNNNNNNNNNNNNNNNNNNNNNNNNNNNNNNNNNNNNNNNNNNNNNNNNNNNNNNNNNNNNNNNNNNNNNNNNNNNNNNNNNNNNNNNNNNNNNNNNNNNNNNNNNNNNNNNNNNNNNNNNNNNNNNNNNNNNNNNNNNNNNNNNNNNNNNNNNNNNNNNNNNNNNNNNNNNNNNNNNNNNNNNNNNNNNNNNNNNNNNNNNNNNNNNNNNNNNNNNNNNNNNNNNNNNNNNNNNNNNNNNNNNNNNNNNNNNNNNNNNNNNNNNNNNNNNNNNNNNNNNNNNNNNNNNNNNNNNNNNNNNNNNNNNNNNNNNNNNNNNNNNNNNNNNNNNNNNNNNNNNNNNNNNNNNNNNNNNNNNNNNNNNNNNNNNNNNNNNNNNNNNNNNNNNNNNNNNNNNNNNNNNNNNNNNNNNNNNNNNNNNNNNNNNNNNNNNNNNNNNNNNNNNNNNNNNNNNNNNNNNNNNNNNNNNNNNNNNNNNNNNNNNNNNNNNNNNNNNNNNNNNNNNNNNNNNNNNNNNNNNNNNNNNNNNNNNNNNNNNNNNNNNNNNNNNNNNNNNNNNNNNNNNNNNNNNNNNNNNNNNNNNNNNNNNNNNNNNNNNNNNNNNNNNNNNNNNNNNNNNNNNNNNNNNNNNNNNNNNNNNNNNNNNNNNNNNNNNNNNNNNNNNNNNNNNNNNNNNNNNNNNNNNNNNNNNNNNNNNNNNNNNNNNNNNNNNNNNNNNNNNNNNNNNNNNNNNNNNNNNNNNNNNNNNNNNNNNNNNNNNNNNNNNNNNNNNNNNNNNNNNNNNNNNNNNNNNNNNNNNNNNNNNNNNNNNNNNNNNNNNNNNNNNNNNNNNNNNNNNNNNNNNNNNNNNNNNNNNNNNNNNNNNNNNNNNNNNNNNNNNNNNNNNNNNNNNNNNNNNNNNNNNNNNNNNNNNNNNNNNNNNNNNNNNNNNNNNNNNNNNNNNNNNNNNNNNNNNNNNNNNNNNNNNNNNNNNNNNNNNNNNNNNNNNNNNNNNNNNNNNNNNNNNNNNNNNNNNNNNNNNNNNNNNNNNNNNNNNNNNNNNNNNNNNNUUUUCUUAUUAGCAUGGUUUUCAAGAUAUUUAGUGUUUGCCUGUAUAAUUUUGGAUAGAAGAGUAACAUUAUUGGAGUUCAUUUCAAGUGCAUAAAGUGUUUUGAAUUGUUAUCACACGGAUAUAUUUAAAUGAAUGAUAAUUAAGAAGUUUACAAUUUAACUUUUGGCGAAUAACUUCUUGUUUUGAAAUUAAAGUUCAAGGGAAUUGAUGAGUACUCGAUGAAAGAGCUCUCGCAACUUCGUGAUCAAUAGGCUACAUAUGUUGCCAAGUUAAUUAAAACCUACAAUCGCGAGGUAAUAUAUGAGUAAUUUAGGACCACUUUUGCUUCCAAAUCUCUAAGACUUAUUUUUUGUGGUGUUCUAAUUGAUUUUAUGUGCUUGUAGGUGGGGGAAAAAAAUGAAGCCAUGUAUGGAUAUUCAGUACAUUCUUGUGCUUAUUAUUGUUGGUUAAUGUUCGUUGAAACUGAAUUUAGUACUUUGUUGCUUAAAACUUGUCGAAAACUUAAUUUGAUACUUAUGUUCUUUUUUUUUCCAAACAAUGAUGUAGUUGAAUUAUGUUAAUUUAAGUGAUGUAUUUGGGAUUUUAUUAUGUGAAUUGUGUUGGGAGAUUUGAUAUAUUUAAUAUAUUUAUUUUUUUAAUUGUAAAACAAACUAGAAAAAUAUGAUUAAAAUAAAAUAUAUUACUAACCAAAAGCAGCAUAACAUCACUAAAUACUGACUCAAUUUUAAAUAUUGAUAUGUAAUAGUAUCAUUAAAUGUUUACACUUCGUAUCAUUAUUUUAAUGAUACUAUAGUGACAUGAAUUACUGACACGUAAAUAGUAUCAUUAAGUACUAACGCCAUAGUGUCAUUAUUUAGUGAUACUACAGUAACACGAAUUACUGACACGAAAAGCACUGACACCAAAAAUUAGUGUCAGUGUGUUCUGGCUGGAGCAUUACUGACACAAUUAACAAGUGUCAGUAAAAGUUAUUACUGACACUAAAUUGGUGUCAGUAAAACCCAUUUUUCUAGUAGUGAUGACCCAUCGAAUUAAAGGCUAUAUAGAGGAAUAGGCUAAAAAAUUCUAACCAUAUUUUAAAUUAACUUAAAUAAUAAUGAUUGGAGGUAGAGGUAGGUAACUUAUUUAAGUUUAUAAUCUAUAAUAUAUUUCUAUGUAUAUUAUUAUUAUUAAGCUAACAGAAGGAUGAUGUGAUGCAUAUGUACGUACCUCUAGACAGCAAAUUCAGAGAAGCAUUAUGCAAAGUCAACAGUAAACCGUUCAAAGUCAGCGGACAAUUACGUUUGGUCCUUGCUUGGGAAUUUCUAAUUUCAAUGGCAACACGUCUGUGGAAAAUUACUUUAAAUGAAGUAUGUACACAAAUGCACACACAAUUAAGAAUAUUACAAAAAUCAUUUAGAUGGUACACAUCAUACAUAAACACAGCUUCAGUUUCGGAAGGGGACCAUUAAUUGUUCAAAAUCGAUAUACAAACGUGGUCGCCCUAGCUAAGAAGAUAACAUGCACGAUAAGGAUAUAAACAAUUACCCCAAUCUUUCUUUUGUGGACAUGUGGAUAAAACAAAGACAGAUUCUGAAAGAGGGCGUAUCUAUAGAUGGCCAAUUCAGAACUUAUUUAAGAUUAUACGUUAAAUUUAUUUUUAAUUGAGAUAGAGCCUCUCAUGUUGGUUAAUAUGUAGACAAGUAUGAAUCUGAUGCAUAAUAGUACUUUUGCAAUUUUGUUUAAUUAAUUCUUAAGUUGAAAUAUAAAACAAAGUCUUCCCCAAUCAACCACGAAGAAUUAAUACGCAUUUAGUUUUUUAAUCUGAAAUUUAAAAUUGUUAUGAAUUUGGUUGAAGUGUUAAUUGAUGGUUUGAAUACAAGUGUCUAUAUAUGAUGUGUUUUUUUUUUAAUAUCUAAAUAUAAUUGACAUUAUAUUUGUUCUUAUAAAUAAAAAAAUCUUAAAUAUGGUGUUUAACAUUUAUAUCCUUAUAAGUUAAAAUGAAUAAAUGUGAUUAAGUUUUAUAGUUUUAGCAAAUAAGUAUAUUUAAUAGAGCUGUUUUGGGAUAUAAUAUUUACUUCUUCAUGCCUUUUCCUACUUAGAUAAAAGUCACAAAAAUUUACUCUUUUUUUUUAAAUUCAAAUGUAAAUGUCUGAAAAAUCAAAUAUAAGUUAAAGAAAACAGACGAGCAAUUUUAAAAAAAGUUUGAAAUAAAAAAAAAAUUCAAAUUUUAGACAUUUAACCAAUAAGCCUCCAUUUCACCUUGGUCAAGAGAGUGGUGGCUACCAAGAAAUUUCUGAUCCCUGUCGAGUAUGGGCGUGUCAUGAAUUAAGCCACGUAUUUUAAUGAGCAGCAGGGCUGUUCACACCUCAUUGUUGAAGUUGAUGAUUCGAACUUUAUCAUACCCUUUACGAAGGUCAAUCUUUUUCCAUAUAUUUGCAAGUAAAUAUUGUUAGUUUUGGAACUAGAUAUCUGGACACUACUGUCACGAGACUGAAAUAAACUUCAACCAAAAAUAAUAUGUUUGUUUGAGAUGUUCCGCUAAAAUAAAGAUAAAUUAUAAUUUUUCUUAGGAAUUUGCAGGCGUAAAAUGACGCAUUUUCUGUUUUAAGAAGAAGGAAAAUCAAAUUUUGUCUACCAAAUAAUUGCGCAAUUCAAUUUAAAUAGGUAUUUCACUCACAGAUACAAGUAGCAUUGAACUACACAUACAUCUCUUACCAUAAUAUAUUCCAAUAGGGAGAAAAAGGAGAAGGAUUUUCAAUGCGAGAUCUAAAAAUAUAUCUUUCCGUGGCACCGGUACUAAGCACUCUAUGGUUCGAGUCUUUAGCAGGGUUAUUUCAUAAGAAUCAACCGUUUAUUCGCCGACGCAGUAUCAAUCACCAUUGGUUGUUCUUCUACUGAUUAAAAUACAGAUUUAAGAGCAAAGCAAUUUGAAUGCUUGUAAUUGUUACUCUUGUAUCCAAUUUUCCCCAGGAAUUACAGGAUCAACAAUCCCAUCAAACAUAUUACUUUCAACGUGUCUUUAACUGGGGAAAGCAUUAAUAAAUUAUCAGGACAAGCUUUUUAUAAGUAAAUUUCUGCCCAAACAAAGCAUCAAGUAACGAGAUAUACCAAAACUACAUUUUCAAUAAACUGUGUUUUAUUUUGUUUGGGUAAACCAACACCGGUUUGAUUGUACGACUUUCUUUAUCCAUGCUUUGCAUUGCCGUGUGUCUAGGAUUCGCCGGUGACUUUUUUGGCUUUAAUCAUCUCUCAAAUUGUCAUAUUCUAACCAUAAUCAACGCUCAGAAUGAAGACUUUUCUUGGCCUCAAUAAUUGAUGCAGAUUAUACAAAGUAUAAAUUGGCAUGGAGUCCAGGAGUUUCGAUAUAACAAUAUGUCCUCAAAGCUUAUUAUAAUUAUAAUGUCAUUCAAAUUGCUCCUUCUAUUUGAAAAUAUAGCUUUGUUUUCUGUGAUAUUUUUUUAAUUGAAGCCCACAAUUGCUGAUUCUAACAACAUAGUAAUGAGGUGCAUUGAAGAGGAGAGAGAAGCGCUUCUCACUUUUAAACAGAGCUUGGUGGAUGAACAUGGCGUCUGUCUUCCUGGGGAAGAGAAGAUGACAAAAGAGAUUGCUGUAAAUGGAGGGGACCCACUGUAGCAACACAACUGGCCAUGUCAAGGUACUUAAUCUUCGAACAUCUACGAGGAAAACGCUCAGAGGAAGGUCUUGAAAGGUGAAAUUAGUCCUGCUUUGCUUGAAUUGCAUGAUAUAAGACAUUUGGACCUUAGUAACAAUCACUUCAGUGCAAGCCCAGUUCCUGAGUUCAUUGGUUCCCUCAGCAAAUUGAGGUACCUCAAUCUCUCUUGUAGCAUACCUUUAGAACUCCCUCGAAAAUUCCAGAACCAUUCAGGAUUGGAAUAUCUCAACCUAGAAAACUCUAGUUUAUUUAGUGUGGGAAGCUUAGAGUGGCUUUCUCGUCUUUCUUCUUUAAGACACCUUGACCUGAGUUACAUUAAUCUCACUAAAUCUAGUGACUGGUUUCAAGUAGUUGCCAAGCUCCAUUCCUUAAAAUCAUUAGUCCUAUGCUCGUGUGCUCUUCCACC
Molecule: long non-coding RNA, 163627 nt
Filed under: Citrus maxima (pomelo)
Lineage: Eukaryota; Viridiplantae; Streptophyta; Magnoliopsida; Sapindales; Rutaceae
Description: long non-coding RNA (CMAX_LNC003881)
Source: RNAcentral